CGCCUGCCUUGGCUCCGGGUACUUUGGCUCCAACUGCUGCUGCUGUAUCUUUCGCUUUAGCUUCAACUGCUGCAGCUGUAUCUUUCGCUUUAUCGCCAACUGAUUUAGCUGCAUCCUUUGCUUUAUCGACUAUUGGUGUCCCGUUUGCUAAUGUGGUUGCCAUAACUACGAGCACCACAAGUAGCACUCCUCUUGCUCUGCGAAAACCCACCAUUUUUAUUCUUUUAUUAUUUUUUUCUAUAAAAUUUUAUUUUAUUUUCUCUUUUUGUUUAUCCUUUAUUUUUUUUUUGUUUUGUUGUUGUUGUGUUUAUUGAUGUUUUGUGGCGAGAUUGCAAAGUCCAUUUUAUAGAGGGAACAAGAGGAGAUAGAUCACCACAAACUCCUUUGUAGCUAAAAAUAAAUCCGAGGAGUAUGCCGAGAAGUAGAAGCAUGACCAAUUCGUAGAGGUAUUACCUUUUUAUUUGGUGCCUUUUCUAUUUAUGGACUUAUAUAUAUAUAUAUGAUUAUGUAAACAUUUUGUUCCUUGGCAGUGUACUGUACAUCAUUUUUUUUACAUCAGUCACAAUAUUUUUUUUGGGUUAAAAUAAUCUUAUUUUUUUAAUUUUUUGAAACAGGUUAAAAUAAAUAUUCUAUUUAUUGACUUUAUUGCAAAAGAAAAUAAAUUACAGUACUUAUGGAUUUGGGAGAAUCUUAUAGUGGGCCAAUACGUGAAGUUUUAAAUGGGCUUGAUGUGAGAUGAACAAAUUAAUGAAAACGGAACCCAUUAAUCUUAAUGCGCGGUCGAGACAAACCCUAACAGAAUGGAGUGCGGCGGCGAUAGCGUUGUCGGAGUUGGAGAUUACUUGGUUGAGACGAAGAGAGAGAAGCUUAAAUCGGUUCUUUCUCAUCUCCUUGCCGAUCCGAUUCUCGCCGACGUUCCGAGGAACCCAACACUUUCUGAUGUCGUCACUCUUGUCAGUCUCGAAAAGGGAAGCGCUAUGCGUCUCUCCGUCGUCAAGCUCGACGGCUCCUCACUGGGUAUAUCUAAUUAUUUAUACUUGGUUUGGGCAUUUUAUCGAACACGUGGUGGGCAUUGAAGAUGGGUUUCUUACUUGUUUGCUUACUCUUGGCAGAUGUCGCCGUCAUGAAUUCAGCUACUCUGAAAGAUCUGAAGCUUUUGAUCAAGAAUAAAGUUAACGAAACGGAGCAAGCAAACAUGGGCCAUCGCCACAUUUCUUGGUAUAUUAUAGCUUCUCUCAACCUGUUUCUUUUACUUCUGGUCGUAACACAUGUUUAUUAAUUCUGGGGAAUAUGCAGGAAACAUGUAUGGUCAAACUUUUGUCUUUCGUACAAUAAUGAGAAGCUGCUUGACGACAAUGCUCUUCUUCAAGAUGUCGGAAUCCGGAACAAUUCUCAGGUUUAUCUUUGUAACCCCAUUUCGAAUUAGAGUUAAUCUGGGUCUGUUGUUCAACUCUUUUGACAUUGACACAUGUGUCAAUCUUGUUAUGUUUGAUCAUGAAUACAGGUGACCUUUAUGCCAUAUGUGAUGAAGAAGGGUCGAGGAAGACAUUCCAAGAGGAAGAAGCAUCGUCUCUUUCGUUCCCUACACAAGACUUGUUAAGCCCUUUUUAUAUGUUGGUAACUAAAUACUAGUCCCCUCAGCUUUUGUUUACAUGUUACAUAGCAUUGGUAAGUUUGAUUCCAGUUUUCAGACCCAGCUUAGUUAUGUCAUUCGAUACUUGAGCUAAGAAUUAACUAAGACUCUAGAAAAUAGAUGAAAUCGUUAGAUAAGAUUUUUUUUUCCUUUCCAUAAUGAUCAAUUGAUUUGAGACUUUAGGUCUGAUAUGUUUUAUUUUAAACCACGUUAAAGAUUCCCUGUGAUGAAUAUUUUAGUAAUCUGGAACGGUGAUAAAAUGGGGCUCCCUCUUGGAAACUUUCCAUGGAGGUUUUAGAGGAACCAUUUUUGUAGAAACUUGGCAAUUUCUGAGGGUUUCUUUGCAAUGUGAAAGUUGUUCUUCUUCUUACUGUCUUUGGUAUUCUGAGGCAUUGAUGUACACGUCGAUCUUUUUUUCAUUAUUCUUACUAUUUAUGGGGACUUUUGUACUAUUACAAUUGGUGGGUUGUUGACCAGGUUGGAGUAGACAUAUUCUGUGGUUAGUCGCACCUUCCUCGCCAGCAGCAACUAGAUGCAACAAAGACGAGGAUCUUGAGAACUUAAUGGUGGGGCGAUACCAUCAACACAUGAGGGACCGAUCUUUAUCAGAGUUUGGGAGUUGGAAAUUGGUUCAGUGUUAAACUCGGUACUAAUCAUUGUGGAUAAAGCUGUAAUUAUUGGUGGCAAUGUGAAAAAAACAGAGCAGAAACUGCUGUAUCUUCUCAUUAUUAAUAAAACAGGGAACUGAGAGUUAAGUAAUUCGAGAUUCAAUACUAAAUUUAUAUAUCCAUUGCAAUUCACUUAAGAGAUUGACUGCAGAUGAGAGAAGCGUUUGUAGCUCAGUCCAACUAUUCUUGUCCAAAGCGCGCAAUGCAGACGUAUGCGUGUUCUCAGCUAUUGGUUUGGUGUUAAUAAUUUACAAGUCUUUAAAAUAUUGCAAGGGCACGGUAAUAUAUCACAAAGUCAACACCUUAAAAAAAAUAGACAUCUCUUAUAUUAAAAUAAAUUUGAUAAAUAUAGUGUAAAUGUUUGAAUUUGAAACAUAGAUAGGACCUACAAAUAUGUCUUUUCUCCGAUGCUAAAUCAUAUAAAUUAGGGCCUAAACAAGAUUGGUGUUUUAGUGUGUUGGAAAAAAACCAAAGUGGUGGGAAACUAAACUUGUGCAGCUCUCUUACUAAUAAAUGUUACUUUUAGCUUUAGAAGAACCAACACUACUCACGGCACAACUGCCCCCACCCACCAUUUCUUUUCUUUUCAUUGUUACUUAUAUAAAGUCAUAUCUUUUUUUAUCUUAUAGACAUACUUUAAUCUUUAAAGUUCGAAGUUCGAACAAUAAUCUAAAUGCUUAUCUCACCCAUUUACUUAGAUAAAAAUCAACGAAUAAGUCUUAUUAUAUUUAUUAUUUAAUUGGAAAGAAAAGUCUAAUGUGAUCUACACCACAAACGAACAAUGCAACUCUAAUUAAUUAAAAGGCAUUUUAUUCUAAAAAACUAAGAAAAAUUCCAAAGUAUACAAAUUUAUAAAUCAAAUGGUAAGAUAGUUGUCUAGUAACGACCCAAAAAAAAAAAAAAAACAAAUUUGAUUUAACAAAACACAACUUAAGAUUAAAAAAAAAAAAAGUAAAAUGAAAGAGAGGAGGACUUUUGCAUGAGUUGGCAACUUCUUUUUUUGUUCUUAUUAUUAAAGUCUUAAGAAAAACUAAUUAUUUAAUUAAAUGUUGCUCUGUCAUCAUCACAACUUUUUUUUUUGUAAUAAGUUUUGUAUUCUUUCCAAUUUUUCUUUAUUCUCUUUUGACAAUCCGCAAACUCCAAUCUCAUCCUACGGUCUAGAUCUCUCCAAUCAUACCAUUGGUUCCAUUCACUUAUUAAAAACUCAAAUUAAAAUAAAAAAAAACAAUUCCACGAGAGAAUUAUUAUUAUGUGAUGCCUAUUCAACGUACCCUCCUUUUUUCCUCCAUCAUCUUCGUCUUCUUCUUCUUCUUCUCCUCCUUCUCUCUCUCCAUCUCAAGAUCAGGUAAACUCUUUUGCUUCUGGUUCUCUUCAUUCUCAUGGCCUCAGAGAAGAGUUUCAAGAAGAGAAAGAUCACCGAUGAUGUAGACGGAGCAGGAGGAGAGCUACUAGAAUCCCUUCCCGCAGAUAUUAUAUCCGACAUACUCUCUCGGCUACCAAUCUCCUCCAUAGCUCGCCUUAUGUUCGUUUGCAGAUCUUGGAGAUCCCUUUUGACUGACCACGGUCUUGUCCCUUCUUCUUCUUAUUCCCCGACAAAGCCAUGUCUUCUCCUUCACUGCGAUUCCCCAAUACGCAACGGCCUCAACUUCCUCGACUUAUCAGAAGAUGAGAAACGCAUCAAGACCAAAAAAUUCACCUUAAGAUUCGCAUCUUCCAUGCCGGAGUUUGACGUGGUGGGAUCAUGUAACGGUUUGCUCUGUUUAUCUGAUUCUCUCUACAACGACUCACUCUACCUCUACAAUCCUUUCACUACCAACUCCUUAGAGCUUCCCGAGUGUUCAAACAAGUACCACGACCAAGAACUCGUGUUCGGUUUCGGAUUCCAUGAGACGACCAAGGAAUACAAAGUGUUGAAGAUAGUUUACUUCAGAGGUGGUACUAGUAGUAGUAGCAAUAACGGUGUUUACAGAGGUCGUGGUAGAAUCCAGUACAAGCAGUCCGAGGUUCAGAUCUUAACCUUGUCGUCAAGGAAAGAUCAAACUCUGUCUUGGAGAAGCUUAGGCAAAGCUCCUUAUAAGUUUAUGAAGCGUUCAUCGGAGGCUUUGGUCAACGGGAGGUUACAUUUCGUGACAAGGCCUCGCAGGCACGUGCCGGACCGUAAGUUCGUAUCAUUUGAUCUCCGAGAUGAAGAGUUUAUAGAGAUACCUAAACCGGAAUGCGGCGGACUAAACCGGACCAACCAUAGGCUAGUUAACCUUAAAGGGUGUCUUUGCGCGGUCGUUUAUGGAAACUACGGAAAAUUAGACAUAUGGGUAAUGAAGAGUUACGGGGUAAAGGAAUCUUGGGGGAAAGAGUAUAGCAUUGGGACUUACUUGCCCAAGGGGCUAAAGCAGAAUCUGGACAGACCCAGGUGGAUUUGGAAGAACGCUGAUAAUGGUAAAGUGGUUCGGGUUUUAUGUGUUUUGGAGAAUGGAGAGAUUUUGCUGGAGUAUAAGAGUAGGGUUCUUGUUGCAUAUGAUCCUAAAGUGGGUAAAUUCAAAGAUCUUCUUUUCCAUGGUUUGCCUAAUUGGUUUCACACUGUUGUUCAUGUUGGAACAUUGUCUUGGUUUGAUACACCACUUGAUUUGUGAUAUUUAUUCAAUCAAAGCUUGGAAUUUGUAUAGUUCUUUAUUGGAUCUUUGAGAUAUUAAUGCGGUAUUUAAAUCCUUUUCAUCUUAAAAAAAAAAAUAAAAGUUUAAUUCUUCUUGCGUGGCCUUCCAAAUUAUUAUGUUUAGAUUUAAUACCAAAUUUAAAAAUCAUUCUUUUGUAAUGGGUAGAUUAACUUUAUUUAUUUUCUUCCAAAGUUCUUGUUCGUUUCUCUGUUGAAUCUAUGGGUUAUCUUUGCAUUUUCUCUUGGUUAAAUGUUAAUAUAAUUGUAUCGCUUUUCGUACAUGCUACUAAUGUUUGUUUAACCAUGCUCGAUCGCAAAGCAAUUACAAAGAAAAGAAAGAAAGAAAAGGCAAAAUCUCUUACCAUAUUGUUAUUUAGAUCUAACAAGAAUAUAAAGUUAGAUAAAGCAAACUUUAAAGAUAUAACAUUUAAAAGAGGCUUUCGCAAAUCACGCAAAAUCAUAUAAUUUUCACUAAAAAGAAAAAAAACUUAUGCAUAUAAAUAUAGAUAACUCAUGCAUAGACCAUAGUGAUCUUCGAUCUAAAUAUUAAACCCAUGUGAAAAGAUUCCCUAUCGUCUGAGAAUAAAACUGAAAACUCUGUUCAUCGUAAGAUCUAAACAUCUUAUUUAAACCAAUAUAUAUAUAAACAUCUUUAUAAACGUCGGGAUAUAUUAACAUUUUUGUACAUGACGACGAACGUAACUAUAUAUUGGAUCUCAUCAAGCUACAUUGUGAAGGGCCGUAAGUGGCCAAAUUGCCAUUUUUUCUCGCUUACCGACACCUCUGAAGCAUGCGUGCUGCGUCUAAAUCAUGAAAUUUCAAUUUCUCAUGUGAACUGAAUGGAAUAUAUAUAGUUUCUCUCUUUAUUAUCUUUCUUCAGUUGUGUUGCUUCCUAUAUAAUAUCCGAGUAGUGCAGCUAGCGAAAUAGAUAUGUUGUCCGGCGUUAGCAUAUAUUUAAAUUUGUUAUAUAAAACAGUUUUACUUCUAUCUCAGGUCGUGAUUUUGAUUCGUAUCGUAUGACUAAACUAGACUAGUAAAUCCAUUAAACGGAUUAGGAAAUUCGUGUCGUGUGGGUACAACCUUGCUAAUGGCAUGUUGACUAAUUUGAUAUAUCAUCGUGUAUAAAAAGUAUAACGUAGACGACCAUUGCCUAACCUAACGAAGUGAUAACGUUGCCCUAAGAAACUAGCAUAUGACUUUGGAACGGCUUUGUCUACAUAUCGCGUACAUGACUUCCGAAUAUAUGAAUGAACAAGACUCUAUAUAUUAUUUACACUCUUAGCACAAAAAAAAACAAAGACUCUGUAUAUUACAAUGUCGAACAUGUAAUGUAAGGCUUAAGAUCAGUGUAUGUUGUCCUCAUGUCUAAACCACAUGAUAAUAAGCAAAACUGAAUGAUUCAAACAGGGUCCAAUUAAAUGAGAUUGAUUAAAGAGUAGAUUUGAGGCAAUAAAUUCAUCUUUUACUUUUAGAAAAAGAAAAGAAAGAAAUUUGAAACACAAAAAUUUGGUAAAGAAGUGCCAUUGUUUUGUCUCACGUAGGACCGCCACAGGGACCUCACUAUUAAUAUCAAACCAUCAGAGCACAAUUAUGCAAAUUAUCCACAAGAUUAGAGGACUAAUUCAAUGAUUAAUCAGUAACAAAUGAUUUUCUACAUGCGAUUAUAGUAAUUUAAUUAGAGAGAGAGAGAGAGAGAGAGAGAGAGAGAGAGAGAGAGAGAGAGAGAGAGAGAGAGAGAGAGAGAGAGUGAGAAAAAACAAAACAUAAACAUUAGUGUGUGUGUUUUGUCUUUGUCGUGGCUCGAGGCACUCUCUCUCGUCUCUCCUCUCGUCGUCUCUGCUGCGCGUGGAAGAAAUAGCAAUUAUGCAAUUGUUGUAUGUAUGAUUGGUUUAGUCUUAGUGACCCUCACGAUCUCAUUCAUUCUUUUAGGCAAAUUCUCUCAUUCUCAUUCUCAUUCUCUCUCAUAUAACUCGGAUCACCACAUGACUCCAUCUCUUCUUUGCCGUUACCAUUAACCAAAAUCCCUAAAAAAACUUUCUUUUUCAUUUCCCCCUUCCUAGGUCCUAAAGACGAGACCUUUCUUUCUGUGUGUGUGUGUGUGUGCCAAAGCUCAAUUCUUUUUUGAGGCCUGGGGGGUGGCGAGCUGAUUGAUGUCUUUGGUAUCUGGAGCCAGGGACAUGGGCUUCGACGACAACAAGAACAAGGAAUCAGGAGGAGAUGAUGAAAACUCCUCCAGAACCGACGACGAGGCUGUUGGAUCUUUGGGUAGACAGAUGAGCGAAGCUUCUCUUUGUGCUACCGAGGAGGAGGAAGACGACGAUUCCAAAUUGCAAUUGGGUCCUCAGUACACUAUCAAAGAACAUCUCGAGAAGGAUAAGGUUUCAUCUUUUUUUUUAUUUCCUUCUUCCUCCUUUUUAUCAUUUUAUUUUGGUCUCAAAUUGUGAAAAUUCUAAUGCUUUAUUGCCGUUAAACCUGGGCUCGUGUAGGAUGAUGAGAGUCUGAGGAAAUGGAAGGAACAGCUUCUUGGAAGUGUUGAUGUCACCAACAUUGGAGGUGGGUUUGCUCUUCCUUUUUUUUCAGAGAUUUUUUAAUUGUUUCAGUUUCGGAAAGAACAAGUUAAAUUUAUGAUCUUUUUAAUUCAUUUGGCUACAUUUGAUGAUACACCCUUGUUAGAUCAUAUUGGUUGAUACCUCUCUGUGAUUCAUGUGAUUGAUUUGGAUCUGUUUGGUCUUUGUUUACCCUUGAAUGGAUACAAUCUUCCUGCACAUAAACUGGUGUGGAUUUUAGUUCUCAUCAUCUAUGUUUAUGUCCUUGCUUGAUGAUUAUGCCUGUAUUUUUUUUCAUUCUGUAUAUACAUCAAGUUCAGAUUGGACAAAUGUGUGUUGCAUUGAUGAAUUUGUCUCUUGUGUCUCUCUCGAUACGCAGAGACUCUUGAUCCGGAAGUGAGGAUUCUUAGCCUCGCCAUCUUAUCUCCCGGGAGGCCUGAUAUUGUUCUGUUGGUUCCGGAGAAUGGAAAUCCUAAGGGCAUGUGGUUUACUUUGAAAGAAGGGAGCAAGUACAACUUGAAGUUCACAUUUCAAGUUAAUAACAACAUUGUCUCUGGUCUUAGGUACACCAAUACAGUUUGGAAGACCGGUGUUAAAGGUAAAAACUAUACGACUACAAGUUUGUUUUUAAUCGAUUCUCAAUGGUUUAGAGACAAUGUGAUCCAAUUCCUUUCUUAAAAAUUGUUGUUACAGUGGACAGAACAAAGGAAAUGCUUGGAACCUUUAGUCCUCAGUUGGAGCCAUACGACCACGUGAUGCCAGAAGAGACUACUCCCUCUGGCAUGUUUGCUCGAGGAUCAUAUUCUGCAAGAACUAAGGUACGGUUGGUUUUAGACCCUGGUCAGCUAAUAUUCUCUUCUUUGGUGUUGAUUUUUAGAGUUACUUGGAAAUCUUGUUUCAGUUUCUCGAUGAUGAUAAUAAGUGCUACUUGGAGAUCAACUACAGCUUCGACAUUCGUAAAGAAUGGCCUGCGGUUUGAAAUUUGUGAACGCGAGUUGUCUCCUGAGAUGUGUUGUCAGUAGAAGAAAGUUGUGGUUGUUUCACUCCCUAUCUCCGUUUUUUUCGUUGAACAUAUAAUUGUGAAUCGUUUUUCUGAUCAUCGUAGAACAAGAACGACAUUUACUUCAUCUUUGAUCUUGAUUUUUUUUUUGUGUGUCCAGUGAUGUCUGUGUUUGUUCUCAACUUUGUUUCUCCUUCCACUUAACAUGUGUUUGAUGAUAUGAUUGUGUUAGAUCCUGAGAGGCUGAGAUGUAUAAUGGUUCUCAGUCAAAAGCUGAAAAGAUGAAAGUUCAAAAAACAAAAGAAGGUUUUGCUUCACAGAAAAUGCAUCUUCUCUAUUUAUAGAUUAUUUAUGCCUUUAAAGAUAAGCAAGCUAUUUUUGAACGCUUCCUCACCACACCAUCACCUUCUUUUUGCUACUUCUAUAACCAUUUAUUAACGCUUUUAUAAACCGCAAAUUUUGUUUGAAUCGCCUCGUUAAAACAUGACCACCAAUAGAAAUCCUCUGAUACAACGUCCCUCUCACAUGGUUCUGUUGUGUGCGUCUGUUUGUUUUUUAUUGGGCUUUGAUUAUUUAACAUUAGACUUUGGAAUUCAUACAUAUAUUUCUAAUUUCUUACUCAUAUAUUGAGGCCAAGUUCUUAUGCUCAUAUCAUCCAUUUGCUUUACGACUUGCUGUUUCUAAAAAGAGUAUUCAGAAGAACAGUUGCCAAUUCAUACUGCAGACCAAACAUGGAUCAAAUUAAAACAUAGAGAUCACAAUUGAUUAUGUCAAAGACAGGUAAAGAAAAGCAAGAGGGCAGGUAAGACCUCUUGGAAUGUGAAGAAACUUGACAUUUACCAUCUCAGAAAUGGAUCUUGGUUAUGUUUUGCUCUCAAAAUAAAAUUAACAAAAUCCUAUUUAUAUAUACUUAGAAAAGAAAAGAAAAAAACAAUCAAGAUGGGUAAAUAAACCAUUGUUGGACUUGGCUCCCUCGUCCUUCUUUUACACCUUUUGGCUCAUUUUCUCCCAACAGUUGUUUUGGUUAUGUGCUCUUACCACUUUCUUUAAGAGAGUUGAGCCUCCGAAGUCUCUGGUCAAGUUCUGCCUGCACUGCUGGUUCCUGCUUCUUCCUCUGCUUUGAUAUGGUGUUGGUAGUCAUUGAUCCGAUUUUCUCAAAUGCCACCUGAAUAUUUGUUUAUUUAUAUUAUGUAUUAUGAAUCUUGAAUAUAUAUAUAGAAACUCGACCUUGGAUUAGGGUGGUAGGCUUGGCUUACCGUUAAUAAUUCAUCUGGGUCAAAAAGCUGAUGUGAAGUUGUCUGUAAUAUGUUGAUCACAUCCCCGACCUGGUGGGUCAUAAGCAGCUCGUUCUCUUUCAUCUGCGAAUGAAGAGAGAUCCGUGAGAUGAUAUUCAUCUGUGCAGGAUUAGUAUUUACAGAAAAGGAUGAUCAGAGGAAGAGAAUUAAGAACCUUGAAUAUUGCUAGAGCUGCAUGGAAUAGAACCUUUGCUCCUUCAUAGAAAAGUACAUCCCACACCCUUAGAGUUGUCUGCAAACCAGAACAAAGUUCUCUGUAUCAAAAAAAUAAUCUUAAAAGAUACAUAAUUUGACGAAAGGUUUUGUUUUUAAGAACCUCUGAAGGAAGGCUUUUAGAGAAGAGGCAUAGAAACCAUUCCGUGGCUACGAGGGAAACAUCAAAGCCCAUAUCUUCAAGAUGUGUAGCUAUUCUGCAAAGACAACAAGAUAACGUAAGAAAUUGAUAAGCUGGUGAAGUUCAGCGACCAAGAACCAAGAAAGUAAGAAGAGACUUACCGAGGACAUUUUUGGGCAAGCAAAUCUUUGAAAACCCGCUGCUCAACAUGGCAUCCUGACAAGUUUGUUGUGUAGCAGUCACGGACUAAUACGUUUUCUAAAAGGACUGCUAGCAUCCAGAAUGCGUCUUCUUCAGUCUUCAUGACAAGUAAUAGUAAUGCUGCAACAUAGUUUAGGCCCUGGAACAAUAAUGGAGUUGAUUAAGAAAAUAUUUUUUCAAUAUAACGGAAAUGGAGAUGGGAAAGGACAAGCGUGUACCUGACAAUAGCCAACAUCAGAAUCUCGAAAAGAAUACCCAACCAGCACGCGUCGUAGAGCAGCAUGACCCUCUGGAGUAUCCAACCAUGGAUGGCCUGGGAAAGUCCGUGGCAGAUCCUGCAAGAGUAGAGACACAAUGUCAGUCAAAGGAAAAUAACAAGAAAAUCCGAGGCGGUUGCAGUAUAAGAUAAGAAAAUCAACAGUUCAUAGCAUAUAGCCUCAAAUGACCAUCAAUCAACACAGAAGGAAGGCUCUACAAGAAAUUGCCUGAACACGAGGAUGAACAACGGAUCUAGAACAAUCUAGAACAAAGGAUCAAUUAAAAUAUUUGGAAAUGAAACCAAGCUUUGUUGGUUUCCUGCAGCUAACAUCGAUCAUUAAAUUACUCAAAAUACUAAUUGAGAGGCACAAUGAAGAUCUAGGGGAUGAAAGAACUAUUCAUAGGACACAACAUAUGAAGCAGCCUCCUAUGACCAUCAUACAACAGUAGUAAAAGAGAUAGGCUUUUAAAAGUAGGCUCUUAUAGUUGCCAACAAAGCACAAGAAUCGACUACAGAUCUACACCAAUCCUAACACAAAGGUUCACUCAAAUUCAAUCCUAAAAUUUCUUUAAAAAAAAAUACUAAGCUCUGAGAAGAAAAAGAAUAAAUCCAAUCAAACCUCAAAUGGAUGGAUCAAAAAGGCAAAAACUGAAACUUUGGAUGUACUCAAACUCACAUGAUCAAUCUGUCUGGUGGCAGGGGUGACCUUGCCAUCGACGGCCUUAGUCAAAUCACUGUAAUAACUAUCGGGGACGGUGGACUUCUUCUUAGCAGCACCGGAAAGAGAAAACCAAACCUUAGGCCUAAGGACAGGAGGGAUCCCUUUCCUAAUCAACCUCUUCAAAGUAAUCGCAUUGGUCAAAGUGGAGAUCUUGAGAGACGUUUUCAAAGCGAUGCCGUCGCCGAUCAAGAGAAUCUCCGGCUGAAGGUACCAAUUAGCACCUUUGCUAGCUUCAAGAGCCCACCAAACCCGUCCUUGAUUCCUCACUUUCUCUCUGACCUCGUUCAAGACAUUAACGUCGUCGACAUUUCCUUCGACGGUGAAGCCGUACAAAUCCUGGAACUUGACGACGAUGUUGGCUCGUCUGGCGUGGAUGCUGGGACGGAGAAUCGGAAUCUGAGAUUGGAGUUCCAUUGUCAAAUCACGCCUGCUCUGGAUCCCAAACAUCCUCCAAAUUCAAAGCCUUUUUUAUUUUAUUUUCUAUCGUCUGAAUUCCCAAGUUUCGUCAAUUUCAGACCAAGGACGAACACGGAAACAUGGACACCGUCAAUACAAAGUUUCUAGGCUGCUGCUACGGAGAGAAAAAAAUUAAAAAAUUAACAAAACGAAGUUGGUGUUUGAUAUAUAUAUUGAAUUAAUCCAAAAGAGAGAGAGAGAGAGUUAUAGAAAUCUGAUUGGUACCUCUGAAUAUUAUAAUUGUAGUCACGUUCUGCAAACGUUAUCACCUCUCUUUGAACACCUAAUCUUCUCCUCUACGACGCCCACACACACAGUCAAAAAAAGAUUACAGCUUUUUUUUGUUAAGAAAAAUAUAUAUAUAAUUUCCAGAAACAAAAAGAAGAAGAACAAGGCAAGAACAGAUGAUUUCUUUUUUUUAUUUAUUAUUUAUUUAUGAUUCUCUCUCUCUCUCUCUCGCUAGCUCGUGAGAACAAAGGACACUAAAAAUGGAAAAAGCAGAGAAAUAAAACAACUCUAAUAUAAAUAGAUUAGGAGAAAGGAAAAAAAAAGGAAAAUUAUUUUAACUGACAACAAAAAGAUCCAGAGGAGCGUUGAAUUGAAUCCCCGCGUCUCUCGCUGUCGAACAAGAAGCAGAGAGAGAGAGAGAGAGAUUCAAUCGCUAGGUGAAAGGAAGAAGAAGAUAUGUGAACUUUUUUAGAUAGAGCUGAGCUGAGAGGUUGAAUCGUGAGCCUUGUACUUUUCUUUUGGGGGUUAUUUUAUAAUUUAAUGAAAGAUUAUUAUGAUUUUGAAACGUUAUUUAGAGAACUGGCUUGGAUUACUACUAGUACUAAUACUAAUGACGCAGGUUUAACUUUUUUGAAUCAUUUUGUUUAUGUCCCCAUUUAGCCUCUGAUUUAUGAUAUUUUCUCCUAUUUUUGGUAAUUGACUAUUAUGCCCCUUAACUUUGUUCGUAUAUCGGCUUUUGGCUGUGUUCUUUUCUGAUGACAAAUAUGUAAUUUGCAUAUGAUGAUGUGUUAAAUGGAUCAUUUUCUAGCUGUUUCUAUCAUCAUUAUAAUUUUAAAAUUUUAAAUUGCAAGAUAGAGAGAGAGACAUGUGUAAGACUAUUUAACACUGGAUCUUUCAAAAAAAGUUUUAAAAUUUCUAAUUCACAGUUCGCUAGUAAUAAAUGAAAAUUAUGAUUCCUUUAGUUUUUGUUUUUUGGGUUAGGUGUAAAAUAUGAUUCCAAAUCUAGAUUUUAAUCAAGAAUUGUGCCAUGUUUUGAAAAAGCUUAAAACUAAAGAAGGCGAAAACGUGCUGAAGUGCUAUAUAUAGCCUAUGUUCAUUUUUUUUUUUUUAAAUAUAGUUGAUGUUCUCAUAUGAUAAAGACACGUAAACUUUUUCUACGAUAAAAUUGUAAUCUGAGAACAAUAUGGUAUCCCAUAAUUUGAUUUGAUUAAUCAGAUUUUGCUUCAAAGAUACGUGAGCCCACGACUCCACUAACCUUCUUAACUUGCGUUUCUACGAUCAUUGUUCGUUAGUUUAUGAGAAACUUUGAAAAAUGCAUCCCCACCAACGGGACCGAUAGUAAAACGAAGCUAGCUCUGCUCAUUACUACGCACGCAAUGAAUAAAAAAAAAAUACAGAGACAUAGGUGGGAUGAAUUAAGUUUCGCCAGUAAGAUGCAAGACUACCUCACCACAACUAGCAAUGUGAUCACAAAUCAGAAUGAGCUCAAUCUUGGGCCUGUGACAUCUCUUAUAUUGGCCCAGCUCAUUCGUUUCAUCUAGUCUACUACUUCAGCAGAACGAGAUAUAUCACCAAAAUUCGUUUUAGAAAAGAAACAAAACUACAAAUAUAACAUUCAUUUUCGUUAAGAAUUUAUAAAAUUUUAUUCUCUAAUAUUUAACACAUACUACGAUUUUUUUUAAAGGCAUUCAUAAAUUAUCUGCUAAUCAGCAUUUAUUUAACGUCCGAUACAUACAAAAAAAAGAAAAAAAAAUGAUUAUGGCUGCAUGAAACAUAAAUAUCAUAUAUGAUGUAUUUCAAUAGUCUACAUAACACAAUUUUAAGUAUAUAAUUAUAUUUUUACCUACGACGUAAGCAAAACAAAUUUUUAAUAGUCUAAAAGAUAAUACACUAUGAUAAGGUCGUCUCAAUUGAUAAGCUAAUACUAAAUAGAAUAAUAUGUCUCUAUCUAAACAUUUUGGUCUAUUAUUUAGUAGUUUGAUAUUAUUAAAAAAGUUGUUGCGUGUGUGUUGUUGCCUUGUUGGGUGCAUUUUUUUAAUAUUGACCAAUAAAAAAAAAAACCCAAAAAAUACAGAUAUUCUCCAACUAAUUUUCGAUUAUUUAAUUAUCACCACCAAAAAUUUAAAAAUAACAUAUGAGAGAAUCUUCUUUGGAAACGAAACUGCCCCAAGAGAAUACUACACAAUACACAACACAGUCCUCUGUUUUGUAGCAAUCUUCUAUGUUCCCGCCGUAACUGAUUUCCACAGAAAGCUCUCAUAACCUCUGUUUUGAGCUGUGAUGGGAACAUGGAAGACGAGAAGCAGUAGUAAUAAGAAGAAAGUUUGCUACAUUUCAGUCCCAGCUCUGAUCAUAAAAUCAGUUUCCUCGUCGUCUUUGCACUCUUUUCUCCAUAACAGAUCUUCAAAGAAGAACACAAACAAAUUCUUCAAUCUCGUAAACCCAAAGCUCUGGGCUUUACUUCUCUUCUUACUUACUAUUUUGGGCAUAUCGUUAAGACUCGGUCUUUGUCUUUCUCCUUUUGGUUUCGGCGAUCACAAAAGUCAACUUCAGAGCUCAGAUUCUAAUGUACCUCCUAAAUCCCAUCUGAGUAUUGCGUUUAGACGAUCAAACACUACUCAAGUUGAGAUUUCCAACGCCAAGGAUCGAUCUUUGGAUACAGGUGUGGAGAAAAAUGAGACCUUUGGUGGUGUUCAAUCACAUUUGAUCACCUCUAAUGGAAAUGGACAAGGUGAUAUUUAUGAGUUCUGGAAACAGCCUGAUGGAUUAGGUUACAAGCCAUGCUUAGAUUUCAGCAUUGGAUACAGAAGAGAGAGUAAGAAGAUUGCUACAGAGAGGAGAAGGUAUCUGAUGGUGGUUGUCUCUGGUGGGUUGAAUCAGCAGAAGAUUCAGAUUGUUGACGCAGUUGUGAUUGCGAGGAUUCUAGGUGCUGUUCUUGUUGUACCAAUAUUGCAAAUCAAUCUCAUUUGGGGUGACGAAAGGUAAAUAGCUAUUUCAUUAUGGAUCAUAAGACAUAAGAAUGUUCAUUUUUGUGUUCAUCCGUCAUUGUAUGAAUGUUUGUUUGCAGUGAGUUUUCAGAUAUAUUUGAUUUAGAGCAAUUCAAGAGUGUUUUAGCAAAUGAUGUGAAGAUAGUUUCGUUGCUUCCCGCAAGUAAGCUAAUGACUAGACCAUCAGAAGAAGGUGGUAUGCCCUUUAACGCCUCCCCUCAAUGGAUCCGUUCGCACUAUCUAAAGCGUGUAAGAUCAUACAACAUCCCUUGGAAUCAAUUAGUGAUUAACAAGUGAGAAGUAAUGUUCAAUGGUCUUUGUUGUUCUUUUAUAUCUGCAGUUCAACAAGGAAGGAGUUCUGCUUUUAAGGAGAUUAGAUUCAAGGUUGUCUAAAGACUUACCCUCUGAUCUCCAGAAGCUUCGUUGUAAGGUAUGUUUCUAACUCGGAAGCUAAACGAGUUGUUUUUGUCCUUAUUAUUUGAACAAAAUUAUAUGUUGCAGGUAGCCUUUGAAGCACUAAAGUUUUCGCCACGGGUGAUGGAGAUGGGGAAGAAGCUUGCAGAGAGGAUGAGGAGCAAAGGGCCUUACAUUGCGUUGCAUCUUCGAAUGGAGAAAGAUGUAUGGGUGAGAACAGGCUGCCUCUCUGGUUUGAGCUCAAAGUAUGAUGAGAUUGUAAACAUGGAAAGGAUUAAGCGGCCUGAGCUCCUAACAGCCAAAUCUAGUAUGACAUCUAACGAGAGGAAACUCGCAGGUCUCUGUCCAUUAAAUGCCAAGGAAGUAACAAGGUAAAUGAGUGAGCUACUAUUUUUCUUACAAGGUUUUCUGUGUUGUGAGAGAGAUUGGCUCUCAGUUCUACCUUUUGAAAUUAGACUGCUUAGAGCUCUUGGAGCACCAAGAGAUGCAAGGAUCUAUUGGGCGGGAGGGGAACCGCUUGGCGGAAAAGAAGCUUUGAAACCGUUAACAAGUGAAUUCCCACAUCUCUACAACAAGUACGAUAUUGCAUUGCCUCUUGAACUCAAACCUUUUGCAAAACGAGCUUCGAUAAUGGCAGCAAUCGACUAUAUAGUGUGUAAGGAGAGUGAUGUGUUUAUGGCAUCUCAUGGAGGGAACAUGGGCCAUGCAAUUCAGGUACACAUUCUUAGGUCUCGGUUGUUUCAAAAGUCAGAUUUCUAAUGUGGCAACUUUACCCACUCUCAAGGGUUGAAUUAAUCUCUCAGGGGCACAGGGCUUAUGAAGGACACAAGAAAAUUAUAACACCAAACAAAAGGCACAUGCUUCCAUACUUUGCGAACACAUCAAUGAGUAAAACAGAGUUUGAGAAGAUGAUAAAGAAAUUACACAGACAAUCUCUAGGACAGCCAGAACUAAGGAUUAGCAAAGCUGGAAGAGAUGUAACAAAGUAUCCUGUUCCUGAGUGUAUGAGCAAUCAAGUCACCUCUACGAUAAUUUAAAGCUUCUUUUUUUGGCACAUAUGGUUAAAAAAACAAAGAUUAUCAUUAAUAUAAGUAUAAUAUAAUCUUUUUACUCCACUUUCCAAGCUUUAUCUAGAUCCUAAACCCUUGUAACAUGAUCUUUUCAUCAACAACCAGGUGAUCUUAGGCCAAAAGAGUAAGAAGCUCAUCAAACGAACAGAGAUGAAAGUUCACAAAUAGCAGCAGAAACAUAUAAGUUUAUUCAUCCAAUACUUAUUCAAAAAAAAAAAAAAAAAAACUCAAUAUCUUUCAGAAAAGAAUCCAAUCUUUGACCAGAGAGACAAACUUAAAAGCUUCUAGAGCUAAAGAAAUGUAAGGGAAUCAGUAGCCUUUUCCACAAUGUAUCAAACUGCCGGCACCUAGAAAAAGCCCGAAAAUUGCCGCACUGCCAACGGUAGUUUGGCCAAUGUAUCUAAUCUUCAUAAGUCCCGGAACCUGCAGAAAGAGAAAAAGGAAUCAGUGAUCAUGAAGCAGUAGUAAUGUGAUAUGAACCUCACACAGUUAACGUUUGGCAUAAGUAUCUAUUGAGAUUGUGUUCACAACCGUGUAAGCAUAGUGACAAACAAGAGCAAUCUCUAACUUUAGACAUCUUUCUUAUCUAACUUAAAGAGCUAAAACUUGAGAUUGAUCAUCCUCUUUAUAACUCACAAAUAAAGACAACAAGACCAAUCAUAACUGAAGCGAUAAGACGGAGCUGUUGCAGUGUGUUUACAAUUGAAGGAGCUAUAUCCAAGAGUGAAAAAGAGUUUCACUUUCAUAAAAAAACCCGAAUUUAACAAGGCUUACCUUGAAUCUAAUCGCCUCGUAAGUUCCAUAGACAGCACCUGAACACAACCACAAAACAAGUUGAAUAUCAUCUCCAUACCAAAAUUCUUGUACAAAUUCCAAAAAUCGAAUAACAUUUAAAGGCAAUUAAGAUUGUAAUUUAGGGUUUAGGGUUUUUUCCCCAGGAAAAAAAAAGAAGCGUACCUACAGCGCCACCAACUGCGCCGCCAAUGGCAACUCCGGCAGUGAUUCUAGCCAAACAGCUAUUAUUAUUCGCCAUCUUUUUUUUUUAGACAAUUCGGUCAGCUGUGUUUCUCUCUUCUCUGUCGGAAAAAUAAUAUUGCGGUUGCCCUCGCCGCUUUAUAAGGUUUUCUGACUUUCAAUUUUCUUUUGCUUGCACAGUGGGAUCGAUUUUGCCUUUCCCUACAAGAACAAGACCCGCCGCAACACCGACCUGUUCCUAAACCGGCUUAACCGAUUCGAACCAAAUUUGUCGAAGGCGUCAUUAGUUUCUUUAUACACCUUCACCCAAACCGGCUCCAGCGGAUCGUUCUUACCGAAGCCGGCAUUUAUUGGUUAAAAAAAUUAAAAAUUUACCAAACUAACAUUUUAUUGAAAAUUUACCAAACUAAAAAUUAAAAAUUUACCAAACUAAAAAUUAAUAUGGAAAUAACCAAAUUUUAAAAAAUUCCAAAACACCUUUUUUUUUUUUUUUUUUUCCCAAUGUGCUGUAAAAAAGAUCAAACAAAAUGUGGAAGUGAAUUGUACUAGAUCAUUCUCUAUAGUAUGUAUCAGUAAAGUCAGAUGAGCGAAUAAACGAAUAUUGCUAAAAACUUUGGGUGAAUGGUUACAAAUUUACAUUUAAAAAUAAAGAGAGUCAUUUUCGUUUAAUAAAGUCAUCUACUGAAUUAAAUUAAUGUCAUUGGUGUAAAAGAAAAUUGCUAGUUCGUGAAAAAAACAUAUUUCUCUUCGAAACAAAGAGACUAGUCUCUCGAUAUAUCAGCUCGCUACCAAUAUAUCUAGUCGUCCUGGGAACAACGUAGGUUUUGUUCAGGGAGAGACACCGGGUCCAUCGUCUUGAUCCACACUGCCAAAACAAAACCCAAUAUGCCUUCAUAUGAAAGAUAUAGAUACAUAGAUUUCAGAAUAGCAAACACAAAAACUGGAUAGAGAUAUAUCUUGAUCAAUAAUAGUAUUCAGUCAGUAAUCACUUGUUUAACCAAAUAUACCAAAGGAGGAGCUUUUAUCAGGGAGUGUUGUACCUAAAACAUGACUAGUAGUAAUUUCUAUUUCCGAGUAAUUAAGACUAAAGUCUAGGCUGAUACUUACUAAAAACUAACUCAGAAGUCAGAAUCUUCAAAAAGGAUUUACCUUUGGUAACGAAACCGCAUGAGGGAUUGUCUACUCUUACCGAGGAAAAUAAUUCGGGAGAGGCUGCGGAGCUUUUUGUUCUCUUUUUUUCAACCCUAAUUUUUUAUUUGUCAAAAAAGCUUUCUGUAUAUAAUAAUUAAAAAAAUAAUUCCCAAUUUAUGUAAUUAUUUCGUAAUUAAGUAUUUACGGCGUAAUAUAUACUGAUGGCAGAAAAUGGUAAUUUACAGACGAAAGUAUCGGCGAAGAGGAGGGAUUGGGUGCUCUGUUUAAGUGAGAUUGAGGAGGUUCUCCCACUUGUAAAUUGAGAUGGUUCCUCCUGUAAUUUAUACGUAUGCGCGAAGGAGAAGUCGGAGACUUGGGAGCGACGAUGAUAGUUCAGUGAUGAUGACUCCUCGGAGACCCGACUCCGAUAUUAUUGAGGUAUGUGAUGAGAAUCGCUCGAUUAGUUUAUUUGAGGAUGGGGAGGACUAUGAUGAUCGAAUUCGAGUUUUGGGUUGCAUUGCUGAGACUGAAACUCGACAUGGUUCAAGUAAUUUGCUUCUUCAAUGUCAUGAUGAUGUUUGUUGCCUCGACAAGGAGAAGAGCGAUAGCUUUGUUUCAUCUAGUAGAAGAAAUUUGGAUGAUUUUUUAUCUGGGUGCUCUUAUAAGGGUGUGAGGACUAGGAAAAGAGAUGCAUUUGGAAGUGAAACAAAGAGUAAUCUUGUUUCUCCUCAAAUUGAUGUUGAUGAUGUUGUUUCUGAAUCUCAUGCUGGUGUAAGAAGAGUUUCUCCAUACUUCCAGGGGUCUACUGUGUCACAACAGUCCAAAGAAGGGUGUGAUUCUCAUAGUGUUUCCUCUCAAAGUGGAAGAAAUUGUAGGAAAAGAUGCAGCAGAGUUCAAGCUAAAGUCCCUAGAGUUUCUCCAUACUUCCAGGCAUCUGCUAUUUCACAGUGUGAUUCUGACAUUGUUUCUUCUCAAAGUGGAGGAAGUUAUAGGAGAGAUAGCAGCAAACAUCAAGCUAAGGUCAGAAGAGUUUCCCGUUAUUUCCAGGCGUCAGCUGAUUCAGAACAGCCAAACCCGCCAAGGGAUUUGCGCAAGUAUUUUAAAGUUGUGAAAGUUUCAAGAUAUUUCCAUGAUGUGUCUGCGGAUGGAAUUCAAGUUGCUGAUUCACAAAAGGAGAAAUCUAGGAGGGUGAGGAAAACUCCCGUUGUGAGCCCUUCACUAUCGCCUUCUCAGAAGACGGAUGAGGCAUACCUGCGCAAAACGCCAGAUAACACAUGGGUGCCUCCACGCUCUCCGUGUAAUUUACUUCAAGAAGAUCAUUGGCAUGAUCCAUGGCGGGUGCUAGUUAUAUGUAUGCUUCUCAACAAAACAUCUGGUGCACAGGUUUGGCCUCAUUCCUCUCUCCUUAUCUUUGCUGAACUUGAAUAUAAUUAGCAUUUUAAGACCAAAUUUAAGACCAAAUAAGUUUGAGUGGGUGUGUUUAGUGUUGUCAUUUAUUGUUUCAUACCUUUCUCAAUCUUUGAUAGCAAUCAGCACAUGUAAGUCCUUCUUGAGAGAAUUCCAAAAUUUGUUAGAAAGUAAGAAGUUAGACCUCUGUGGGCUUAAAGCUUUCAAUUUACAUAUUUAACUGUUGUAGAAGAAGUAGUUGCAUUUAUGAAUUGAAUUGCUUGGUUUUGUUGAAUUCGGUAGAAGAAAAGGCUUUGUGGUUGGUCAGUGGAUAUACUUUUAAAAUGUGAUUGCAGACGCGGGGAGUGAUAUCAGACUUGUUCACAUUGUGUCCUGAUGCAAAGACUGCAACAGAAGUUGAAGAAAAGGAGAUAGAGAGUCUAAUAAAACCUCUCGGACUACAAAAGAAGAGAGCCAAAAUGAUUCAACGGUUUUCUCUCGAGUAUCUUAAUGAGAGCUGGACUCAUGUCACUCAACUGCAUGGCAUUGGAAAGUAUGCAGCGGAUGCGUAUGCGAUAUUCUGUAACGGGAACUGGGAUCGCGUGAAGCCUAGUGACCAUAUGCUAAACUAUUACUGGGAAUUCCUCAGGAUCCGGUAUAAACUAUGAGUGGGAAGGUACAAGUACAUAUUGUGCUAAUAUUGCUAGUUAUCUUUGUUCUGUCUUUUCUUGUCAAUGUCACCAAUGUUUAAAAGCUGUAAAUGAAAUAUUAUUUUAUAUACAUCUAGUUUGUUUAUUUAAAAUUGCAAUGUGUUUUGGGUAUCAUCUGUGGGUUCUUUUGUGUGUUUUAAUAUUGUCGAAGAUGGGGGCAUGAGUUAGUUGAGGGUGAAAAGGUAUGCGACUUUCUCAGUUGUUAUUAUAUUCAAAAUUAAGUUUGCUCUUUGGUAGAUUGGGCACCAAGUCACGAUAUAAUAAUUCAAAAGAAUGACAAUGAUGAGGCAACUACUGCUAUGAGCCAAAUCCAAAACUAUCAACUCAUUACAAUUAGUUCAGUAUCUAUCUAUUGGUAAACCAAACACAACUUAUUGCCUUUUAUUGUCUUGUUUGCACAGGCAAUCACAAAAUUUUAAUCUGUGUCUUCUUUCUUUUUUUUUUCCUUUAUUAUAACCUGUGUUCCUAAAUUAAGAUAUUUUCAUUAGGUUGUUUUGUUGUCAGGGAAAAAAAUUUGAAGAAGGAAGUAAUUAAAUGUUGUGAUAAUUGUUUUAUGACGUGUCAACUACAAAAUUGAAAAUCACAAAAAAUCGAAAUUCCUCUUCUUUUUUUUUUUUUUUUGGUUUAUCUCUCUCUCUCUCUCUCUGGCCGACAAAUAAAAAAACAAAAACACAACUAAUCAUAGGCUUCUCCAUCUCUCUUGUCUGCAGGAUGAUGCAAUUUUUCAGACAAUUUUCUUCCGAAAUCCUUUCGUAAUUCUGUUUUAUUUUUCAUCGUUUAUAGGUUUUUUACCCUCCGUGGACGUUAUAUCCAAAACAUUAGUUCUUCUCAAAAAAAAAAAAAAAGACUUUCAACUGAUCUUUAGAGUUUUUAGGUUCUUCCAAGAAAUUGAAUUUUUGGAGUGAGGGCUUCGAUGGAUUUGGAAUUUCAUAUUCUCCCUUUGUUUAAGGUAAAUCCCUGAAAAACUUUUGCUUUCUGUGGUGCAAUCGAGUUAUUGCAUCUCUUUAUAUUUUGUUCGUGUUGAUUCAGAUUCUCGUUGUAUAAAAAAUGCAAUGGCUCUUCGGGGGAUGUUGUCUUGAUUUUGGGAGAAUCUUGUUUGAAUGGUCACGGCUUUUCUGAACAUUCGUGUGUUCUUUAUCAUUGUCUCGGCUCUGGUUCGAAAUGUCUCUCGGCCAAGAAAAUGUCGAUCCUGUUGAAGUUCCAGGUAAAUCCAACACAAUCUUUUCUUCAAUUAUUCACCCUCAAGUUUUCAAACCUGUAAAAGGUUUCAAAUUUUUGGCUUUUUUUUUUUUUUUUUAAUUAUAGGGACGCACGCUUGCUUAUAUGAACUUUUAUGUUCAGAGACACCCAAAUGGACUCCUCUAAAGGAUUUGCAAACAUCUUCUUCUGGUGAUUAAUUUUUGUCGGAGAUUAACAUUCUUAAGAUAUGUUAGUGUCAGUUGGAGACGAUCUCAUCUCCUGUUUGGUUUUUUUUUGUUUUCAGAUCCCCGAGAUCGGUUGGAGAAGUUGCUUAAGCAACCUGGGAAUAAAUAUUGUGCUGACUGUGGCUCUCCUGAACCAAAAUGGGUGUAAGUUGCCCUUAAUACUUGUGUGUGGUUUGCUCAUUUCUAUUGAUGGAUUGUACUGAUUCAUCUCGUUCGUUUUAGAUCGUUGAGUCUCGGUGUAUUCAUCUGCAUUAAGUGUUCUGGUGUACACAGGAGUCUUGGAGUUCAUAUAUCUAAGGUACUUUCUUUUCAUAAACAAUCUUGAUUUUGCUCUGUUUUUUUUUUUUUUGGGUGUGUUUAUAGGAUUAUAUCGAUUAAUUUGAUUGACCGAUCAUCACAGGUUCUGUCAGUAAAGCUAGACGACUGGACAGAUGAUCAAGUUGACAUGCUUGUAGGGUAUGGUGGAAACACUGUAGUGAACCAGAGAUUCGAAGCUUGCAACAUCGACCAGUCAAAGAAACCCAAACCAGAUUCCACUAAUGAGGAACGCAAUGAUUUCAUCAGGUGACGUUUUACUUACAGUUUGUUAUAAUGGUAUGUUUGUUAAUCAUCUUAUCGUUAUAUACUUAUAUCUUUGAUAUCUGCAGAAAAAAAUAUGAAAUGCACCAGUUUAUGGAUCCAAAGGAUGGUGCUUUGUGCCCUUAUCAGCAACCUAGCAAAGUAAAUACUUCACCACCGUCUUUAUGUUCCGCAAACCACCGUUCUACAAAAAACCGUAUUGGUCAUGCAUUUAGGAAUAGCUGGGGAAGAAGAGAAUCUGAUCCCAAAGGACCAAAGAAGAGCAAUUCCAUGGUAACAACCACUAAAACAUACAUACAUACAUUACAUGAUUGGCUAAUAACUGUUGCUAACGUUAAUCUUGUGGGUGUUUUAUAGGCAGGUAUGAUUGAGUUUGUGGGAUUAAUUAAGGUUAAUGUGGUAAAAGGAACCAAUCUUGCGGUUCGAGACGUCAUGACCAGUGAUCCUUAUGUUAUCCUUGCUCUUGGCCAACAAGUGAGCUCUCUGCCAAAUCUCUCUAGACAGCUUGUAUAUGAUUUUAAAUUAACCUCUUGCAUGAAGAACAAACUCGGUUAUUCUCAUUGUUUGUUUGUUGUAGUCGGUAAAAACACGGGUGAUAAAGAACAACUUGAAUCCUGUAUGGAAUGAGACGCUAAUGCUUUCCAUACCCGAGCCCAUGCCUCCUCUCAAAGUGGUAAGCACAGAAAAAUCAUGAAUAUUUUUUAACAGAGAGCUUUAGUUUGAGCUCAUUGACUUAACCAAACUCUUAACUGAUAUGUAAACUUUCCAGCUAGUGUACGACAAAGAUACAUUCUCGACAGAUGAUUUCAUGGGAGAGGCAGAGAUAGACAUACAACCAUUGGUGAGCGCAGCAAAAGCUUACGAGACAUCAAGCAUAAAGGAACCGAUGCAGCUGGGGAGUUGGGUGGCGAGCAAAGAAAACACAUUGGUGAGAGAUGGCAUAAUCUCGCUGGAAGAAGGGAAAGUGAAACAAGACAUAUCACUUAGGCUCCAAAAUGUCGAGAGAGGUGUACUUGAGAUCCAGCUUGAAUGUCUUCCUCUCACUCAAUGAUGCUUCUACUUUCUUCUUGAUCCCUCAUUUUCAUUAAAGUUUUACUUUUUUUUUUUUAUCAAUAGUGAAGAGAUGAUGAUGCUACUUUCUUCUUGAUCCACCUCAAAACCUAUGUAAAAAUUAAACCAUAAUAUGAUUUUGAUGAUUCUUCAGAGAACCAAAUACUAGUUUCUACAGGGAGAGACCCAAUUAUAUUUCGAAAAAUCAUGUAUGUUUGAGGUUACAAGCUACCGAUAUGGAGAUGUAAUAUGAUAAAGAAUAUAUAAUUAAUUAGUCCGGUAACACGGUUAAGUAAUAAAAUUAAUUUUAUAUAUAUAUAAGUAAUAUAUUUCCAAUUGUGGGAGAAGAAGUAGAGGAGGAGAAAAUAAUCUCCGGUUAGAGCUGCGUCGACGAGAUCUAUCGUCACUCGUCAGGCAUCUCAGAUUUAUUGUUACACUCUUCGCUCAAGUCCGGCGACAUGAGUUCUCCGGUACGGAAUAUUAUAUCAGAUCUACCAAAUCCGCCUGCGAUCUCUUGCGUUUUCGUUGUUUUGAUAAACCGUCUUCUCUGAUCUUCUUCUUCGUCUUCUUACAUUGUGAUUCAGGGAACCAGUAUGUUCACCAAUUUCACUAAGCUCUGCAAAGGACUUGCUCUGGUGCUUGUGGUGGGACACCUCGUUGUUCAGUUCAUUCCUGCUACCGUCCCAUACCUUGCUCUCAUUCCGGCGAGGUACUGCUUCGUCUUCUCUCCCUCUUGUCAAUUCUAGGGUUACGAUUUUGCUACUGAAUGCAUUUUGUUCUACUGCUUGAUUUUGCGUGAUUGUUGUUUAUGCUUUAACUAAUUGUUGGUUCACUGUUUUGAUAGGAUUAGGGUUCCAUAUAUUUUAAAUCAGCUAGUAAGUGUAUUACUUAGGAUGCGAAUUUGAUGCUCGCAUGGUAAUAUUACCAUAUCAUUCCAAUGUGAUGCUCCUUGCACAUUGUGAAAUCCAGUAUUAAGAAUGACUGAAUGGCUUCUCAGAUAAUCAGCAUAUGUCAUUCUCUAGUUUGGGAUUGAAGUAUUAUUACCAUGGUAGGUUCUGACUUGUUAUAUUUGUUAAAUCUUCUCUAUUAUAGGACUAUUCCUUUUGCCUGGAACCUUAUUACAAGCGGCUAUUUUGAACUAUCAGUAUAUGGGGUAUGUUCAACUUGUUCCUAGCCAGUCUAGAUUUCUAAUCUACAAUAAUUGAAUAGACGAGUGACUGUUUGCAAUGUGGCAGGUUGUCUUCAGCACCGUUUCUCUCCUCUUUAUGGGAAAGUUCCUGGAACCCGUCUGGGGUUCCAAGGAGUUCCUUAAGUUCAUAUUUGUGGUGAACUUCCUUACGUAUCUCUGUGUCUUCGUUACAGCCAUUGCCUUGUACUACAUAACGAGGCUGGAAAUCUACCUGUAAGUACUCCACCUUCCUAUACAUACACACUUAGUGUCUGCUUUUUUAUUCUGUUCUCUUACUUAUACAUGAAGGUGACUCCAUUAUGAAAAUAGAGUUUGAAAUUCUUCAAGCUGUGUACAUUGUAACUCGUUUGCUUCUCUGCUCGAUUAAGUUCAAUCUUCACCACUGUAUAUGAUGAAUCCUUUAUUCUUAGUUAACUUCAUUUUUUCCACAGUAUCAUAAUGUGUUCUCUGUUUUCUCCUUGCUAGAUAUAUGCCCUUUGCAGGUUUUAAUGGUGUCUUGGCAGGCCUUCUUGUCGGUAUAAAGCAGAUAAUACCUGACCAGGAGGUAUAUCUGAUAAAGAUAAAAGCAAAGGUAAUCUCUUACUUUGUUGUAAGAUAUGAAUAUAACUAUGUCAUUUUCUUAUUUCAACUUUGGCUGGUUGAAGAAGUUCUCACAUCCUAUUCUACGUCUGGUUUUUGUGUGCAGUGGUUGCCCUCAAUUGUGCUAGUUUUGUCAAUAGCCUCAAGCUUCUUCACACUAGAUUCAGCAGCAUAUCUUCCCACUUUGAUAUUUGGUACAUAUAUGGGGUGGUUAUACCUCAGGUACCUACAGAGGAGACCAGAAACAAAGCUCAGAGGAGAUCCAAGUGAUGACUUUGCAUUCUCCUCUUUCUUUCCUGAAUUUCUCAGGUGAAAAUUAUUUCUACACUUUUAACUAUACUUUCGACUUUGCCCGCAUAUCAAUUCUUGCCUCCUAUGUUGUUGGUAAUUUUGUUUUAUUUUUCCGAAAUGAAACGCAGGCCCGUAAUUGACCCCAUAGCAUUAAUCUUUCACCGAAUGCUUUGUGGACGAUCAAAUGUCACCAGUGAAGACCAUGGUUAUGCUACCAGCGGUGCGCCAUUGCCAGGUUCUGAUUCUGUUGAAGCAUCCAGGAGAAGGUAAUUUUUUUUUCCUUUUCUUUUCCCCUAUUUCCUGUUCUAGUUCAAUGGCAGUUUAUGACUUUAGAUGCAACGAUCUUACUAAAUCCUUAGCUCGUUGGGGGUUAGUGCAGAUCACGUCUUCAAAUAUGUACACCCUUAUUUGGCUUGACAUACUAUAGGAUCUAGUUGAUGCAAACUGAGAUAACAAAUGAUUACAUUCACUCGAUUCUAAGAAAAAAUAGUAGUGGCUCGUCAUCAGUUUUUGUUUUAGCAAAAUGUAGGAGUUAGACUUAUGAAUGGUUUAUACCGAACCAAAUUGUGAGAAAGUUGUAUAUCAGGUUCUGGAAAAGGCAAAAACUUGUCAUAACAAAAAGAUGUUAUUUGCAGAGAAAGAGGGGCAAGAGCUCUAGAGGAGAGACUAGGAACAGAAAGAUUGGCUCCUGCAAGAAACAAAGAUGAAUUGCAGAGUGAUGCUUUGGAUAGCGUAUAAGUGGAGAUGGCAAGAAGCGUUUUGAAGAAGGUGUGUGGAUUUCUCUUGCUUGUUUCAGGUGGACAGCUUUUUCUUACUUUAUGAGGUUUGGUCAUCAUUAUACCAAAGGAAAAAAAAGUCAGCUUCUCCGUAAAUUGUUAAGACAGCUCUAAAAAAAAAAUAGUAAAUUUCCUUGGGGUAAACCAGUUAGAAACGAUUUCAUUGGACGAGAUAAUAGAAAUUUAUACAUGUUUAACUUCACCAAAGAUGUUUUCUUUGUUUGGUGUCAAACAGUACCAAUCGAUGACUCUUAAGAAAGUAAGACAGACAAAAAUGUUUGUUUGUAGAAUGAAAACCAAAUCAUAAACACUUUUUCUCUCUUUAAGGAAAACGAAUAAUCCCAUCUAAACUCUCAGUUAGGCCUUUUCUAUUCAAACUAAACUAUAGACAUAUAAAACCUAGCUGUCACAAAAAUCAUAUAGAAGUUGUGUUGUUUAUUUGGAUGGUUGAAAAGUAAAAAUUUCCAAUGUUACUAGAGAAAUAAAAUCAAUAAAAUUGAAAUAUGAAGAAAGAAGUUUUAAAAAUCCAAGAGAUGAGUCAGAUGGACCAUAAGAGACGGGACUCCAUUGACUAGGAUAACUUUAAAACAACAAAAAAAAAGACAAUAAUACCUGUAUGUGUAAUUGACUAAUUUAAUUUUAGUUUCCGUGGGAAGUUCAUUAUCAUUAUUAUUAGUUUAUAUUUUAAUGCGAAAAAGAAAGGGAAAAAGGAAAUGACGUCAGCAUUGACAAGGUAACCACGUCGCAUCUAUGCGAGUCCCUCCAGAUGUCUGGUUUGGUAGUCGCUUUAGGAAUCAAACGCGGAGCUCCAAUAACAAUGGCCAUUACCAAACUCUUCAAUUUCUCCUCUAUCGAGAGAUUUCAUCACACACCACCAACAACAACAUUUCUCCAUCUUCCUUUUCUUCUUUUUUUCCUCGUCUCUUCUCUUCUCUUCUCUUCAUUUCUGUUGCUCUUUCGUUUCCACGCCAUUCCCACAAAAAAAAAAAAAGAAAAGAAAGACAUCUCCUUUAUCUCCCUCUCUCUUACAAUGCUCUCGUCGUCCUUGGGCGUUAUACUACAUUUUCCUCCAUUGAAAUCCGAUAGUUUCUGAAAGACCGACGAAUUCCAACACAGCAAAUGCGGCUUCGCGAUCUAAGCUAUGGAGGAACGAAUGAGAGAGACGUAGAAUCCAAUAUUUGAAAAAAAAAACAAAAAAAACAAAAUAGAUAUCUUUGUGAAAAAAGUGAAAUUUGGAAGGAAGAAGAAGACGAAGAACAGAGACAUGUCGGUAGCACACGCAGAUGACGCCGACGAUUACAGCAGACCAGCUGGAGAGACUUACCACGCCGAAAAGGCUUUACCGAGCGGAGAUUUCUACACUGGCCAAUGGCGAGAUAAUCUCCCUCACGGCCAUGGCAAAUACCUUUGGACCGAUGGUUGUAUGUAUGUCGGAGAUUGGUCCAGAGGCAAAACCAUGGGCAAAGGUCGUUUCAGUUGGCCUAGUGGUGCCACCUACGAAGGCGAUUUCAAAAACGGUUACAUGGACGGCAAAGGUAUCUCUACUUAUACUCACAACCACAACGAUUGUCUCUGUAUCGUUUGAUCAUCUGAAUCCCGUUUGCCAAAGUUUUUUUUAUUUUUUUAUUUUUUUGUGUUGCCAAAGGUACUUAUAUCGAUUCGUCUGGAGACUUAUAUAGAGGAUCAUGGGUUAUGAAUCUGAGACACGGGCAAGGAACGAAAAGUUACGUCAACGGAGAUUGCUUCGACGGAGAAUGGAGGAGAGGUCUACAAGAUGGACAUGGUAGGUACCAAUGGAAGAACGAGAAUCAUUACAUUGGACAAUGGAAGAAUGGGCUGAUGAAUGGUAACGGCACCAUGAUUUGGAGCAACGGGAACCGUUACGAUGGGUCUUGGGAAGACGGAGCUCCUAAAGGCAAUGGAACUUUCCGAUGGUCCGAUGGGAGUUUCUACGUCGGAGUUUGGAGCAAAGAUCCUAAAGAACAGAACGGCACUUAUUACCCUUCCACGUCUUCUGGGAAUUUUGAUUGGCAGCCACAACAAGUCUUCUAUGCUGAUUUGAGUGAAUGUGUUGUUUCUACUUGUCAGCGAAUCCCGGUUUUGCCGUCUCAGAAGAUGCCUGUUUGGUACGGUUCGGAGCAGAGUAGUAGUGGGAACAGGACCAAGAACAGUGAGAGGCCGAGGAGGAGAUCCGUUGAUGGAAGAGUAAGUAAUGGUGAAAUGGAUUUGAGGAAUAAUGGUUCUGGUUAUCUUCAGUUAGAUGAUAAUCCAGAGAGUAAUAGAUCAUCAUUAGGGCCUUUGAGAAUACAGCCUGCUAAGAAACAAGGACAAACUAUCUCCAAAGGUCACAAGAAUUAUGAACUCAUGCUUAACUUGCAGCUCGGAAUUAGGUAACCGAAACUAUUUGUAUGUUUUUCGCUUUGUAUCUGCUUUGUUUGAUGUUGAGUGUUGUUUUUCUUGGGAAGACAUUCUGUUGGAAGACCAGCACCAGCUACUUCUCUUGAUUUGAAGGCUUCCGCGUUUGAUCCCAAGGAAAAACUUUGGACGAAAUUCCCAUCUGAAGGUUCAAAAUACACUCCUCCACACCAGUCUUGUGAGUUUAAAUGGAAGGAUUAUUGUCCUGUGGUUUUCAGGUUAGAACCUCUCUUACUUUUUAUUUCUUCUCUUGUAGUAUUAUGAAAACAGAUGAAAAUGUUGUGUUUCAUGUAGGACUCUGCGGAAACUAUUUAGUGUGGACGCAGCAGAUUAUAUGUUAUCGAUUUGUGGGAAUGAUGCUCUUAGGGAGCUAUCAUCUCCAGGGAAAAGUGGAAGCUUUUUCUACUUGACCAACGAUGACCGCUACAUGAUCAAGACUAUGAAGAAGGCAGAAACCAAAGUAAGGCCUGAAUUUUAACCUCAAUGUUCUGUUUAUUAAGAUUCACUCAUCUGUUUGUUUUGCCCUUGACAGGUUCUUAUUAGGAUGCUCCCGGCUUACUACAAUCAUGUCAGGGCUUGUGAAAACACUUUAGUUACCAAGUUCUUCGGUCUUCAUUGCGUGAAAUUGACUGGCACUGCACAGAAAAAGGUCCAUACCCUUUUUGUAUUCAUGUCUCUGCAUUGUUGUUAUUAGCAUUUUCAGUUUGGAUGUACUGAUGAGAGAAUACUUGCGCCUGCAGGUUCGAUUUGUUAUAAUGGGUAACUUAUUCUGUACUGGUCACUCCAUCCAUAGGCGGUUUGACCUCAAAGGGUCCUCUCAUGGCCGUCUUACUACUAAACCAGAGUCUGAAAUCGAUCCAAACACGACGCUUAAAGAUCUUGAUCUAAAUUUUGCGUUCCGAUUGCAAAAGAACUGGUUCCAAGAAUUCUGCAGGUGAUUGAUUCCUUACUUAUACCUCUUUUCACUUUUUUUUUUUAUUAGUAAACCGAAAUUCAAGUGUUUGUGUGUUUACCAGGCAAGUGGACAGAGACUGUGAAUUCCUUGAACAAGAGAGAAUCAUGGAUUAUAGUCUCUUGGUUGGUCUUCACUUUCGAGAAGCUGCUUUCAGGGACUCUGCCACUCCUACUUCGGGUGCUCGAACCCCGACAGGUAAACUCUUGUCAAAUCUUUAACCCAAUUUUCAAAUCUUGAAAGCUCGAUUAAAGCAGCUUCAUCAUCUUUAUGCAGGAAAUCCAGAUAGUGGAAACCCUCGUAUCUCGCGAGCAGAAAUGGACCGGUUUCUUCUUGAUGCCAGCAAGUAAAGAACAAAAAACUCAACGUUUAUAUCCCAAAACCGUAAGAGGGUGAUUUGUUUAUAACACAAGUGUGGUUCUUCUUAAAUGAUUUUUUUUGCCAGGCUAGCAUCAAUAAAAUUGGGUAUAAACAUGUCUGCAAGAGUUGAAAGGACAGUGAGAAGAAGUGACUGUGAGAAUCAGCUUGUUGGGGAACCAACUGGUGAAUUUUACGAUGUGAUCCUCUACUUUGGUGUUAUAGACAUUCUCCAAGACUACGACAUAAGCAAGAAGCUUGAACAUGCCUACAAAUCAAUGCAGUAUGAUCCUACGUCGAUAUCUGCGGUUGAUCCAAAGCAAUACUCUCGACGUUUCAGGGAUUUCAUCUUCAGGGUCUUCGUUGAAGACACUUGAGAGAAGGAAUCAUCUAACUUGCAAGCCAAGGCCCAACAAAGUUGAGGUUUUUCUUUUUGUUAGAAUAUAUUUUUUCUUUUACUUCUCUAUAGAUAUAUUUGUAAAUUUAUUAUGUUACUAUAUUCAACCAAUUCUUAUAAGUAGAGAAAAUAAUUGAUUCUUUUGUAAUUAACUAAAGUUCAAUUUUUGUUGCUGUUGUUGUUGUUCUUUUGUAUUGCGUUUCUUCAAACGUGAAAGGAAGUAUAUGUACAUUGUACAGAUGGUUGACUUGUAUUUUCUUAUUCAUUACCUUUCUUCCAAACUUUUAUAUUUGUUACUCUUUAGAAUUGAUUAACCAUUAUACAACAGAGCAUGUAGUUUCUUUGUUUCUUUUUCUCUUUUUCAAACUGAUUUUUUUUUAUUACGUUGGAAUAAGUUGACUUGUAUAGGUUGAUUAGGUAUUACUGUAUUAGUAAUGAUGUGAGGUUUCUGGUGCUUCUCUACAUGACAAGCUCAAAGUCAAUGCUCAUAAUUUUUAGAAUAUUGAGUUUACAUAAGAUUUGAAUAGUUUUAUUUUUGGAUUGUAUAGACUUAUCAUUUUUGUUUUUGUUUUUAGACUUGGCUUAUAAAUCAGUAGUAAGGAGACAAGAGAGAGCAUCCUUAAAAACAGAGAGUAUAAUAAGAGGGCUAAAAUCUAUAGCUGAUUAUACAAUAAUGUUCUGACUCUAAUUUUACCAAAUUAUAAAAAUUAACCCUAGACUUUGCAUUGAUUAGGGAUAUUGCUAAUCAGGAAUCUAGAAUACGUUGCAGAACGUUUUUUUGUGUGUGUGAAAGAGAUGUCUAGAAAAGCUAAGCUAAAUGAGUUUCUUCUAAAAGAUACUGCUCCCAAAAAGUAAUUGGGAACAGUCACACGAACGUCUAGAAACUAAUUUGAGACAGGAUCAUCGAAACUGGUAGUUGGAGACAUCAUGUGUCUAGGGAUCCUGCAUAUGCGUUUUGGCUACAAGUACGAGACUUUAUAAGUGUUUACCGCCUGAUUUAAUUGACAUUAUGCCUUCUCGCAUGCCUAUGAUUGCUCCUCUUGUAGCUAGGUUAUAUAAACUGCCAGGUUUCCAUUUUAGGGUUUGUCCAUUUCGGUCUGUAUCAUUAAUUGACCCAAACCCUUUAUCCUAAAUGUGGAAGGUUAUAGUUAUACUAUCACGUACGUACCUAACGCAAGAAAGAGUAUGAGAGUUCAAAAAAAAAAAAAAAAAAAAAAGUUAAACACGCAAGACCCUAUUCCAUGCCAAUCUAUACCUUCUCUCUAACUUAACCUUUGACAUCAUUUACCAAUUAUCCAUCUUACACAUCCUUUUCUGUUAGCUCUGCCUAAUUUUCACUAAUAUCUUGAUUCUUACUAUGUACCAAAUUAACGUCAUGCAUGUUAUUUCUUUCUUUCUUUUUUUUUUUAUUUCUUUCGAAAACAUGCUAACAUUAAAACAUGUACAAUUUUGGUCAUUAAAAGUUAAAACAGGAUAGUGUCAUACAGAUUUAAUUUGAUGGUUUCGAUCAAUAUAAUUCUUUUUUCUAUUUCUCCUCAUAUUUGUUUGCUAUAUAUUUUAGUGCUAGCUCGGACAAUAUUUUUCCUCCGCAAUAUAUAAACGAGAAUUUGGUUUCUUACCGAAACACAUUAGUACUAAUUUGACCACAUGAGUACGUACAGCACUAUUGAAGAGAGACAGGUUCAAAGUAAAUGGGUUUGAACUCUUUUUCUAAUUGGCCACGAGUUGUGGCCUGUGGGGUUUCGAGUUAUAUAAAAAAUCUAAGAAAAUAAUUACAUAAGUAUGAAAAUGGUUAAAAGGUUGGGUUGAAGACAUAUAUCUAACAAAGUUGAAGUGAAACCUUUAACCAACAAAACUGCUUUUACUUGAGACUUCUAUUCAGUUAUUUGCAGAUAACCUAAUUAAUUUCAAAGCCAAAGUCAAUACUUACUUCUUCAUCUAGGCCGAGAUUAGCUCUUCCAUUUUCAGAUUUAAUUGUUUUAAUAGAAAGCUCUUUACAUGUCUUUUUUCCUCUUACCCAUGAAUGUUGGGAUAUGACCAAAAUUUUUCAAAUUGUUAGCCAGUCUUUUCCCAUCACAAUAAGAAUUUUGAAGGGUUUUUUUACCAAACAUAUGCUAGAAGUGUAUUAUUACGGGUUAGACUGGUGUACUUUGUUCCGGUUUAUGUCAAACCAUUAGGUUAUACUAACAAUUAAUUAAAUUAACAAAAAAAAGAAAAAGAAAUCAAAUCCACUGACUCUAUAAUUUGACGCAGUAAUAAUAAAUAAAGUAAGAAAAUAAGACGUUUGGUAAUUGUCAUAUAGCCACUUCUUUCCUCCCACGACGAGAGGGUUCGAAGUCGAACCAAUCAAGGUGGGAACUACACGAAGAAUUAUGUACCACUAUGCCAUAAACUCCCAUCUAUUAUACUUACUAACUAACUUGUCUUUAAGACAAAAAAAAAUGGAAAAAUAGAAGGUUUUGUUUAAAUAUGUAUUUCUAUUGUUAUUGUUGGUUUUUGUAAAACGUAAAACGUUCUUCUAUGUACAACUUUUUGUGAAGCUUCAAUUAAAAAAAAAAACGAAUGACUUUAAUAUGUAAAAUAUUAACCCCUUCAUUUUAUAUAUUUAUUAUUCGUCAAAGUAAAUGUCUUUAACGUGGCUGUUUAUUAAUGUACUUCAAUCGAAUAAAAAAAAAACUUCAUUGUACUGCAAAUGGUGGUUUGGAAGCGAUUUAGGUAAUGGAAAAUGAGGAAUUAUAACGAACAUUUCCUUCUGAUUUUAUACCGAAUAAAGAUAUGAACAUCCGAGAUCUCCUUUCAAGUAAUUUUAACCAACAUACCCCAUAAAAAUUAAAGAAUUUUUUUUUUUGAAAACAUUAAUCUUAUUUUAUUUUAAAAUUGUGAGAAUCUUAUGGAAUUUUUCAUUCGAGAUAUCCAUGAGAAACCCUCUCUCUCCUCUAAACAUUUGACACAAUUCAUUUUUAUCUAAAUGUUAAGCGUCAUUAUCCAUAAGUUUAAGUUAUAUAUUAGUAUUAUUUUUACUUAAGAUAAAUACAAAAUAUUAAACUAAUAUUAUUUUAUUUGUUUUUGUUUCAAAAAAAAAGAAAAGAUAUUGUUCUAGUUGUAAUUUGAUAUGUUUAAUACAAAUCAAUCCAAUGAAUAUAUUUUAGAUGUAAUUUGAUAUAUUUAGAAAAUAAUGAAUGAAAAUAAUAAUAAUAAUAAUAAUAAUAAUAAUAAUGAAAUUUCAUAUUAAAGAAUAUUAUAAUUAAAUAACAAUAAUCCAAUAGGAUAAUUUUGUUAUUGGAUAGGAUAUCUUUUUAUUUAUUUAUUAGGAUAUCUUUUUUUUUUUUUUUUUUGUGUGCACCAUUUGAUAGGAUAUCUAACAAAUGGAAAUGCUCUUAUAUAUUCCAGUCUCUCUCCCAUGUCUAUAAAUAUAGACACUUUUGCAUUCUCCAUGAUAUACAUCAUUCACUCUUUUCUCUUUCCCUCAAACAUUCUUUUAUACGUCAAACCCAAAUCUAAUCUAACUUUUAGAGAAGUCACUCAAAAAGAAAAAAUGUAUGAAAAGUUCAUAAACUUGUCAGCAUUUCUCUUAAUGUUUCUCCCUUGUUGUCUCAGCAGCUACCCAUUUGAUCAUAGAGAUGAUCCUUUCAAGGCUUCCGAUGUUUAUUACGAAACCAGUCAUCUACAUGGUCACAUUACACGCAACAGUCAUACGAAAAGCCACCAUGGUUAUGCUCCUAGAUCUUCUCCUCAAGCUUUUAACGUCAACUCUUUUGGUGCUAAAGCCAACGGAAACGACGAUUCUCAGGUAUUUACUAAAUAUCCUUUUCAUCCAUAUAAUUAUAUAUAUUGAUUUAUAUAACAAUUAACGUGACUGAAAUAUACAUUUUGAGCCGUAGGCGUUCAUGAAAGCUUGGCAAUCAGCUUGUUCGUCAACUGGAAUAGUUUACGUCGUGGUUCCGAAAAAUAGAAAAUACACGAUUAAACCGGUUACGUUCUCCGGUCCAUGUAAAUCAUCCAUGAUUGUUUUUAAGGUAUGAUUUACACACAAAAAAAAAAAAAAAAACAAUGUACGUAUGUAUAGGCCUGAAUUGUUAUUGUGUAAAAUCUUAUAACUAAAUUUGUAAUGUUGUGAAUUUUAGAUCUACGGAAUGAUUGAGGCAUGGGAAAAUCCAUCAGACUACAAGGUACGAAGGCGCUGGAUUGUGUUUGAAAACGUCACUAACCUUCGUGUUGAAGGAGGUGGCCGCAUCGACGGUAAUGGACAUAUUUGGUGGUCAAAAUCUUGCAAAAUCAACCCUAAACUUGUAAGUUCGUCUUCUCUCUAUCUAUUUGGAUCAAUACAAUGUCGUCUUUAUAUAUAAAACCCUCCUCUUAAAAAGUACAUAAUUAACAAAAUUUGUUUAUUUUGUUAAACAGCCUUGCCUGGGUGCUCCAACGGUGAGAACCUCAAACGCCUCUAACUUGUUUCCCAUCUUAAUUAAUUAAUUUCAGUUCUAAUUAAUAAUGUAAUUAAAAAAACAAUAAAUGGGCAGGCGGUUAUGUUUAUGGAGUGUAACAACUUGAGAGUAAGUAACAUUAGGUUGGAAAACGCACAGCAAAUGCAUUUGACGUUUCAAAACUGCCAAAACGUGAAGGCUUUGCGUCUUAGGGUCACAUCUCCGGGUGAUAGUCCUAACACCGAUGGCAUUCACGUUAGCGGAAGUCGCAAUAUCUUAAUUCAAGACUCUGUCGUUGGUACUGGUAAGUAUUUCAUGAACCCAUCUUCAUAUAAAUUUUAGUGAAUAAAAAUUAAAAUAAGUGGAUAGUAAAGAGUGUUGGGUUUGGAUUUGGUGAUGAAGGUGAUGAUUGUAUAUCGAUAGUGAGUGGGUCGGAGAAUGUGAGAGCGACAGGCAUUACAUGCGGGCCUGGUCAUGGAAUCAGGUCUAACCAUCUCUCUCCCUAUUUUCACCUAAAGUUUUUGUUUUUAUUCUUUCUUUAAGCAUCAUACUAUGUACAACACAUUCUCUAUCUUUCAUUUGUUGGAAAACUAUAUCAACUAAUCUUUAUCAACCAGAGUAUAUUUUUUUUAAUGAGAAAAGGAUAUAUGAUGCAUGCAUGCUCAAAACCAUUUGUUGAUGGAGAGAUUAUUAAUAUAUUAACUAAAACGAUUAAAAUGCAAUGUUUUUAAAAUGGUGUUAGGCGUUCUAGCACAAGCAUUUUUAUUUGGUAUGAAUAGACUUCCGACAUUUUUAGAACAAAAGAUUUUUAAGGAAAAAAAAAACAUUUGCUGACUACAUAUAUAUAAUUAACUAUUGGUAUUUUCUGGACAUGUAAAUAGUAUUGGGAGUUUGGGAGCCGGUAACUCAGAAGCAUAUGUUUCAAAUGUGGUAAUCAACAAAGCAACCCUUAUAGGAACCACUAAUGGUGUGAGAAUCAAGACUUGGCAGGUAAAUUAUCAAAUACUAUAUAAAAUAAUAAUUAUUACUAUGAGAAAAGAAAAGAGAAAAAUAUAUAUAUGGCCAUGUAAUUAUACUGUAUAUAUAUAUCAGGGAGGACGUGGAAUGGCAAAGAACAUCAUAUUCCAAGACAUUUUAAUGAAAAACGUUACAAACCCUAUACUCAUCAACCAGGACUACUGCGAUCGUGUUGAAUCAUGCCCCGAACAGGUAUCUAUGAUUCAGCUUUAUACGAUGCACAACACAAUAAAUAAUACAACAAAUACAAUUAUUAAAGUAAAACUGAGAUUGGGACACGUACGUGACAGAAAUCGGCGGUACAAGUGAGCAACGUGUUGUACAAAAACAUACAAGGGACGAGCUCAACGCCCGUUGCUGUGAAGUUUCAGUGCAGCAAGAGCAUCCCAUGUCGAGGAAUCUCAAUGCAAGACGUUGAACUGGUCGACCAAACUCAGCAAGAUGUUUCCAAAGCUUCUUGCUCCAACGUGAGGUUGAACACCCGAGGAAAUGUUUCUCCUCUUUGCACUUGAUCCCCAUUAACAAAACAUAGUAUCCCACCCGAUCGAUCGACGUCCGUCUAUUGCUAUAUGUAUUCGUAGUUUGGUCUUAGUUUUUGUAUAUAUAUAUAUUAUAUAUAGAGUAUCGAUAUAGUCCAUGUUUGAAUUAAGUAGGUUUUUAUGAAGAUUAAUUGAUCAAGUGGGACUGUAAGUGUUAUAAUUAGGGUACUAGCUUGUUCGUUCCUGGUUUGUAGAAGUGAAACAAAUGUGAUUGAUUUUCUGAAACAUUUGACGCCGAUUCUACUUUUUUUUUUUUUCUUCUCAUAAGAAAUUUUAUUGAUAUCAUACAACAUACAAACUUAGCCCCAAGAACCAGGGAUACAUCAGCCCGAUAACAUGAUUCGGGAUAAGGAAACAAACUUAAGCCUACGAUUAUGGAAUAUCUAGAUUUCUUACAAUCUUCACUUACAGUUGCUUUCCAAAGACUUGAAAAAUAUAAUCGCCAAGAAACUAUCAAUUUCAUAUCUGAUUCUCAAGUCUUCUUGUCUUCACUUGAUAAUAAAGAGACUUCGGCAAUGAACACUUUUGCUUCCUGAAUUGGCAUAACGGAACCUCGACUGAGGCGAACUGAAACCGUUUUAAACGCCGAUUCUACUUCUAGACUUGUAUUCGACUUUAUCCCCUAUUAUAAAAGAAAAUUAAGCUGUGUGUAAAUUAUAAUACAGAUUAUUCAACAAUAAUAAUUUUUUAAAGUUAAUUGCAACCAAACUAACUUUUUUUCUUCUUUUAUUCAUUGUAUGAUUAAAUCAGAUCACAACAGAUCAUGUCCACUGUCCGUCCACAACACAAAAAAAAGGGAUCAAAUAUCGGGAUCAAAUAUCUCCAAGAAAAAAAAAGCAUUCCUCAAAAAAGUUAUAUUUUGAGGAAUAUAUUACAAAAACCACUAAGUGUUGGCAUCUCUCGAGAAGUAAAAAAAAAAACAACACAAGAGAGACACACAACCCCAACAAUUACAAAUCUCUUGUUGUUGUAAAUUAGGGAAAAUGAUAAUACACUUUGCUGGGUGAAAUUUCUUCCUGCAAAAAUGGGAGUAUAAUGUAAUACACUCACAAGACGGUGUUGAUGUGAAGUGCUUUGAGGAGAGAUGUUGCCAUUUGCUUCACCAGAACUUGCCCUCCUGAACUUUGUCCAUCACGUCGUUCUUCUAUCAGAUUCUGCAGUUUCUGUGGAAGAUCGUUCUCUACGAUCAGCUGCUUUGGCUUUGGAUGCUUCUCGUAAACAGCCUGCUUUCCAAGUGAUCGCCAAAACCAAACAACACUUAACACCCGGAACAAGACAAGCGAGAACUUGUAUAAUCAAACGACCCGUUACCUUAAUGAGUUUCAGGAGGUUUAGUCGAGCAAUCGCAUCUUGGUGGUCUAGUCUUGAAAUAAGUAAUGGGGUCAAUCCAUUUAAUGCUAAUGUCUUAUUGAUAGACGGUGAUUUCCUGUAUUCAACAAAGACAAGGAUUAGUCCAUACUACGAGGAGAUAUAACAGAGGACUAAACAAGCAGCGAUUCAUUCAUAGUUCUAACUAAUUUUGGAAAGAUAAAUAAUCUAUUUGAAGAUAAAAGAGAUGAAUACGUGAUAAUCUUCAAGAAUGGCUCCAGUAUGUGCACAAAAUGUCUCUCUGGGCAGUUCUGGAAGAAGUUAACUAAUUUCUGAAUUGCAUCUUUCUUUAGAAACGCUUGCUCCACCUUGUGGUCAAUGUCUUGCGCCAAGCAUACAGCAAUUGAAUCCAAGGCUAUCACUGACCAAUAUUCAUCAUCGAGCAAACUCAGGUAUACAUCCAGACCGCCAUGGGCCCUUAGCUGCUCUCUAGAAUUCCUAGAUGCAUGAGCCAUAUCACAUAGUAGUGGCAAUGCAUAUUGUUUCAGAGGACAAUCCGACAUGAUGAAAAACAUCAGGUGAGGAAUGAUUCCAUUUUCAGCCGCUUGUUCCUGCCUCCUCUUGUUUAUCUUGCAGAGGUUGAAUAGUGCACUAAGUACCUACAUAACAUCACAAUUUUACAAACGUUGGUUUGAGUUAAAUUGACUAAAAGCAACAACGGACAAGAGUCCACACUUCAAUUUUUCAAACAGCAUACUGGACAACAAUUGGUAACCAACAGACGGAGGCUAUCUCCAUACAAGUCAAGAAGGUAACCUCGUGAUGAAUCUGAUUAACAAGAGGCCCAUCCUUAAGGUUAAGGUUGGGGAUCAAGUGCUUAAUUGCAUCUGCACGCUGAAGAUUCUCCAAGCAAUUUGGAUCCGUGGAUAAGUGAUUCGUGCACUCCAGUAUCUGGACAUAUAAAAGGCGUUAUAAGCAUGCAACCUGAAGAUCCUCUAAACCACACAUACAAGCUUGGCCAAAGAGAAAACAGAAACAUUAUAUGAAAGCGCUGUCGGGGAAAAAAAUAGAAACAACAUAAUAUUUUGAAGUACCUUUAACAGAAUAGGAGGUUCUACACGGUGGAACAUCUGGAACAGACGACUGAGUAAGCUUUGGCUGCACAUGUAUGAUUUUACUGUCGUAUCAGCUCGAGCAAAUUCAAGAAGCAGAUCAGCCACUUUCUCCAAGUAUGCCCUUGCAACAUCUGCACUCAGUGUAGAAACCAUAUGGGCAAGUAAACCAGAAGAUGUGGUACUUCCAGGUCUAGCAUUUAGAACACCCGAACCUGACAGUACACCAGAUGCUGUCUGAGAUGCAAUCUCACCCGUAGAAGCGACUCUUUCAAUAGCCAUAACCUUCUUAGUCAUUGCGUUACUGGCAUAUCUAGGCAUCAUAUCAAGAUUUCCGUUUUCCUUCCCACGUCCAGAGACUUCUGAAGAAACAAUGUAAUGAUACCGCACAAGCGGAAAAAUCAAAUAAUGUGCUUACAAUAUGAACAAUCUUCCUAACUAUAAAACUUUAAAAUUACCUGCGAAUUCAGCCAUUAAAAAAUCUAAGUCUCCAUUGGUUUUCUUUUCGUUUGAUCCAUGCAAAAGAGGAAGUCUACUUUCAUGUCUCUCUAUCCCAGUGAUAUGCUUUGCGUAAUCCAGUUGACCAGAAAAAUUUCUUGAAGGGGGUUCUUUCUCCAACAAGCUAAGCAAAGGUCGAACUUGAUCUGGCUGAGUAACAGGAAAACCAUUAGAUGCACCCUCCGCCAGUUUCUGAAGCUUAUCUGUUGAUAUUCUAUUGGUAGAGAGAGAUAUCCUAUGUUGUUUUAUAACAUCUUCUAUGGCAUCUGGGGCAACACUGCUUAGUCUAGGUCUAUCACCAUCUGCGUGCAAGGCAUCUGGUUGAUGGACAUCUGAUCUUCGAGAAUUUGAAGUUAUAGCAUGGGAAGGCUCUUCACCACCUCCAUGCCUAGUUUUCAACUCAUCCAUAAUAUCAAUCACACUGAGUGAAGUUUCACGCUGACUAAAAAUAGAAUUGUUAGGGUCGAGUUGACCAGAGCGUGCUCGUGGUGUUUGACCAUCCACAAUCAAUGAGUCCCCUGACAUAGAAGCCAGUUGAGUUGCCUCACUCAAGCUAUAAAGAGUGUUGACUAGCCUAAGAAGAAUUCCAUUCUUUGCAGCCAUACGACAGAAAUCAUUUCUCGGGGUGGAUCUUUUGAGUUUAAAUACCUGCCACAUCCCAUCAAUAGCCAAGUGUACCAUCUCCCUGGAAAGGAAAAGCUCAAAUCAGUAAAUUUAGCAGCGCAUGAAGAGCGAAAAGAAACAGAACUGAUUAUAGAGAGAAGAGCUAAACCAAGAAAAUGGUCAACUACUGAGAAAUGCAUCAGUCGUUUUCAAAAGAAGAAACACAUAUCAUAUAAGCAGGAAGACAUGUUCAGAUAAAAAAUCACAGAUGCUACUGUGACUGGUAAUAAGCUAGGAAUCACCGCAUGGGAUAAAUUCCAAAUGCUUGUAAUGAAAUACUGGAUAUAUUCAUAAUAAGUUCAGCACUUUAUAUAAAUUGAAAGUAGUCCAGACACUGUCAGAAGAUAGUAAGCUGUACCCACCUGUGUUUGGCAUAAUCUGCUUCAAGAAAUCCCACCAAAACAGGUAUUCCACGGCAAGCUAUGAACAUUUGCAACGUCAAGGAGCUGUAAGAAAAUUACCAAAUCAAGUCUAUGAUGUACAGAAAAGGAAAAAAGGGUGAAGCAAAUUUGAUGACUCGCAACCUUGACUGACAAAGCUGCUGCAAGAAGUACGCUGCUUCCUUACGAAUUUCUCGAGAACGAUCCCUCUCAGAACCAGCAAAACUCAUUACCACAGGAAUCUGCCAUUUCACAAGGAAAAUCAAGUUUCUUGAGAUUUUUUUUAGCCCAUUGAGAACAUCAUGAAGACUUAAUAUAAGAACACCAUGGAUUAAAUAUCUACGAAUUUUCCCAUAAAGGUAUUAGCUGUUGAGAUGGAUGUUCAACAUUUAAGAUAGACAUGUAGACAUGAGCCUUUGAUAAAGCAUUUGUCGAUCCACCAAACUAUACCAAAGAACUACCGGUGAUUCAUCAUGGCAGCUACCAAAUGGAGAGUAUGACUUACGAGACCAACGAGACAAGCAUUUUCCAGGAAGUCGGUGUUAUCUUUUAUGAUUUCAUUUAUCAACUGCAGCAUGGCAUGUAUUACCUAAAAACACCAAAAAAAGAUUCACAAGCAUAAAGCCAACUACUGAUGAUGAUGGACAACCAAAAACCCAGCUAAAUUACAAUUUACAAUUAUCGUACUCGAGAUUUUGGAAUAUCAAGUAGAUCCAUUAGAGGGAGGAAACCAUGCUGUGUCACGAAUACUGCUUUCUGCCCAGGUCUUUGACGAAACAUGGCAACAAGUUUCUGACAGGAAGAUACAAUUGCAUCUUCUGAUUCAUUUGGCCUUAAGGAGCUCACCAAUCUGCUGAACUCGACUGCCUACAAAAACUUAACAUAUUAAUUACUAAGAUCCAAAUUCGCAUUAAAACAGAAACUACUAAAAAUGAGUGAGAACCCACAAUUCGCUUUAUCAACAUCUAAUUAUCAUUCUCAUAGUACGGUGUGGGUCGGUCAAGUAGCACUUAGCAGUAUCAUAAUAUUUAAUUACAAUAAAAGAUUGCUAUAAAAUCUCAGGAUAUAAAUUUGCAGAAUACCUGCAGAGGAAAAAGAUUUUCCGCGGGGACUUUUUCAUCAAAUACCUGAGAAGCAUAAUAUUAAAAUAUGUUAACAGUAUACUACUUGAAUUAUCAAAAUGCGUACUUCAGACAGAGCAUACCAAGCCAUCAAUGUCAAUAACAUCAUCUUUCAAAACACCCAUCAUUAAGCGGAAAAGAUCACCACCAUCUUGUGAAUGCCCCGUUUCACCCUCCAUUUGCUUCUGAGCAAUUCUAGCCCUCAAUUUUGUCGCCAGAUCAUUCUUUCCACCAUCUGCAACAGGAGAAUCACCCUGAUUCACAUUUGUCGUAGGCAUUGAUGUUGAGGCUUCAUUUGGUUUUCCCUCAGGAACUUUAUCCAGUGGAUGAAACAAAUCAUGCAAAGAAGCAUCCCCAGGAGGAUCACUAAAUCUAAUCAGUUCAUUCCCACCAAAACUAGAUGAUGUCUUCACAGCCUUUAAGAUAGAAAUAACAAGCAUAACAGAACUAGUCAGUUUGCACGCCUUCAACUCAGUAUACUGCAGCCAUCAGCAACCUACUUCCCAAGAGGUAAAAACAAUUUUUUCAUAAAAUAAAGCAUUUACUACAAAGUAAGGGUAAGUAUUGAGAUUAGAUCUUGAAGUGUACAAGACCAAAUUCCAACAACAAACAACAAUAUCUCACUAUAGAAGCAUUGAGAUUAGAAAAAAGAGGUUAUCAAUUACAGUACAACUACAAACACAGAAAAGUGUUUUGUUUUUGCUAGAAAAGAAAAGGGAACUAAUCAAUUCACUCAACAUCCUCUCUUGUAUAUAAUCUAAAUAAGUGCUAGGGAAAGAAUAACUAACAAAACACAACUAACCUUUCGACGCCCAUCUUCACCUUUUUGGCUAUGCGAUAACUGCUCCAACUGGAUAGGACAUUCUUUUCUAAUCUGCUUUGUUCCUAAAGUAUUUCUUCUACCUUCAGAAACUUCACUUUCUAGAUUUCCCGGUAUUUCAUCACGUUCGGAUUUCUCAUGAUUCUCUAAUACAUCUUGAGAUGUCCCGUUUGCAUCUGAAGAAAUAUGAGAAAGAGCACCUUCGGAAUCCGUUCCUUCUUCAUCAAGAUCAGGUGAAGUUUGAUCCUUCUCAGACCUAAAACUAGCCACACCUACCACCGGUAAUUUGCUUCUCGAGUUCUGGACAAAAAAAACAACUGGAUCAGUAGCUUUAGCAAAGUUUAUCUCUGGUUUUAAUGCAUUAUACUGCUAAUCUCUGGACAUCUCUAACAGAUUAUUUCAUAAUUAAAGAGCUAAUGAAUCUCACAGUUUUAGUCAUCUCCAUUUUUUCUGCUGAAAGGCUUUCAGCUGCUUCUUGACUACCUUCAUCAUCCUUCUCUGAGCUUGAACAGGGUUCCUUCAUAUAUCUGCAAAGGAUGAAGUGCACAAAGACAUCAAUACAGGUUAAUGGAAGCAAGGAACACUUGCAACAAAACACUACACGGUAGAUAAUAAAAAUUUUGGAAAUAUUUUUCCACAAGUUAACAUAAAGGACACAGGUUCUCGCCUGAUGGUUCCACUAUGCCGAAGGGAUGACCGCAACGCUCGUCUGGAGUUACGUAUCCAAGGGUGAGAGAGAAGUGUCUUUGCGUCAGGCCUCUGCCUGGAAUCCUGUAAUAUGCAAGAUACAAAUCAGAUGUACAUACUGCAUAUUAAGUAAAUCAAAAUGCCUAGGUUCCGGUGCAGAGGUAGCUAGAGUUAUUAAAUACUAUUGCAACAAACUAUACCUUCUUGAAGCACAGUCGUAGGAAGUCUGUAAUGUCAGGAGAAAGACUAUCCGGAAUAGGAGGGGUAUCAUCCUGAAACAAAACCAGAAAAGGCAAUAGCUUAAAGUUACUGCUAACAGAUAUUGCAUUAUUGCAGGAGAGAAGUGAUUUACGACAACAAGGAAGAAUAAGAAUUGAGGGAAGGAAGAGAGACCUAAAUCUUAUUGACUUAAAGCAAACUCGUCAAAAGAUGGAAAAACCUGAACAAUGCGAUAGAGAGCUGGCAUGGGUUGCAGAUCAUAGUAAGGAGGUACACAUGUCAAAAGUUCAAUAAUAGUGCAUCCAACACUCCAAAUGUCAGAAGCAGCACAAACUCCUGACAAUUCAAUAACCUAAAACAAGAUUUGGAUAUCCGUCAGUCCACACAUAAUCAGUUAAAAUUUGUUUAGAGGAGAAAACAACAUCCUUUUGUCAGAAUAAGAACAAAGUCCAAUAUUUUAGAGAUUACAUACCAUAUUUGACAUAUACAGAUUAUGAUGGUGGAAGAUAUAUAUGUUAACAAAGAUGUACCUCAGGAGCCAUCCAGUAAGGAGUUCCGACCACUGAGUGAGUGUUAAAAUCAGCCUCAUUUAGUUUAGUGGCAACACCAAAGUCAGCAAGCUUAACAAGACCCUGAAAUAUGAGAUAGUCAAGUAUCUAAGGAAGAACAGCAAAGAAGAAUCUUGUCCAUCCCAGAAUACAAGAGAUCUUGAAACGAAAAACAUACCUCCUUUGUUGUCAAAAUAUUUGCACCCUUGAUAUCACGAUGUAUGACACCCUGCUCAUGCAGAUAUACUAAACCUUCCAAGACCUGUAUUCACUCGUUAGUCCACAAAUGUUUCAAGAAGCUUAACUCAACUAGAAAACAUAUAUACGGACCUGUGCAAUGUAAACAGUCACCAACGACUCUGGGAAAGGUCCAAACUUAUUUGGUUUAAUAAUGUUUGCGAGAGAGCCAUUUUCGACGUAUCUGCAAUCACAUAAUUGGACUUGAAUUUCCAGACCGUAGUCCAACGAGGACCAAAUAAACACACAAAGGUAUUUCUUACUCCAGAAUAAUGUGAAGGUGGGUCUUUGUCUUCAAAGAUCCAAGAUACUUGACAAUGUUUUUAUGGUUCAAGUUCUGCAUUGACACAUCAUCAUCUUAGAAGGAAUAAAGGACGACUGCAUCUCAAGCAGCAUAACCAUUAAUGAGAGAUGAAACCAAAGUUCAGAAGAUACGACGUAAGUUCAUGAAUGUUUACCAUCAGGAUCCCAGUUUCGUAAAAAAAUCAUGUAAACAAUUCAGAAACAAGGUCAAGGUCUAUAUGGAAUAGGAGAAUUCACAUAUGCAUAUUGGUCCCAGUCAAUGUUUAAGAAGCUAAAGAAUGUCUAAAAUGGAAUAAUGUCGGGAAGAAAGAAUCUACCUUUAGGAGAUCGAUCUCUUGCUGAUGAAAUUUCCCCAACAACAAUACAAGGAUUCAGUCAGUGGUAAGCAGAUACGAGAUCACAUUUAGUCCACAAGUAAAACCAAUAUGGAUUAGAAAGAGAAAAAAGAGUAGCAAACCAUAAUGGUGUUAAGAUCCUCUUGAACAAUAUUUUCCAAAGAGACUUGUUUAAUGGCUACAAAGUCUCCAUUCUCCAAGUCCAAUCCUAUAUAAACUCGACCAUAAGCGCCUUUACCAAUUUCAUCUCCCAGCAUCUGCCAUCAAAAAGUAAAAAAGAACAAACCUUUGAGUGACUACAAUCAAAGUAAACAAACUCCACUAAGAUUGAAGCAUUCCAAUUUCAAAUUGCUAGAGCAUAAGCUAAAUAGUAACUAGUAAGGUGAGCCAUAAAAGUUUUUAUUUUAUUUUCUAAACCCAGAAUUGUGUUAGAAGAAAAGCUCACAUAUUUGUUGUCGAGAGUCUUUGAUUUGUGGAACUGUGAUGACGUCAUCUGUCGCGCCAUCUGAGAAUGCACCAAACAAAAUUGCUACUCAAGAAAUUUGAUCCAUUUUUUGUUGUUGUUUUACGAGGGAAAGUUCAACAACAACAAAAAAUUAAGAAUUUAGGGUUUUUUUUUUUAAUUUUGAGAAAAAUUCGAAGGAUUCGUGAUGGGUUUGGAAGAUCAAAUUUGCCAGCACUAAUACAGUUGACAAAUUGUGAUACAAAAUUAACAUUAAACAAAUCAAGUUUUGUAAAUCGACGAACUGUGUAUUACAGGAGAGAUACUUUUGUCGAUUCCUCAGGCGCCAGGCCAGAACUAUCCUUUUUUAUUUUUGCGUCCUUACCUUUUUCUUCCUUUUCGAUUUCACCCCUUUAUAAAUAAAAAAACUCUUAAUAGUCUUUUAACAGUUGUUGAUUAGAGGAAAAUAAAACACACCCGUAUUGAUGAUGAAAGAGGAAAUCAUAUUCUACCUCUUCCCUUAAACACUUUGAAAAGGGAAAAGCUUUGAUGCUUGGAAUUAAGUUGAUUUUUUUUCAGAUGCGCUUGUUGAUUGUUCAAUAGCUUAGGCGAAUAAUUGCAGGUUUGUUGGUGGAUUCGACUGUAAUUUUGAUGUUUUUUUAUCUGAUAGUAAUUUUUGUUAAUUAUAUAGAAAAUUUAUGUGAAAGUAUUAAGUACAGUCUUAUCAGAUAAAAAGGAUUCGACUGUAAUUUUGAUGUUUUUUUUAUCUGAUAGUAAUUUUUGUUAAUUAUAUAGAAAACUUAUGUGAAAGUAUUAAGUAUGCUUGGAAUUGAGUUGAUUUUUUCUCAGAUGCGCUUGUUGAUUGUUCAAUAGCUUAGGCGAAUAAUUGCAGGUUUGUUGGUGGAUUCGACUAUAAUUUUGAUGUUUUUUUUAUCUGAUAGUAAUUUUUGUUAGUUAUAUAGAAAACUUAUGUGAAAAGUAUUAAGUACGGUCUUAUCAACAAUUUAGAUUUAAAUCUACUUAUUUAUUUUAAUUGACAGAAAUUAGAAUAAUCAAUUUUGAUUGGCGGAAUUAGGAUAAUCGGAUUUUAUUUUGGAUAAGCAGAUGUUUACGACCAAUGAAAAUUGUAGUUUAAUAGAAAUUUAUCUUCACCACAAAUAAUUAUAAGUUACAUGUACAUGUGAAAAUUUUAAAAAAAAAAAUAUUAUCAACGUGUUUUAAAAACAAAAAAAGCUAUAUUUUCAUUUAUAGAAUUACAAAAUAUAUGGAUACAUAGAUUAAAGAUUGGUAUAUCUAUCUUUAGUUACAAUAUUUUAUAAUUUUAUUUAAGAUACAUCAACAACAACGAUAUUUAGUGGUUUUUAACUAUUUAUAAUAUAAACUUUAUAAAGUAGUAGUAGUGAUAUGAUUUUUCUAUAUAUGUAGCAUAACUGCAUAAGUUUUGAGUGGGAAACAAAGUGAUAAUAUACACAUAUGACAACAGUCCAACACUCAGCAAUUUACACCAUUUACAUCGAUAGUGAUAAUUAAGAAAAAAACAGUCAAAAUUUUGGAUAAUCUGUCCCAAAAAUUGCUAUUUUUUUUUAGAAAAACACAAUAAAGACAAAUAAAUUCGAGCCUCAAGAAAAAAUCAGGCCUAUAUAUAAUGUCGGGUGCAUAAGAAAAAAAAAGCCUAUCCUAAGAGUGGUUAGAACAUAUAACUUAGGAUUGGUGGUUAAAUAUUAAAGACUAUAAGUCAAUAGGAUUGGUGGUUCCUCUUUUCAUUUUACCAAAAAAAAAAAAAGUUAUUUUUUCUCUCACAAACAUGAUUAAAAAGUAAUUAGGAUUAACAUGAUUAAAGUACGAGUAAAGUAAAUUACAGACAGAAUUUUAUCAUCUGUCUUUAUUAGCUUAAAUUUAAUUUGACGAGGGAGUUCACUGUCCAUUGUCUGAAGACAGAAGUAGUACGCUAGCUGUUCUGUUAAGUAACUGUAAGUUUGACUUGGAGAAACAAUUAAAUGUUUCUUACACUGACUCUCUCCAAAACCUCCUAAACGUGAGGAAUCCAGAGUUCCACCAGAUCUAACUCUCUUAGAUCUGAUCCAUGGUCAUGGAUUGCUCUUUUCUUCUAAUCAUUCUCUUACUCACAAUCUCUUCUUCAACUUCAUGUUGUGCUUCUUCUUCUUAUGUGGAAGAACAGCUGAGAGACAGAAUCAGUGAGUUGCCUGGACAACCUAGUAAUGUAGAUUUUAGACAGUACUCAGGCUAUGUCACAGUGAACGAGAAACGUGGAAGGGCUUUGUUCUAUUGGUUGGUCGAGUCUCCGUUGACCCGUAGCCCAAAGUCUAGACCUUUGGUUCUGUGGCUCAAUGGUGGCCCAGGUUGUUCUUCUGUUGCUUAUGGUGCUGCUGAAGAAAUUGGUCCUUUUCGUGUUGGGUCUGAUGGCAAAACCCUUCAUCCAAAACUUUAUGCUUGGAAUAAAUGUAAGAUCCUUUUCUGAAUCUCUCACCAUUAGUUGUUCUUCUCUUCACCAUUCCUGAUUCAGAUUUGUUCUCUCUAUCUCUCAGUGGCAAACCUGCUAUUCUUGGAGUCCCCAGCUGGAGUUGGUUUCUCAUAUUCAAACACAACCUCAGAUCUUUACACAACCGGUGAUCAGAGAACUGGUUCUGCUCUUUGCAUCUAUUUGUGCUUUCUCUGAAUUUUAUUAACUGAACCUCCAGGGUUUCUUGAACUUUCAUUGAUUUCUCGUCUUGAUGAAUCUGUAGCCGAAGACUCGUAUAGAUUUCUUGUCAACUGGUUUGAGAGGUUUCCUCAAUACAAACAUAGAGACUUUUAUAUAGUUGGAGAAAGCUAUGCAGGUUUCACAAUUCUCCUUCAAGCUCUCUCAUCACUUACAGAUAAUAGGCUGAUGCUAAGUCUUGACUCUCUCUCUCUCUCUCUUGGACAGGUCAUUUUGUUCCUCAAUUGUCUAAGCUUGUCCAUGAAAGAAACAAGGGUUUCAAGAACCCGGCUAUAAACCUUAAAGGUUUUAUGGUAAAGAUUAUACAAAACUCAAGACUUUUUACAAGAUUGUAAACUUUGGGAUAUUUAAAGGUCUGCUUAUUCAGGUGGGAAAUGCUGUUACAGAUGACUAUCAUGAUUAUAUAGGAACAUUUGAAUAUUGGUGGAAUCACGGUCUCAUAUCCGAUUCCACGUAUCACCAGCUAAAGACUGCUUGCUACUCAGUAUCAUCUCAGCAUCCUUCACUGCAGUGUAUGGAAGCUCUGAGAAAUGCUGAACUGGAGCAAGGAAAUAUCGAUCCAUAUAGCAUUUUCACCAAACCUUGCAACAAUACUGUAGCACUUAAGACCUUCUUAAAGGGUCGCUACGUAAGUUUUACACAUCAUAAACCAUUUUUGGAUUAGUUAUGUUUGUUUAUAUUGGCUAAUAUGCUACAACUUUGUAUAUAACUCAGCCAUGGAUGUCAAGAGCUUAUGAUCCUUGUACAGAGAGAUAUUCGAAUGUGUACUUUAAUCGCGUUGAAGUUCAGAAGGCCCUCCACGCAAAUGUCACUCGCUUGCGUUACCCUUGGAAAGCAUGCAGGUCUGUUGAAAACAGAGUUUUAGUUCUUGUAUUUAAAGACAUAAACUUGACUGAAAUAUUGAGUUUUUGUCUCUCCUGCAGUGACAUUGUGGGAAGUUAUUGGACAGAUUCUCCUAUGUCUAUGCUUCCUAUAUACAGAGAAUUGAUUACUGCAGGUCUCAAAAUAUGGGUUUUCAGGUAUCACUGUUGUAUUAAACUUUGUGAUGUUCCCUUGUACGAAAUGACUGAUUACAUUUAAGAGAAGUGUAGAUGUAGUAAAGUCUUGAUUACAAAUAAAGAUUGCUUGAUCAAUCUCCCUCUCCCUACACAAUAUGCAGUGGGGAUACAGAUGCUGUUGUUCCUGUUACCGCUACCCGAUACUCUGUAGAUGCACUGAAGCUAGCAACCAUCACAAACUGGUACCCUUGGUACGAUCAUGGCAAGGUGAAAAAUUGGAGCAUUCUCAUGUUAAUAUCACUGCAUAAGAUUCAGAAACUGAUAUGAGGGGCCUUGGAUUGUACUUUUGUAGGUAGGUGGGUGGAGUCAAGUGUACAAAGGGCUUACAUUAGUAACAGUAGCAGGAGCUGGUCAUGAAGUGCCUCUACACCGUCCCCGUCAAGCCUUUAUUCUUUUCAAAUCCUUUCUAGAGAACAAACCAAUGCCUAUGAGCUGAGAUCAAACCUUACGGGACCUCUUCCCCAAAUUACUAUUCUUUCUUCUUCAUCAUCAAUAAACCAAGUGUUUCUUCAUCCACUGUCUUCGACAAUCCUUGGUGAAUCAAAAUUCAACACACGACUGAUUAGCUGUUAAGUACAAGUAAUAAGCUAUUCUUCUUCUUUUUUUUUUUGUAAAAUCUUGUCUCAAACAGUUUUUCUAUCUUUUCUCCAGUAUUGCAAGAUGCAAUCAAAGUUUUUCACACUAUAAAUCAUAAUAAUACUAUAUGAUAGUUUAUAGACUUUGAUUUCACAACUAAAGAAAAGACUCAAGCACAAGCUUAUACAACAAUGCUGACUUUUAUCAUUCGGUUAGGAGUCUUUGAAAGAUCUCCACAAGAUGCUUCCAUCACUUAAAGACUCUUUCUCUGUCUCUCUUUGAUUUCCCAAUACGUGAAACAACCACAGGGCCACCACGCACUCUUUCAAGUGCAAAACUUAUCCUCAAUGGCCGACCCAAUAAUCCCUGUAACAGAGAGAAUCACUUAAAGCACCAUCUGCAGUAGUAAUAGCGACAUAAACCUUUUGUUUGUUUGCUUUUUUACCUUUCCAUCCAUGGCGUCUUUAGCAGAUAGAGCAUCGUCUUCCUCUGCAAAAUCAACAAAACCGAAUCCUCUUGACCUCCCACUUCCUUUGUCAUACGCAAUCCUAACUGAGAACACAAUUACAUUUGACACAUUAAAGAUUCCAUAUAGGUUUACAAUUCAAGCUCUUCACAGUCACAUAACUGGAACUCGGGUAAGAGUGUAAAGAGCUCUCCAAGCUAAAUCCUAUAAACUCAUUGCUAAACCAACACAUAUUACAAACAACCAGGUACAUCCAUAAAUACCCAAAAUUCAUAACCAAAGACUCAUUCAGACAUUUCAUCGAACACCUGGAAGAGUUUAUAGAUGAGAAUUACCUUCUGCGACCUCACCAAAGGAAGAGAAAGCGUCUUUGAGAGAUUGCUCAUCUACAGACCAGGACAAUCCUGCAUACAUACGAUACGGGUAUCAAGAUCAUCAUAUUAUCAUUAUAAAUAAAUAUGUAAAUGUGGCUACUUUGUUAUAAUACUAACUAACUCAACCGAACCUCCGAUGAAAAGCUUGGAACUUGGCGAUGCAGAAGAAGAAGAAGAAGAUGUGCAAAAUUGAGGAAGAACUUGGAAGCUAGAAGAAAUUGAGUGUUGAUGUAUCGCUGAAACUCGUCUCACCAGUAGCUCAAUACCAUUCCUCAUCAUGAUCAAUUUUUAAAACUUUCAUCUUUCAAACGAAGCUUUGAUUUGUAAGUGUUUUUAAUUUAUACAAAAAAAGGAGCCAAACAAAAAAAAUAAAAUAAAAAUAUUUAUUUUUCUGAAUAAAAACUAAACAAAAUUGAAAUAUAUUUUUAUUGAAAAUAUCUCUGUGGAUGAGGAAGGAGUAACCGAAAAGGAUAAAUCAUUUCUUCUUCUUCUUCGAUUCUUCCUAAAGCUUCCUCCUUUUCAAUGGCGACGUUAGGCUUUAACACCACUCGUAUCCAGACACCGUCACUUCCCAGAAUCCCUAAAUCGUCUUGUUUUACUAAACCCAUCAAAACCCAUCAUCUCUUCUCCUCCGAAACCCUGUUGAAACGCUGCCGUUUCGUCUCUAGAUCGUUACCUGAGAGCUCACUGUCGAUUACAAAAGAACAAGAGGUAGCAAAUGAAGUACUGGAAGAUGAUCCAACGUCCGAGCUGAGUUAUCUGGAUCCGGAGUCCGAUGCGGAGAGCAUCAAAGAGUGGGAAUUGGAUUUUUGCUCGAGGCCAAUUCUUGAUUCCAGAGGAAAAAAGAUUUGGGAACUUGUGGUUUGUGAUGCUUCCCUCUCCCUUCAAGUCACUAAAUAUUUUCCCAAUAAUGUCAUUAAUAGUAUUACCCUCAAAGACGCCAUUGUUACCAUCACUCAAGACUUGGGUGUUCCUCUUCCUGAGAGGAUUCGCUUCUUCAGGUGCAAACACACAACUUCAAAAAUGUUUUUUCUAUUUAAAACGUAAUCUAAUGGUUGAAGUUGGUUUUGCAGGUCACAGAUGCAAACCAUUAUCACAAAAGCUUGCAAAGAGCUUGCCAUUAAAGCAGUGCCUAGUAAACGGGUGAGUAAACAGUUUUUGUGUAGACGUGAUUUUCUAUGUUACAACUUAGAACAAGUUGAUAAACAAAACUAAAUUUCUGCAUUACAGUGUCUGUCUCUGUUUCUGUGGUUGCAAGAACGUUAUGACACUGUGUACACGCGUCACCCCGGUUUCCAGAAGGGAUCAUUGCCUCUUCUGUCUCUAGACAAUCCAUUUCCAAUGAAUCUUCCUGAGAACUUGUUUGGGGAGAGAUGGGCCUUUGUUCAAUUACCUUACUCAGCUGUUAGAGAGGAGAUCGCCGACUUUGAGGAGAAGUUUGUGUUUGGUGCUACCCUAGACUUGGAUUUGCUUGGCAUCGAAGUGGAUGAAAAUACACUGAUUCCAGGUCUCUCUGUUGCUACUUCACGAGCCAAACCUCUUGCAGGUAAGUGUGUGGUUGCCAUCUUUGGAACAAGUUUGUUUGUCGUUGGAAUGCGGUUUUUAAUUCUGAGUUCUAUGCUUGAUCGUUAUAGCUUGGAUGAACGGGCUUGAAGUAUGUUCGAUUGAAGCAGACAGUUCAAAAGGAUGUUUGAUUCUAUCUGUUGGGAUCUCAACAAGGUAUGUCUAUGCGACCUACAAGAAGACACCUGUUACUACUGAUGAAGCUGAAGCUUGGGAAUCUGCAAAGAAAGCGAGUGGUGGUUUGCAUUUUCUUGCAAUUCAAGAUGACUUAGAUUCUGAUGACUGUGUUGGCUUUUGGCUUCUUAUUGAUUUGCCACCACCCCCUGUUUAAUUUCCCUUUUGAUAAAUGUUAAUACCAUAUUUUGCCAUUUAGUAACAGAGAUUUCUCACAUACUUCAAUUUGGACAAAUUGUUACACGAGUCUGCAAAAACUAUAGACCUAGCAAGUGAGUGAGUUACAGGGAACUACCAAUCAAACCUUAACAAGACCCAUAGCUACCUUCAAUAUCACAAGUAAUAUCUACACAGUUUGGCACUUUUAGUUUUACUGAUAAUUACCACCAUUCAGAGCUAAAGCGCAGGAAAUCCUCCAACAAUCAAAUCGUCUUCAUGGCUACCACUCAGAAAGUUAGUGACUAAAACGCUGCUUGGUGGUCCAAUCAGCUCCUAGACCUCUUUUGUUUUUGCGGUAUGAAGCGGACGCUGUGCUUUCCAAGUUCAAAUGUCUUGAUGCUUCCAUCAUCUAGAGAAACCGACAAUGUGGAUGCGUCUCCAGAAACGUCCGUCACUGUUCCCUUAUGCCUAUAACAGUAAAUGUAUUAUUCAUAUUAGACAUCUAGAUUUGGAUACAAUAAGCAGGUCAAUCACAACAGCUUAACUAAUCAAGACGAUCAAACUUACCAUGAGUUCUGAGAUCCAUGGACUUCGACUCUCUUUCCUAUUGAAUCUUUACCCAAUUUCUUUAAAAUCCAAUUAGCAUCCAUCAUCUCGUCGUUCCUUGAAUGAUCCUGAUGAGAAUGUGUUGUAACUUCAUUAUCUUCUUUCAUUGAAGCCAUGUCCACUAAGCUUGAAGGUCUCUUUCUCUUUGAUCUUUGGCCUUUUGCAGGACUCAAUUUUUCAUCUUCAGACUGGGUUGUAACCGAAGAUGCCUGAUCUCCUGAAUUAGGUUUCCUGAGUUUAAAUUUCAGCAGAGGUCUAGCUUCUUUCUGUAACGAUGGUGAGAUGGAUGUUUUAUCAUCCACAUGAUUCCCUUCACUUGUUGAUGCAGGGAACUGUGUGAUCGACCCAAAUGUAGCUUUACUUCCUUCAGAUUGAGUUUUCCCAAACCUUCCAGAGAUCUUCAGGGUUCUUACUUCGCCAGUCUGAUCAACUUUAUCCCCUGCAGAUAUACAUCAUUAGCAGAAAGUUAGAGAAAUUAUAGACUUGUAAAUGUUCAAGUAUUAGUUGUCCAGUUGUGUUCCAAAAAAAAAAAGUUGUCCAGUUAAUGCAUAUGUAGAAAAGUCUUAAGUAUAUGUGUGGUUGUGUUUAAUUAAAAAGAUCGCAACAUACCUCCCAAAGUGGACUGAUCUUUGUCCCUUGAUAAAUGGGAAACAACAUUGGCCUUCGAAGAACCACUGACAUUUAUUUUUCUAGCUCCCAGAUUAAUAACUAACUUCUUUGCCUUUACAGAUCUCUCCUCCCUUGCAAUUUGAAUUGUAUCCUCGCUAUCAGAAUCAUGAGGCUUGCUACACUUUAUUCUAACUAUCCUUGACGGCUUUUCUUCAUCCGUCACCAUAACAUCAUCAACCCUCUUGUGUUUUACAAUCUUAGGUUCAUGUGUUGAGCAAAUUCCAGCUACAGAAGAAUUCACGUCCGAUUGUUCGUUUAUCCGAAACCCCACAUUAUCUAUUCUAACACCACCUAAUCGGCGUCUCUCAGAUCCAAUCUCCUGAGGAAAUUCAGACUCUAACUUAGUGAGACUACCUUUUUUACUAGCAUGCUUUUUACUUGAAGUGUUCUUCCCGUACUCCUUGCUUUUCUUUGGAGACUUUUCCCCCAGACCUUUGAUAGAAAACUUCAGUGAGCGCCCAGAUACGGGUCCAUUUUCUUCAUCAUCUGAAAAUGGAAAUAUCGAAAAUAUUUCCUCCUCCGUUGGCAAACCAGUAGCAGCCCUUAAACUAGCAAUCAACUCUUUGUCCACCACAUCUUUUUUCUUCCAAAGUUCUUGAAUUGCAUCCGGAAUAUCCUUCACCUGAGAAGCCAAAUAUCGAAUUUGAAAACCAAGAAAACUUAUAUGAUCAACACACUAACAAAUUGCACUACUGAAUCCUCUUCCCAUUCCAAAGGAAGUCUCCCAGCUCUACGAGAAAUACAUAUAUGAUAACAAGAACCAAGAAGAAUGAUCGGAGUGACUAAGAAGCAAGGGUACUAAUAACAAGAACAGUCAUACCUGAUAACACUCCCCACGGCAAGUGGCACAUUUAUAUUGUAGUUUUCCAUCAACUUGAAACUGCAGAUAUUUCUCUUCACUGCAUAACAGUUUCCAGAGGCAAACAAUUCCAGAUUUAGUAUGGCCCACACUUUACAAUGCAUAUCUAACAUAUGAGUUAAUCUAACAGGUGGUAUAUCAUAUGGCAACAGAGAUAACUAUGUUUGCAACAAUAUAAUGAGGAAGAACCUUAUUCCAUCGCAAUGGCAAUGCACCCAGCGUUGACAAAUAUCGCAGCAUACCAUUGGGGUUGAUUCGGAAUCCCUAUAUACCUAUACAUGAUAAGAAACCUGAUUAAUGCAACACUGAAGAGGCAUUAUGUUCUGCUAUAGGAAUUGCGCAUUAAAAAGAAUGAAAUAAAUACCUUCAAGCAUACAGGGCAAUAAUUACCCUUCAAAAACAAUCUGCCACAAGCAUCACAGCAAGUAUAUGCUAAAAACCACCUGUUACAUUAGAAAACACAAGAGAACAAAACUGAUCAACAUAGUUUUAACAGGGAAAUCCAUCUGCAAAUCAUUAACUGACAAAACAAAGUAAGAUGUUCUUCUCACUUGUAAGACUAAUUUACCCCGCAAAGACUAAGGAUGUAUACCUGACACUUAGGCCAUUUCCAGGGACAGUAGAAUCACAGCUGUGACAUCUUGUAUGCUUUGGGCAGAGAUAUGGCCCAGAACUUACAUUCUGUGAGGUCAUGAUAAAAUAAUUAAGCCAAUUUACUUUAGUUGAAAAAGAUAGUCACAUAAAGAAGCUAUCUAUCAGGCACCUUGUGUGGAGGAUGUUGGCAAUAACAAUGGUACGCAGCAUCACACCUUUUGCAGAACAUGAACUUGUUAGGAUCUCCUGUUCUCCGGCAGACCUAAGGAGGGAAACGAGUCAGUGAGGCAGGUUCAAAGAUCUAAGGACACUCUCUAUAUAGCAGUUAGGCUAACACUUUUAAUAUGUUUGUUACUUAAGACAACUGAACUCAUUAAAUGAAAAAGAAACAUAUGUUUAAUCAAUCACUUCGCGAGCAAGUGGUACUGCUCAGAUGCAACAGAUGUCACGAACAAGAAAAUGAGAAACAAACUACCUCACAAACCCGGCAGGAGGGACAACUCCAUGAACUCCAAUGAAAUAAAUCUGCAACUUACAUCAAUUAGACUAGAAAAGAGAAAAAAAAGAAAACAAAGACUUAGCAAGCCAGGAAAAGGACAGCAACAUUGAAUGUAUGUAAGUACCUCUAUGUUGGGCCCAAGACUUUAAACAAUUCUUGUGGUACUUCUUUCCACAGUCUUUACAGGAAAGCAUCCUCUUUGCUCUCUCACUUCCCUCACCUUCUCCCAGGAAGCACAUUCUGCACAUAAUAUUCAUGCCGGAGGGAGCUACUUCUUCACCAGCAAGAUCUUUUGAUGAAAGCUGUACAACAAACAAACAAACAAACAAACAAAUAGAACGAUCAAUCAAAGAUAUAAGUCAAUACAGAAAAAAAAAAAAACGAUGACACUUUUGAGGCAACAAAUGUCAACGGAAAAUGCGACAAUUUAACCAAUUAUGUAUACACAAACUGAAUAUCAAAGCAAUUAAGAACAAACAACCAAAAAAGAUUUUAAGAAAAAAAAGGCAGACCUCAUUGACCCCAGAUUCAAACCUCCGAGCAUAAUCCUCAGCAGCCUCGACAGUAACAGCAGCUUGUCUCUGAAGAGCAACACGUUUCUUCUGAGCAGAAGCUUCCUCCGCCAUUUCAUCAACGCCGCCAGCACCAUCCCCAACCCCCAAAAUCGAAACAGCAGGAGAAGGAACAACCUUAGGAACCCUAACCUGAACCGUGCGUCCAUCAAGAGCAAUAGAAGAAACACCAGGAUCCUUGAGAAACUCCUCCAGACGAUUAACAUCAUUCAAAAACUCGUAUUUGGCAUUAGCUCCACGGAGAUCCCGAGAAAACCCUAGGGAGCAAUAGCAGAUCCGACGACUGCGGCAAAAGAACGGGGUUAACAGAGCGAAGAGAUAGUGAAGAAGCGUUUAAAGGAGAAGAGAAGAGAGAUAGAGGUACCAUGUAAUUGGGCAAGCUACGUGAAAGGCCAUACCAUAUAAUCCCACCACUACACAAAAUUAUUCCUCUCGCCUCCUUAACGGAAAUUUAAAAAAAAAAAACAAAAGAAAAAAAAUCGAGAUUUUGGUUUUAGAGAUCGCUUCUCUCUUUUAUUUUUGUCUAAUAUAAUUAUAAUUAUAAUUUAUUUUAUUUUAUAAAGAGAAUAUUUAAGGAUCGAUAAUGUAAUAAAAUUAGUAAAUAAUCCUAAAUGAAUAAAUAAAUCAGAGUAGUUUAGGUGUGUGUGUGUGUAGAAGAGUUAAGAGAAAGGGUCGUCUCUUUUGAGAGCGCUCUGUGAAAUUUAGACGCAGAGAGAGAUAAGAAAAGAUGCUUUUUUUUUUCUCUCAUCACUCAAGUCUCUCAACCUUAAUCAACGGUGUUUUUAAGAUGCUGCCAAAGAAACCGAGAGUGCUCUUGCUCCAUCCUCCAAUCUAAUUCUUCCACGUCAGGUCCUAACUCUCUUCUUUCAACUAACUAGUACUACACACCGCUUUUGGGAAUUUUCAAUUACAGUAUAGAAGAGAUAACUUAGUAGAGCAAUAACAAAACACUUUGACUUGGUAAAAUCUAUUUUACUUACAAAAGAAGCGGAUGGGUGGUGACAUUGUAACAACAACUUUUAACACAAAAUGACAAACAAACAAAAAAUAACAUCAAAAAUAUAACAUUCCUCAAUGGCUACAACACUCACGCAGUCACGCUGGUUUGUACACAAUCCACAUUAUUAUGGUCCACCACAGACUAUUACAGCCUGGAGUCAAUAUCUAGAUCUUAUGAUAGGCCUCUCUGUAUACGGUUUGUUCGGAUACGGUUUGAAUCCUCUCUGUAUCUAACUCCUGAGUACAAGAUCAGCUUGAACAAUGAUUUCCCCAACUGAUAACUUCACUAACAACCCUCACUUUGUUAUCUAGUUUAAAAUAACUCAAGUUCCGACUUUUUCAUCUGAAUUCUCGGUAUACAUUUUGUUAAAACUUCUUAAAGACUUUAACCAAAAUGUUAAGAUUUCUUACCUUUCUCAGCUCACAGUAUUCUAAGUCUGACACCUCACAAGUCAGAGCCACCAUUAAAAAGGAAACAAAAGAAAAAAAUAUUUGGACUCCAAAUUGGUUUUGGGCCAACUUUGUUUUCUUUUUUUUUGGGUCAGCUUUCUAUGAGAGGUAAAUUUUGGGCUUAAAACUGUGAUCCAUUCUAACAAUUUUUUAAGGUGAACGAAAAGCUAAAAGUAAAAAUGCUGCUUUUACCAAAUCGAUGUGUUUAUUUUACUCUUAACAAAACUUUGAUUGUUAGUGUUAAAAAAAACAAAACAUUGAUUGUGUGAUUCUUUUUUUUUUUAAUUAUUAUUAUUAUGUGAUACUCUACUAAUUAAGAUUUUUUACACUACUGGAAGCAAAUUUAUUUUAUUUUCUUUUAAACUACAUAACUCACAUAGCCUAGUUUUAAUGUAUUUAAAAGGCCCACAAUUUUGAUAAAGAAUUUGGUCCUAAAGUCCCCAAUAGAAAAUAAAUAUAUAUAUAUGGUUGGGGACUUGGGGUUGAUGAGUCAGUGUAAAUAGUGAGGGAAGAAAGACAUUAAAACCAUUCGCGAAAUUAAUAAAAAUGGCGACAUGGAGCAAUCGCGGCCGCAUGGGCGUCAAACGACAUAUCAUCGACAUCGAGUAGAGAGAGAGAUAGAUAGAAAACGCAAAAAGGACCCACACAACACAACACACACGUAACUUUUAGUGAUGUGUUUAGAGUAAAUUUAUUCAGCUGAUAGAGAGUCACAUGGCGUUCGCUGACUUAUAGUAUAUAACAAACCUCUCUAGUCAUCGUAUUUGCACAUGCUUUGCUUUGUAUAGACUGAGAUAUUAUUUCAUUUUAAAAAUGCCAAUUAUUAUUGGAACCAGCCAAAGCCAGAAUUUGUCUACACCUUCUUCUCUCUCUAUACCACCUCCAUGAUUACAGAGUCGCAUCUGCCGCAAUUCCCGUUUAUGAAGAUCAACUAAAAAAAACUCUACUACAAUCUGAUGAUAUCUUGUAUAAUUCCUUAUACGAUCUUCUCAAGAAUAAACAAUUUCUAUAAAAUAAUCUGAUUUCGAUGAUACAAUUUUAACUUAAGGUGAAAGUUCACACUAUGUUGUACUUCUUCUAUAUGGCUAUAUGUUGAAGUCUUGAGAAUAAUAAACAACUCUGUUACGGCUUCAGUUACCGACUUAGUUAUUAAAAUAUUUUGUGUGUUUUAAAACUUAGUCAGAACAAUAACACCACAUCAUUGUUUUUGGCUCUGUUAGUUUAGUAGUUGCUUGAAUGUUGGAAAAUCGCAAAAGUUAUCGCAACCAUGUAUAUUUUUUUGACAUCAGCCAUUUGCCCACCACGCUUGCUAGUACAUUUCCCAAGAUAGUUUUACCAUCAAAGAAGACCACUCCCACUAGCUUUGCUUUUUGUUACGAGAAAACAACAACUUUACAUUUGUACAUGAUCUGAAUGCAAGUAAACUACUAAUGUUGGUUUUAUGGUAUCAAAACUUUUAAGUUGUCUCAAAUAUUCUUUAUACACUAAAACAAAAUAUAGCACCAAUUACUACUAGCCUUACAAAUUCACCAAUAGAAAGACAACUAAAAUAUUGAAUCUACUGAACUCUGAAGUAAGAAUGUGGGGGGGGGGGGANNNNNNNNNNNNNNNNNNNNNNNNNNNNNNNNNNNNNNNNNNNNNNNNNNNNNNNNNNNNNNNNNNNNNNNNNNNNNNNNNNNNNNNNNNNNNNNNNNNNUUCCAUUUCGUACGGGGUUAUUAUCAUUUUAAUCUUUUUUUAUGUGAGGGUGCCUCAACGCCUGCCAGCCAAAGCGCCAUUUCAACCCCGCAUACUAGAAUGAGUGUUUCCGGUUGCGUGUUGAAGAUGACAAUCUAGCUCAUUUCCUGCUACCGUUCGACCUCCGGUCCCGCCCCUAUCCCUCAACUUUUUUGCGUUCCUUCUUUGGGGAAGAGUGAAGGAAAGAAAGGCACAAGUGCCGAUACGAGAGAUAUAGAGAGAGCAUGAAUUAAGGAGGAAGUCGGUUUCAGUUCAGCAAGACAGACAGACAAAAUCCAUCAAUGGGGGACCAUUCGCAUUACCUCCUCUUUCUACGUGAUUUCCUCUCUCUCUCUCUCACUCGCUUUUAUAAUCCCUUUUCUUCUUUGUAUAAAGUCGUAGCAUCUCGAGAUAGUCUUCCUCUCACAAUCCUCAAAUUCCUCCUCUCUCUCUCUCUCUCUCUCUCUCUCUUCUACUCUGAAGCUCCUCUCACUCACUCACUCUCCCUUCUCCGAGGAAGAACAAAAAGAGUAAAUGGCGGUUCCUAAAGCCAUUAUUCUACCUAUCUUGCUACUCAUCUGCGGUGCUGCUCUUGGAGCUCCUGCUUAUGAAGGUUAAUCUCACUCUCUUCUCUGGUUUCCUUUGCUUUUCGAAGAUGGGUCUUCUCUGCUUUGGAUUCUUAAGCCUGAUUUUGUGUUUUUGGAUGAUAAAUAUUCAAAAGAUUCAUCCUUUCACGGUAGAUCUAAGUUUUUUUCUUCUCUCUGUUUACUUCUUCUUCAGGAUACCUUCGUAAUGGAAACUUCGAAGAGUCACCGAAGAAAACCGACAUGAAGAAAACAGUUCUAAUCGGCAAAACCGCCUUGCCCGAAUGGGAAACCACCGGUUUCGUCGAGUACAUCGCCGGUGGUCCUCAACCCGGAGGUAUGUAUUUCCCGGUGGCUCACGGAGUCCACGCCGUGAGGCUUGGGAACGAAGCCACGAUCUCUCAGAAGUUACAAGUCAAGCCGGGUUCUCUCUACGCGCUCACGUUCGGUGCUUCCAGAACUUGUGCACAAGACGAGGUUCUUCGAGUCUCUGUGCCUCCUCAGUCCGGUGACUUGCCGCUUCAGACACUUUACAACAGCUUCGGAGGUGACGUUUACGCUUGGGCCUUCGUUGCUAAGACUGCUCAAGUCACUGUGACUUUCCAUAAUCCUGGAGUUCAAGAAGAUCCUGCUUGUGGUCCUUUGUUGGACGCUGUCGCCAUUAAAGAGCUUGUUCAUCCAUUGUACAUCAAAGGUAUCUUCUUCUUUAAGCUCUGAUUUUGGUUCCGGUUUACUUUUUUAGGGUUUUUAGUUUCCGGUUUAUUGGAUAACAGAACCCGAAAUCAGUUGAAAAAACAAAUUAAAUUUCCAUAUGGUUCAGUUUGGCUUUCGGUGUAGAUUAGGUUCUGUUUUAGAUUAAUUAGCCAUUUAAUUUAGCAUUAUAGUCGUAUUAUAUACACUUUGAUACUGAACCUAUAAAAAAUAAUUAUAAAUUUUUAUUAGUAAUGAAUUAUCCAAUUUUGGUACAGAUUCAAUUUGGUUAAAGGUUUAUCCUUGGACCUUAGUGAAGUAGUUGUUUUUUAACUUGGUUUAUUUCCGACAACUGCAGGGAACUUGGUGAAGAACGGAGGGUUCGAAGAAGGUCCUCACCGUCUUGUGAACUCUACACAAGGAGUCCUUCUCCCACCUAAACAAGAAGAUCUCACAUCACCGUUACCUGGUUGGAUCAUAGAGUCACUUAAGGCAGUGAAGUUCAUAGACUCUAAGAACUUUAAUGUCCCCUUUGGACAAGCCGCGAUCGAGCUUGUCGCAGGCAAAGAAAGUGCCAUUGCACAAGUCAUUAGAACUUCGCCAGGUCAAACCUACACCCUCUCCUUCGUCGUUGGAGAUGCUAAGAACGAUUGCCAUGGUUCCAUGAUGGUUGAAGCUUUUGCAGCCAGAGAUACUCUCAAAGUACCACACACUUCCGUUGGUGGAGGUCAUGUUAAGACCGCGAGUUUCAGGUUUAAGGCGAUCGACGCAAGAACUAGAAUUACCUUCUUCAGUGGUUAUUACCAUACCAAGAAGACUGAUAUUGGAUCUCUAUGUGGUCCUGUCAUAGAUCAGAUUGUGGUUUCUCAUGUGGCUUAGAUCAAGUUUACUCUUAAUGACGACUGCAUCUUGUGUACUAAGACUGGUCAUGGACUUGGUUCUUUGCUCUGUAUGUCUUGCUCCUUUUGGAAUUAAGUGAUAGCCUUCAAGUUAAAAUGGAUGAUAUAUCCCAUUAUUGUGAUAUGAGAUGUUUUGAGUUAAAACCAAGAGUAAUAGUUAUAUAACCAAGAAUUAGAAGGUAGAGCAAAACCUUGUUUUUGAUUUUUAAACAUAAUUAAAAGUGCAAAGAUAUUAAUAAUUAUUAGCUAUUGAAGUAUAAUAAAUUGUUAAUCACAAGUUGAAGUUUUGAAUUAAAGUGUAGAAAUUGAUUCACCAAAAAGGUGUAAGAUAUGAUCAAGUAGUUGAAAAACUUUAGAAAAAACUUUUAAAGUGGAACCAAUUACAAAAAAAAAAAAAAAUUAUAAUAAUAAUAAAAAAUGUUAAAAAUUUAGAAAGAAGUAAUCAAACGGUUUCAUUUAUGAACUGGAUUUGGGACAUAAUUUUGGGUCUUAGCAUUUAAAAAGGACCAGGUUUUCUUUAGUAAAAGACAAUCACUCUAGUAUAAGCAAAAAUAUCCAUACACAAAAAUAUAAACUCUUUGGAUAAUAAAUUAAUAUGCGUUAUAUAGAUAAACACCUCUGAUCCAAUUAUUUAUGUUGAAACUAUAAAAGAUAACGGGUCUCUCGAACAAAAUAUGAAGAAAAAACAAAACACAAGAACUAGAAACAAAAAGAACGAAGAAGGGAGAUGAGAAAGAUGCAACUCGUUUAUAAACUAAGCAAGUCCUAAGAAGAUGAUGAGGAUCGCCCACGCAAGAACCUCCACGGUCCAGUUCCCGUUGCCAUCCUGCAUAAAAUCGCACACCACCGACGCCGAGUCAGAAAAAAAAAAAGACUUUCUUCUACUAUAAUGGGCUAUAAUAAUAGUAAAGGCCCGUUAAGGACGCAAUUUAAAAUACCUGGCAAUUCCAGUAAUAGCUCGGAGAGCCAUAUAGAUGGUAAGAGCUAUCCAUAUUCCUAUGAAACCAUUGGUCUUUGCCAUAUAUAUUAUUGCUGCAAUGCUAAUGGCCGCCACUCCUACCUGACAGUAUGUCAGAGAAUUGCCGAAUAGUAAGAAAGAGUCAAACUUCAAGAAAAAAGUGAAAUGAAGACAAGCAUUGCAGAUAGAUGUGAGCAAGAGGGUGUGGCGGGACGUACCAUGGAGUAUGCAGUGUAAGCAAAAUCAGAUGCUCCAAAAUUGACUCCAUCCAAUACAAAGGCGAGUGAGUUUAUUGGCUGCGUUGCUGCUAUAAACUGCAUACAUGUAUAUAUAACAUAUAACCUCUUUAUUACUAGUCCUUUUCAAAUGCUUUUUAUACUAUAUGGUAUUGUUUAAUGAUAGUUAGUAGCUAGUACCGAGAUGACAAAUGACAAAAAAAAAGUUAGUAGCUAGUACCGGUAUUCCAAUGGCCAUGAGGCGAAUAACAGCAGCGUCUUUGGAGAAUAUUCCGGCACCAAAGUGGAGACCCAGUCCAACGAAAAGGGACAGUCCAAGUCCCAACGCUAAACCCAUCUGCACACCAAUUUCAUUUAUUUUAUUUUUUUUGGUUUUAGUCACAAAAUUAUUUCAUUUAUUGUGUAAAGAAAGGUGAUUUGAACCGAACCUGUAGAACACGGGCUGCAACAGCAGACACUUUGUUAUAGUCUUUCUCAGCAAACGAACAAGCCAGAAUCGCCUGUAAAAUAAAAGACUCAUAUUCAAACGAUCAUAUAUUUUCUAUAUCAAUUAAUAAUUAGCUACAAACGAGGGUUACAACAAAAAUGAUUGAUUAUAGUAAAAAGGAAUUACCUGAGCAGCAACAGCAAGACCAUCAUUGAGAAGAGAAGAAGUUAGCCAGACUUGUAAGCAAAUCUGAAAAGCUGCCAUUGGCGUUGUACCGAGCCGAGCGGCCAUUGAUGCUGCUAAGGUCUGACAAAACGUCACAGCUAUGGUCCUCGCCAGCAAUAAUAGCCCUUUCAUUUUUUAAUAUUACUAACUGUUAGACAUCAACAUUUCGAACUAUAUUUUUAUAUGUAUUCGAUAUUAAAAAGAAAACCCUUAUUUUUAAAGUCAAUCUAUUCGAUUUGUUGUCCAAAAAAAAAAAAACUUUUAUUUAACUGAAAUCAAUUUAUUAAGAUUUAUUUUUCUCCUUUAUUUAACCCAAAAAAAAAAAAGAGAAGAUAUUAUUUUCUGAUAGUAUAUUUUUGGACUCUGUGCAGUAGCACCUACGACGGAUCUCGUACUUUGAUAACAGGAAGAAAAGCAACUUUUAAUGAAUACGCAUCGACACGUACCAUUUUUGAGGAACCUUCCGAACUGCAAAUCCCCGAAGUUUGGUGGCAUCAAAUUAACUUCCUUUGCGAGGAGGACGAACAAAAUUAGAGUCAUAAAGUACCUUCAUGUAUACAACAACACAAGACAUCAUUAGUUUUUCAGUCUGUGGUUAUCAUUUGAUUAGUCUUAUAUUAUUUGUAUCUUUUUUAAUAAUAAAGUUCAUAAGUCUAAAUAAAGUUUCGACCAAAAAAAAAAGGUCUACAUAAAGUUGUAAAAAAAAAAACAAGAUAUGAGCCUAGUAAUAAUUAUCAGUAAUGAUCAAUUUUGCAUGUGUGAAGAAAAGUUAAGAGUGAUUUCUCUUACUGAGAAAUGACAUGGGCUAUGGCUGCACCGCUGACCCCAAGACGAAGCACAAAAAUGAAGAUGGGGUCGAGGACGAUGUUAGUAAGAUUUGCUACGACUGUUUCAUGCAUCAAGACAGAUAAUAUAUUAGAAUAGAGUGACAAUGUGGUAAUAAAAUGAUAAGAAUAGAGUGAUUAAAGACGAUAUAUCUCGUCUAACGUAAUUACCAGUGGCAAAGAGAGGAGUUUUGGUAUCCUUGAAGCCACGAAAGACGCCUUGCAUAGCAAGAGACAAAAGCAAUGCAGGAGCCCCCAAAGCUCGUAUGCUCAAGUACUUGUGCGCUGGUGCUAUCAUUGGCGAAUUCUGUUAUCCAAAACCCCAACUCAAAUUAUUAGUCAAAAAAUUUGUUGUCCCAAUCCAAGAUUAUUUAUGUGCAUGCAUGCAUGUUUAUGUGUGUGUAAACUUACCGGCUUCACUCCCAUGACGCCUAGAAGCAACUUGGAACUGAAAAUCAAGAUAAUAGAUUGCACAAGGCCGAGAAUUAACCCCAAGAUCAUGGCUGUUGAUGCUGUUCGAAUUGUCCUCUUCCCUUUUUUCUUAGCUUUGGUUUCGCUGUUUGGCUUUGUAUCCGAAGCUAGUUAUUUCAUACAACAAAACAAAACAAAAAAAUAAAAAUUAAUGAGUCAACAUUAUUAAGAUUUACAGAACACAAAAUAUAUACUGAAAACACAAAAUCUUGACGUCGUUUUAACUACCCCAUUUAUACUUAAACACAAACACAAUAUGGUUUCGUUUAAAAAUGCAUACAUUAAUACCAACAUUAUAACUAAAGAAAAAAGAGAGAGAGAGAAGAAAGUAAUCUGAAUAGUAAGAAAAAAAGAAUCGCAACUUUUAUAAUAAAGUUGUAAUGAGUAGUGAGGUAGUAUGAAUAGCGGAAUUUACCUGGCGUUUCCUGUGGUGGCUGGUUGGUAGUGUUACUUGACGGUGAAGAAAGACCCUUUUCCAAGGAAUCCUGAACAAGAUUGGCUUUGUUUGCUUCUUCUUUCAUUUUCUCCAUAGUGUCUUCCUCCGCCACGAAAGAAGUUGUGAUGCUCACAAGUGGGAAUACAGUUAUCCUAGAAGCUUGAUUGAAUAUGGCAAUGGAGACUCCAACCGCCGCUAGCUGAACCGCUCCUAAACGCCCGAUAAAAGCGGUAUCAAUCAGAGAGGCGAUUGGGUCAGAAGCCAAAGCCAAAGCUGCUGGAAACGCCAUGCCUAGAAUCUCUCGCCCAAUUUUAUCCCAGCUGAAUACAUGGCUGCAGUUUCAUACAUAUUAACUAAAUGUUAUACGCAACACACACAAAAAAAACUCUUCAAACAUUAAUACUUCAUAAACAAACACAAAACACACACAGACCUUAAAUCUUUGAAGAUAACAAGAAAUGGGACUGACGGCUUGCUCACGCUGGUUGGAACUGUAGCAAGAUGACCAUCACCAGUUUCCGUCAUAGAUUGUGUUUCCUUCUUCUUCUUCUUCUUCUUUCUUUCUCUUUCGUAACUGUCUCUGUAAUUAAUUGCUUGUGUCUGAAAAUGACAUUAAGUGUUACGAAGAAUCGGAGGAGCAAAGGGAACGUUUAUAGUAGAUUCUGUGUACAAAUGUAUUUGUAUUUAUAGACACGUAAUGAGCAUGCAUAUCUUUGCUUAUUUAAUACAUAAAAAAUAUAUUAAAUAUUCCUUUCUUUUCUUCUUUCUAUUGUAUUUAUUGAAGAAAACAAAAGUUUUCCUUCCCUAACUUUUUUUUUUUCUUGUUGCUCUUUAAUUCCGUCCAAACUAAAGACACCAAUAUUAUAAUUUUUCUCUUUUCAUUGAAGGAAAUUAUUGGUAGACAUAAACAUCGUAAUAAUACUUCUAUUAAGUAAUUAAAUCCCAUUAGUACUUUUUGGCCUUGUUAAUUGUAACUUCUAAGAUUUCUUUAAUCUCAAGAGGAAAAUAUGGUACUUGUGAGCUAUAACAAAAAAUUGUAGCACUGAUGAAGCUGGCUGUGAAAGAGAAAGAGUCUUCUAAUGGAAAUAACUUUUGUUUUCAUCAAAGUUUUCUUUACUUGUAUUCAUCAUAGUGGGCAUGAGUUUGUUUUCUUCUAAACUCCUCAUUUUAUUUUUUGAUAUCUUCCACUGAAAAAGUGAAUCUUUUUGCGUAAUUGAAGUUCACUAGUUGCCAAAGAUUUUAUUUUAUCAUUAUAUAACAACUAAUUUUAAAUUCAAAAGCUUCUUUUAAUCGGCAGUUAUAAAAACUUUAAAUCUUUUGUUAUGCUAUAUCAAAAUUCUGGAUUAGUAUGGUAUAUAAUCGAAUUGGCAUAUAUAGUUUUUUUUUUUAAAACUAAAAUUUUGGUAAUAUGAUUUAAUAUGACUGUAAUUCAUUUUCAAUAUGUUUACUCUGACAUGUUACUUAGACCAAUAAUUACACUUUAUCAUUAUGAUUAACAUUUAAUUUUUAAGUUCUCUUUAAUACAUUUUCAAAUUUACAAAUCUAAAAUUUAUAUAUAUACAUUUUAUGUCCUCUCCUUUAAUAUAUAAGAUAUUUUUAUAUAGAUUUCAAUUAAAAAGUCACUCUUGUCGUAUUUCUUCCGAUAAAUGACUAAAAGACAAAUAUACCGUUUAUAAUUUCGGCGACGAUUAAAGUAUUUUAUCGUUAUCAUACUUUCUUAACAGAAGAACAAAAAGAUGAAACAAAAUCUGACUUGGAGAUGAAAUUCCGGUGAACUCGACACCGGUAUUUAGAAAUUAUACUAAGAAAAUAAUAUUAGUUUAUAAUUGUUUUUUUUUUUAAAUAACAUGGUACUCAGAGUAUACAUAGGACCUCGGUUCUAAGAUUUUCAUGUCUUUUGAUGCCCCUUGGGAAGUUGAAAAGAAUAAUUAGUUAUAUAAGUUAUAGCAUUACUAAAAACACAUGCUUGUUGAAUGUUGAGCAUUGAGGGAGGGAGGGUUUUGAUUGAGGGAGGGGUUUCUGAGGGAGGGUUAGAGGCAGUUUAGUUUACCACGAUUCAGAGUACCUAGGAUUAAAUCGAUAUAGCUAGCUAGUUUAAAAUAUCUUUCUUUGUAUUAUUUGUGUCAUGGCCAUUUUAGCAAACACUAUAAGCUUUCUAAUAUGAUUCUAUCAAACACCCUUCCAAUUAUUAUAAAUAUAAUAUAUUAGUUAAAGGAAGGCGACAGUCGGGAAACAAUAGCAUAAAAGGAUGGCUACACAGACCAACACAGGUGAGUUGUAUAUAGUGCGUGUCGUGUAUGUUCUUUGUUCCGCAAGAUAAGGCCAUCUUUUCCAAGCUAGCCAUCAACGUCUAUUUCAUUACCAACAUUCCACUUCCCCCAUUCAUAACCCUCAUUUUACUAUUCAGGAUUCCUAGACUUUAACUCGCUUUUUACAAACUAUAUAUGUGAUCAAGGACGAAAUUAUAAUUCAUUACACGAAAUUUUAUAAUUUCACUGUUCUCUAACUGGAUAUAUAUAUAUAAGGUGAAAAUUUGAUUGUGUAAUAUAUGUGGUGAUAAUAUGUAAGUGUUUAUACCAGCUUUUUAUGUAUUGCAAUAAAUAAAGAAUUAAUACUCUUUAUAUGACAUUUGGAAUGAUUACUUUAAAUAACAAAGAAGUAAUCAAAUAUCAAAGUAAUAAUAUACAGAGAUUGUCUUGUUUAAAACAAACACUCAAAUGAGGAUGAAGAUUAAUUAAUAGGAAACUGAAGAUAAAAUUUACUAAAUAUUUGGGGAAAAUAAGAUAAUUUUGCAAAUGGAAAAUUUAAUUUCUAUGCAACUCUAUGAUCUGAUAUAAAACUAUAGGUUAGUUGACACGUGUAAUAUUUUGUUUUUCAUUUUCUUAUACCUGAAAACAUGGUUUUAACAAAAAAAACAAACUUUAAUAUGUUGAAGCGUUUGACACUCUUUUAUAACUCAUAAACUGAAAAACUGGUAUUGUUGUUAUUAUUUACACGACAGAUAAAGUAUAAAUUUUAAUUAAUAAUUAAGCUCUACAAACGCUCGAUCUUAAUCGUAAUCUAGUUAAAUAUAUAGUUACUGAUCGGGCGUUAAACAUACUCUAUGUUCUAUUCUUUCUCACGGUUCGUAACCAUACAUACACAACAGUAGACAGCUUCAUAUAAGUCAUAACCAUACACAGCACUAGACACUAGACAGACACAAGGAAGUGUCCUACAUGUUUGUAUAUAUGUCCUUGUAGGAUAGAGAAUUUAUAUGCAAAAAUUGUAGAGAACUGAAUUAUGAGAGAUAUAUGGAGAAAAAUAUCUGACCUUUUUAUAUGUGGUCAACGCUUAUAUAAGUAGUCACGUGAACUUGAGAUGAUUAGUCACUAGUCAGUCAGUGAGAAUCUAUGUUGGAGUGUGUAUUUUUAGAGCGAGGGGAUAAUUUAUAUAGGCGUGUGCCAAUAGCCCAAUUCUAAUACUUUGUUUCAAUUUUUAAUAAGUGUGUGCCAACACUUGGCUCCAAUUUAUACACAAAAUUCCCUUCAUAUUCAUUUUUGUCCAUAUGUUCUCCAAACUUUGCUUUAUAUAUAUAAAGCAAUGCACAUCCUAUACCCUUUUAUUUCUUUUAUAUUAACUUUUGUUAAAAGUUGGAAAUUCCUUAAUUUCAAAUACAUGCCACUUAGUUACAACGUUCGUUACGUUCUUGUAAUAUGCAUAAUUUUUUUAAUUUUUUUUAUAAUAACGAAACUAAUAAGACCAUCCUUAUCAAUGGGUUCUUAGUUUAUUAUUAGGUAAUUUUUUAAUAUAAUUUAAAAGAUAAGUGAUGAUUUUUGUUAAGAAUGUCUCUUAUUUAAGAGGAAAAAAUGAGGUUCUUCUUCUUUAAUUUUUAAGAGCCAAAUUUAAGAAUCUAUCGAUAUCGAUAUUGCUCUAAUGUCUAAUUUAGCUUCCCUCUUCUUCUGUCUCCCUAAGACCAUUGAUUUGGAGUUAAACUGAUUAGUAAACUAUCGAUUGAUAAGUUUAUAUAUAGUAUUGAUUAAUAAGUCAGUUCAACUCCCAGUAAAAAGAAAACUUGUAAUCCCAAGAAUUGGAACCCAUAUGAAUAUUCGGUUUGUGUAUGAAACCAAAAUGAUUCGAUUGAAGGAAAAACUUAUGAGCGACGUGACGUAGUGGCUGAAGUCACAUUCAACGUAACAGUCACAAUCAACGUAACAGUUUUAUUUUAUACAACAAAAGUGGGCUACGUAGGAUUCCCAAUUAUAAGUUGCAACAAAAUGCUAUUAAUUUGUUUAACCUUCAUACAUUUGUCUUUUUUUCUUUCACAUAUUUUUUUUUUAACAUAUUUAUAAAAAAAGUUAUAUAUAAUUUAUUUAUUUAUUUCUAUUGUUAUGCGCUUUCACCUUACCUAAUUUAUCCAUCACGAUCCCCAUUGAACUACAUUUGAUACCUCACGUUUCUUAUCAUCUCCUUUUAUAAGCUAUCCGCUGUUUAAUUAAUUAUUACUAUCUAAAAUGUGUGUUAAUCAUAUCAUUCGUAUCUCAAAAUAUUUGCUAGAGGAUAUAUGCAAAAUGAUUCGUGGAUGAAAUCGCUAGAUUUUUUUUUCUUUUCUGAUUAACUUAACGUUUAGCUACGUAGUGCGCACUCUAAUUUUCAAAAGAUGCAAUUAAUUGACAACAAAAUUCCUUAUAUAUAUAUAUAUAUAAAGAGUACAUUAAAAGUACAAAUGUACCAUGACUUAAAAUAUUUCCUAGAAAAACACUUGACGUCUCUGGGAAAUGAUUUAAUUACAAAGACAUCAACACUCGAGAAUGACUCCAUUAUGUCUACACGCACAUCGGGCACGAGCCACUAUUUUUAUAUUGUCUCUUUGCUUUAUUAGUGUCAUUUUAUUAUACUUAUAUCAAUUUGAUAUAUAGAAUCCGCAAUUAGAUAAAUUAUGUGGCUACGAAAAGAGAAGGGUCGGAUGUAUAAGCACAUAGGAACUAUCAGUCUUUGAUAGUCACAUUAUUUCAAAUAAUAAUAUAAUUCAAGUAUUGGAUAUGGGUUUGAAGAGCCGCGAGCCAAUGAGGUGGGAAGAAGAAGAACUUUGUGCUCCUAUGGGCGCCCGCAAGUUGGUCUAUCGUUUGUAGAUGAAUUGAUUAAUUUGGUAAACAUGAAACUAUCUAUGAUAACAAAAAAAUAAAAAAAUGGAAACUGUGAGCUAUGGGCUAUGGGCUAUGGGCUUAGGAGAACCAAAUCUUUAAAAGAAUAUGAGCUAUACAAUGUUUUUUUUUUAUAGUUUCUUACUACAGAAUUCUGCUGUCUUGAUCAUUCGAAGAUUUUUUAUCUCCCCAGUCCCUUCAAUUUAAUAUAAGAAAGUUGGGUUUGUUAUUGUGCACUGACUCCCACGUUACUUCAGUUUCUACUCAUUUUUGAAGUUUUCAGAUUGGACUGUUGGAGUUAGAAAGAAAAGGUAGGCUGGAUGUGGAACGUGGUGGGUAUAUAAUAUGAACAAAAAAAUGUUUCAAAAUCCACGAAAAGAAGUGAUUAAAUUGAAAAUGUUAAGUAUAUCCAACAUACUUGUAUGUAAUCCUCAUUCAUUGUUAAUAUCCAUAUAGAAGCUGAAAGUUUUUGUAUGUGUAAGUGCAAAAAAAAAAAAAAAAAAAAAAAAAAGAGUCAAGUACAAUAAUAUAUUAACAUAUAUAACUCUCAUGAAUACAAAUUGUGUGCCCCGAUUGAAUUUCGAUUUCUCCCAUAAAAAGACUUUGACAUUACAUAAGUUAAUCAUGGCAUGUAUUAUUAUAUUUUCAUGCACUUGCCAAUGCAUUGAGGCUUAAUUUGGAUAUAAUCUCUCAUUAAGAUACCAAUCUGCAUUUUUCUCUUAUCACCAUAACCUCGAUGUGCAUAUCGUUGUAAGCAAGGAACAAUAAACACUCGACCUUGUGAUGAUACUUAGGGUUUAUAAUAUUCCAGACAACUCGAAAAUCGGAAAUUAUGCUCAUCCUCAGUAUUAGAGGCAAUCCAGCUCUCGAUUGAAGCAUAUCAUCCAUCUCUCUUCCUGCCCCAUACAUUGCCCGGUUCUUUGUUCCUAUGUAUAGCUGAAAUGUUGUCGACUCAUGGCUCAACGCAUAUAAUUUAGGUCCCUUUAGAAAGAAAUAAAAACAAGAGUUACGUUGUAUGAUACGAUGAAUACAUGUUACCUUAAAGUUGACACUGAAUAAAUAAAUAUAUCUCUCUAAUUAAGUUCAUAUAUAAGACUUACUAGCGCUUUUGCAAAGUUGAGUGGGCCAAAGAAGAAUUUGAUAGAUGGAGGAUGGAUGUGAAGGCCAAAGACAUUAGACUUGUUAUCUACUAUGAGCUUGGUAGAGCAAUUGCAAGUGAGGAACUUAGUUGGAGCACCAUGUGAAUCCACGCCUUCUUCUAACAUGAACUGGUUAAACCUUCCAAUCUGUAAAUUUUACAUACAUUUUAGAUAAGAGUACUAUACAAGCCAAAACUCAAGGUCAUCAUCAACAAAAAUUGGUACUAGCUAGCUUAUUAAUUAGGAGAAGAUGAUGAAUAUUACUCGGAAAGAAAUGUUAGGAUGAGGAGGCUGAGUAGCAAUGUAGAAGACAAGCAAUGCCACCCCAAAGCUAAACAAGAACCUCCAGCCUAUUUGCAGAACGAUCCACCAACCCGAAUUGGAGCUUUGCAAUGGUGGCACCAACAUUUUCUCAUCGUCCUCAUACAAGCAUUUGUUUUCAGGAUUUCUCAAGAAAUCUGAGUGCCUUGGAAACUCGUUAUUGACGCAGGAUAGGACCAAUAGCGCUGAGUCAGAUCGAGUCGGGGAUUGGAAUUCGGAUUCCGGGUCAUGAAAAACUGUUGAAGGGCUUUCGACGAAGUAGUUUGAGCUGCAGGGGUCCUCUCUUCUCUCCAUUUAACAAAAAAAAAAAAACAAAUAUUAAUUGCCUUAAUAUUUCUCUUUCGUUGUUUGGUUGGUUGUGUGAUAGACGAGUUCAUAUAUAUUACGAGAGAGAUAUGAAUCAUAUGAUUGGUCACUAUCUCUGAAAUGAUUCGUUGAUGUGGAGUAAAUUAAGCAUUAUAAUUAUAAUAGUUAGUGUUUUCAAUUAUUAAUUUCAUGGUGGAGAAAACUAUAAUUACACAAGUAAUGAUGUGGGUUUGUUGUUCUUGUAAUCCAAUUCCCUUCACGCUUAAGUUUAACUAGGUAAUAACCACUUAACCAAUCAUUCAACCUAGGAAGCUCUAUUUUUAUUUAUACAUAUAUACGAUCUUGAUCAUUACUAGAACCUCGGAAAAGCUUUCAUUAGGAAAAUAUUAUUCCUCUUUUUUAUUUGUGGCCGUUUCAUAAGUGCUCUCUUAACACGAGAGGGAAAAAAAAAGUCAAAAACAGUGUCUGUUUUCUUAACGGCUAGCUAGGUUUGGUCGCAUUAACAAAAAGAAGCGCAAACCGAAUUAAUAUUUCUUAACCGAUUUGGAGCUGAAAUUUGAUAGUACCAGAGAGAAACCAAAUAUGUUGCAACCGACCGAACCGACUACUAGUUGAUUUUUAUCAACUAUUGUCCGUUCAUCAGAGCCAGCGAACGUCCGAACCGAAUGAAAAAAGUUCUCAUCCAAAUCUCUUUAUCCUGAAAAAACAAACAAACCAAAACCUAGAAAAGAAAUAAUCAGGCCUUAAGUUUCCUUUCGGCGUGGAGUCUCCAUUGCUGGCCCAUAAUCUCAAAUCCUAAACGAAGACCUCAAAGUCCAUACAAGAGAACUCAAUAUUCAUGGUACACCUUUGUAUCACUCAAUUAUAUUAAAUUUAUGAUUUUAGCCAAAACAUCAUUUUGUUAUAUCCGUUUCUUUAAGUAUACGUUUUGAGUUUUUUUUUCUUUUCUUUUCUUUCUCACUAUUUUUUUGUUUUGUUCCAAUUUUUCUGUGUAACGCAAGUGUUCCAAUUUUUCUAUUUGUUCCUAUAUAGUAUUUCAUACUAAUGAAAGUUAAUAGAAUGUAAAUUCACAUCAAACUGAUAAAUACAAUUAAGAUUUUUUUUUCUUGUAAGAUAAUUUUUUAGUGUGUGUGGAAUAUGUUGUUUACAAUUUCUUAAGCAAUAUAAUUAAAGAUAAUGAUAAAGAUAAUGCUUUCUUAUUACGAAACCGUGUAUUACACAUCAACCUCAGAGAUUUGUACAAAAAAAGGAAUUUGAAAAGAAAGAAAAAAACUAUACAAAAUGAACCAAACUAAUCACCUCACUCUGCUGUGUGUAUGGGCCAUUUUAUUUAAGUACUUCCUCAGCAAAUAAAAUCUUAAAUGAAACAUUCCUAUUCACAUUUCCAUGUAUAUACUAAUGGGAACCAUGCAUGGUGAUUUUGGUUCCUCCACCUAAAGAUAUAAACUAUAUAUGCAUAUCCCUCUCGUUUCCAUGAACUAUCGAUCUUAUUGUGAAUAAUACACAUAUGAUGGGAAAAAUAAAGGGACAAGAAGGGAAUAUAGAGACCAAUUCUGAUUGAAAGAAGACUUUUUUUUUUACCAAAAAUAAAAUGAGACUCUUAUAGAGAGAAUAUAGAGGAUCAACUUCAUAUUCGUGCUCCCGUAGAAGAAGUAUGUAUAUUAAUGGUAAGGUUGAACCAGAUGAAUGAUUAAAAAAAUAUGUAUAUAAGAAUGAAUGAGAAAUGAGUAAAAGAAGAUAGAAUGAAAAGAAAGAGAAAUUGUCGUCAUUCGACUUGGAAAUCAAGGAAGGGAAAAGAAGAGUUGUUAUCGAUGAGACCAUCUAAAUCCCAAUCACCGAUUUUAGGGUUUUCUAUUUCCCAUUCUCCAUUCUCCAUCCCUAACAUAUUCCCUACCUUGAAGCUUUCUGCAUGACAUAUAUUUUUGCUAUUGAAGCAAGGAUCAAGGACUUGUAAGUUUAGGUUGUUGUUGCUUGUACUACAAGCAAUGAUAUUGGUACCCUCCGAGGGGGGAAGAAACCAAUGAUCACCUUCUACUGAUACUCUCUUGCUUGCUUGAUCAAGAAUUGUGUUUCCAUAAUCUUCUAAACCAUUAACGUUGAAAACAUUCCCUGUGUUUCCCAUUUGGUGAUAUCGGUUAUCCGGCAAUGAUGAUAUCAUCAAGGGAUCGUCAAGCUGGUUUAAGCCCACACUAUUAACCAUCGGUGCAAAAUUGAAUGAGGAAGAAGAUUCCAUGCUCAUGGUGUUCCCCACUAUUAUCAUGUUGUCAUCAUGAUGAUGAUAUCCAUCAAUCAUGGGAGUUGAGUUGCCUCCGGCCAUGUCCACAUGUAGAUCUCUUGGGUCCAUGGAAUUACUAUUACUAUUAUUAGGUGAUGAUCCUGAUGAAGUAUUGUUGUUGUUGUUCUUUAGCCUCUUCUUCAAUGUCGAGUUCCAAAAGUUUUUGAUCUCGUUGUCUGUCCUACCAGGAAGCCGAGUAGCUAUUUGAGACCACCUGAUGAUGAUGAGAUGUAAAUAGUUAUGCACCAAAAAUCCUUAUAGCACCAAAUCGUUUCGAAUCUGAGAUCGUCAUUGUAUAAAGUUACCUGUUACCAAGAAUGGAAUGCAAAUGGAAGAUGAGAUCCUCUUCUUGAGGAGAAAAAGAGCCGCGUUUAAGAUCAGGCCUCAAGUAAUUGAUCCAGCGAAGGCGACAACUUUUGCCACAUCGUAAAAGACCAGCAUUCCUAGCUAUGUCACUCCAACAUCCUUGUCCAUUGGUCAACAUGUAUCUUAUGAGCUUCUCGUCUUCAUCAGGCGACCAAAGUCCUUUCCUUAGCUUAGGUUUGUUGUUAUUACCACCACAUGCAUGAUUUGGCUUGCCCUUGUCUCUAGUCGUAGUGAUGUCCGGUUUCCUCAUCAUCAUUGUUGGACUAGUGGAGCCUUUUUGAAGAAGAAGCUUAUACAGAGAGAGAGAGAGAGAGAGGGAUAUGGAGUUUGGAGAGGUUGUAAGAAGCAAGGAAAGAUGGAGAGGGUGAUAUGAUUUGUGGGGAUUGCUUUGGAAUGAUAUGAAUAUGCGUAAUGGAUAUGACAAAGAGAGAGAGAGAGACAGAGAAAGAAAGAAAGAAAGAAAGAGAGAGAGAUGAAAAGUAGUGUUUGUUGGGAUUGAUGGGUAGAGUAGAGAGAGUCUCUAAUAGAGACAGAGAGAGACAGAGAGAAGAAGAAAUGUGGGGGAUGUGAAGAAGAAGCAAGAGGUGGGUCUUGCCUUUGUUACAGAAAAUAUAUAUAAUAAAAAGAAUAAAAUGAGCUUCGUUAAAAACAUGAUGAUAGACUUGUGAGUGAAGAAAAAUGUAUCGAAAAAGACUGGUUUAGAGUCAAAGACAAGAACAAGACCCAACCUCUUUCUCUCUCUCUCUCUCAACCCUUCACCACACACGUACGUGUGUUUGAAGUAUGAGAUGAUCCAAAUAAAAUAUACAUUCGUUUUUAGUUUACGAGUGUUUUAUAUAAAUUUUACUAAUUUCGUUUUUCUUAAGCUUUAUUUCUUUCUAAACGACAACUUAAUAACCAAAUUUUCACAAUCUAAAAAGGCAAUAUAUUGUACUAUACUCUUUGCAACGAGGCUUAUUAUGAAGUAACUUACAUUUUACGAUACAAUCAAACCGAAUCUAAAUAAACAAAUCGAAUUCAAGAUCCUUUGACAGAACUAUAGAACAUAACAGAAGUUAAGAAAGAUCGAUGAGCCAGAAAACCCUAACUCAUCAUCUAUAAUCCAAACUUAAAGAAUAUAUAUAUAUAUAUAUAUAUGUGCUAUGCAGGAUUAAAAAAAAAAACAAAUCAUCACUUUAUUAAUUCAUAUACACAUAAAUUGAAACCCCUACCCUAUAUAAAGUAUAAACCAAUAUCAAAACGAGUCAAUUUGUUUACGAAUUACCGAAAUAAAAACCAUCAUCAUCAUCAAUAAUAAAAAUGUGUUAGAAAUAGCGUAUUGGAAAAUAACGUGGCAUGCAUUAAACGUUUGUAAAUAGUUUCAUGGGUUACUCAACUGACGAUGAUAAGAAAGCAUCGACUUAUACCGAUAAUAGCAAGUAAUGAUGAUGGGAGCACGACGGAUCAUACACUCCUUCUUCUUAAUGUAUACUAAUAAUCAUCAUGCAUCACUUAAUUAUAGAAGCUAAACUUAAUUCGAUUCUCUAAUCUGUUCUCUCUUUAUUUUUUUGAAUCACAGUGUUCGACAAGCCUACCAUAAAAUUACGUUAUGAUUUUUUCUAACAAUUUUUAUUUAUUUUUAAACAGAGCAAGGAGACCACGUACCAAAAUCUAGAAUAAAUUUCAGAGAUUACACACAUACAAUAUCAAAAGCUAUUAACCCGAAUCUAUUAAAUCAGCUUCCAAUUUGGGCCUAUAAACUCUCAUUGGGCUCAUAUUGCCUAAUUUGUAUUGGGUUUGGGUCUUUUCAUCAAAUCUUAAGAUUUUAUACAAUUAUCUUUCACCAAGUCUCCGACUAUGCCCUCCCAAUAAAUUAUAACAAUCGUUGACCAACAAACAAAAAAGUGGGUUCUAUGAAAUGAGAGCAUAUUAGCCUUAUGCUCUUCACGUCCACACGAACUAUUCUUCUUACCAUAUAAAACAACAUUGUUGGUAAAGUACUAAAGCCAAAACCAAAGCCAAAGCCAAAGCCAAAGCCAAAGCCAAAGCCAAAGGACAGAAUUUGCUUUUGAGAGGCAAACAUGGCUUCCAACAAUCAAUACACAGCAAUGGCUGUUUUUGCCACGAUGACACUCUCCUCUGUCUUUACCGCCUCCGCACAGUACGACUCAGAGCCGUCACAAACAGGAGGAGCCUCUUGUUUUCCAGGAAUGUCUAUAAUCAUGAUCAUUUCUUCUCUCAUCCUUUCUGGUUUUGCCAUUCUCAGAUGGUAGAGCCCUUUGUAUGUUCUUCUGUCUUUACCUUUUUUUAUAUUGUUGUAUCACAUCUCAAUAAAGGAAAACAAUCGCUUAUUGUUGUAUUCAGAUGUUUUACUGAAUAGAAGAAACUCAGAGAACCUUUUUAUUAUCUCAAAAAUCUUUCACAUGGAUUGUUCUGAAACCAUUAUUUACAUUAUCUUUAUUCACACUUUUUUAUUUACAUAAUUGUGUAGUAAUACAUUUACCUAUCUAAAAUAUUAUUACUUUGAGAGUUUCUUCUGUGUCCUGAUAUCUAUUUAACUAUCAUCCUCUCUGAGCAUGUAUGUCUCCAUAUCUAUAAUAAGAGAUACGAUUGAAUUAGCCAACAAGGCAAAUUCUAGUUAGAUAAUCUGAAAGAUUAAGGAAAGACAAAGAUAAUCCCAAAAUUGUUUCACCUUACUUGAGAGAAUUGUCAAAACUCAGAAUAAAUAUGAGUUUGAUAAGAAAUAAGUUUGUCAUCCCCACCUUGUUUUCUGUGUUGGACAAUAAAAAGUUAGCUAUAUUAGAGAACCAAUAAGCUGACUUUUCAUGGAUUUCAAGUUUCAGCACAUUAAAGAACAACUAUCUAUGAUAAUUGUACAUGGGAUUGGAACUUACUUUCGAUUAUCCGGGGAAGCAUAUUUUAGAAAAUCUGCAGGCCACCAAGUAACUCUGAUAGCCUGAUAAUAGUAAGUAACACAGUAAUAAAAAAAAUCAGAGAAAAAGUAAGAGGCAUCAAAUGAAGUUUGAAGUUGAUCAUAUUGGGACUAGACCUGAUACUGUCUCCUUCUUGAGAACCAAGAUGCCUUAAAACAACUUCCUCCAAGUGACCAUCAGGAUAUGCAUGCUAUAGCAAGACCAAAAAAAUAUGAAAAAAUCACUGGUCUGAUGCUUUGGUAGGCAACAAAAAAUAGAAGAAAGUAUAUCAUUUAUACCUUAUAGAAACAACUUGCUCCAAAUGGGCAGCUUCCGUUUCCAAAGUUAAAAUGCUUACAGUCGAUUGAUCUGCAAGAUUGGAAUAGAACACAAUUCAUCUACUAAGCAUAUCAAGUUUGUAGACAGCUCAAAAUCAAGUGUUUGCAGUUAGUAACUAUACCUCAGUUUUGCCUUGUAUAUGUCGAUAAUUUCCUUUUUCUCUUCAGGAGUAGAGUACCAGACAACACUGGGGACAACAAAAUAAGAGAGUUUGCGACAUAUAGGACAGGCUCUCAACGUACUGUUGACAUCCAUUCCUGAAACAGGAGCACUGCUACGCCAAUUACGAAUGCACUGUAUACAAAACGGGUGAUCACAUUCAGUCAACAGCCCAAACUUCCUUUCCCCUGGAGUGGCCUUUGACAAGAUACGAUCCAAGCACACACUACACUCGAUAUCUUGACUUUGUUUCAAAGCCUCGAUGUGCUUUUGCUUCUUCUCGCAUUCUUUAGUGUGCUCUUCUCGUUCUUCGGGUCUAAAAGGAUGCAAACACUUCUUGCCACAAGUAGCGCAGAGGUCUCCAUGCAUAUGAGGGCACUGGUUACCUCGCGGGCAGUCACCAGCGGCAGCAAAUGAGCAGAGUGGGUAUUCUCUUGGAUGGACACAAUAGACGCUAGAGGAUUUGUCACCGUGGUUAUUACCGUCCCCAUCAUAGCCUUGGCGUUGAAAACUCAUAGAGGGAGCGGUGGAUAAAGAGCGAUCCAGAGACUCAGAAUCAGAGGUAAGAGGUGGUGUAGGAAGAUCGGAAGAAGCUCUGACAUGAUCAUAUCUACAUCUACUUCCGUAAAAACACAUUCCUUUUUGGUAGAAUGUGCAAACCUAACAAGUGAAAAUGGUUUGGGACUAAUGAAUCAAACCCGCCAUUAAACAAGGAACAAAGAAAGCAAGAAUCUUGACAAGAGAUUACAUUACAUUAUUAGGCGGAUCCUUAGAGUCAUGGGAAAAUCCACAAUUAUCCCCUUUCAAGCAUGAGCCAUGGACAAAGAACUUGCACAGUAUCCUACAAGAAAAGAAACCAGGAAGCAUAAAGAAAUCAAUUGAACCCUACCCAGAAACCAAACCAGCACCAAAAGCAUCAACCUUUGUCCCAAUAAGAUAAUCAAAAGACAAAACGAAAAAAACACAAAAUAGAAUCGAGAAGUUUGGGGGUACCUGUCGGAGGACAUCUGGGGAUGGUGCGGAGAGAAAAAGAGAGAAAGAUUCAAAGGUGGAAGAAUGACAAGGGAGAGAGAGCUUUAUUAUGUGAAUUUUUGUACGGUAUUGAAUUGUUGAGGACAAGGAGAGAGUUUCCCCCAAACAGAGUUUUUGAGAUAGAGCGCGCUUCCACCACACCCACCUCUCUCUCUCUCUCUCUUUCAUUUGCUAAAAUAUCACACUUUUCAUUUUUGAAGGGUUAUACAUGUUUCGUCGUUUUUGCUAUAUUUUACAUGCAAACAAACAUCCUCAAUAGCUCUACUGGUAAUAAUGGCCAUCCAUCUUUUUGAGGGUCUGCUUGGUUCGUCCGUUCGUUUAAAGAAUAUGAUCAGUUAGGAGAUGUGAAUCAUGUUAUGUAUAAGAUACUUUCUUUUGAAGCUACGCUUUGUUGUAUCUUUUGUGGAAUGAAAGUCAAAACAAGUUUUAACACGGUCUACAUAAAAAUCACAAUCCAUACAUACAGUGUUACACGAAACUACAUACAUAAUAAUAAUACAACAUACAAGACAAGACCAUAGUCUCUCUCACUCUUGCCUCUUAUAUGUACAUAAUAUAUAUUACACACAACAAAUCAAGCAGAUCCUCCACACACACUCACACUCACUCACUCACUCACACACCAAUCCUCCGAUUCCAAAUGCACAACCUCCGUGGUGCUUAAACUUACCUGACCAGUUUUAAAUGCUGUAUCUCAAUCGUCACACAAAUUCCACCCUCACAAGAAGCUUCACGGAUUUGUACUUCUCCCCUUUCCGGGUAUGUAAAGGAAAUGCUCUUAUUCCUUCGCUUAGCUCCCAUACCGGCAAGCAUGUCUGCCCUCCAAAAUCAUCCUUCUCUGACAUGUCAUACUCAUGCACUUCUAAUCGCAGCAAAGCCAGUUCCGGAACUGUUAAUGGGAACUCAAACACCUCAUCCCAAGAUGGUACCCAAUUAUCCUCCAAUGUCUUUGUCUUCUUCAUUAUUGUAUCCCCUGGAACUCCAGCUAUCCCAACCUGAGUUUUUGUAUCAAUGCUCAAUUUAUAUAGCAAUCUAAUAGACAAGGAACAAUUUUAUCUUAAGACAUUUGUGUGAGGAAAUUUACCCUCGUAUAGAAGUCAGGCGGUGAAUAUUGAUCGAAGUGCGUGUGGCGGAAAUCAAAGUACCAGCCUUCUCCCAUGUAGACAGUUACCUAAGGAUGAUAAGAGAAUAAGUUCACUGAUUUUUAUCACUUUUGUAUUGGCAAAGGAAAGAGACCAGACAGAGAAGAGAAUCAGAUAUCUCACCCUAAGUGUUGUUUUUACAGGUAGAGUAGCUUUUGGGUCAAAGAUGUCAUUAUCAGAACCACCUUUCAGCAGAAUAUCGGGUUUCUUGAUGUAGCCACAGCCGCCAUUGGCUCUAAACAUUCCUUGCAUUAGCCACAAUGAUCUUCCAUAUCCCUGUGCAUGCAAGAAAAUAACAAUUAAGUUAGCUGAGGAAUAAGGUUGAUGUCCUGUAAAGUAAUGGAGCACAGCUUCUCCAAAAAUAACAAAAAGUUACUUUUACUACUAUGUAUUUUUUUUUUGAUACCUGCAUAUUGAAAGCCACCAUUUGAGCACCAUGGCUCCAGCCAACCAAUGGGUUGUAGUUUGAUGAAGUAACUCUAGUUCCUUUUGGGUAAAUCCUCAGCAAAUUUUGUUGAGUAAACCUACGCCACACCAUGAAUAACAGGAUUCAUACUGAGUUGAUGGACUUCAAUUAUUACUUUGAGACAUAAAAACAUCAAAUAACUAUCAUUUACGGGAUUACCUCACAAUCUGUUUUGCAUAUUUUUCAGCUGCCUUUUCAAGUUGUUCUUCGCUCAAGCUAAGGCGUCUUACCUUGUCAGGAUCUACCUUUAAACACUCAGUAAUCCCACCUUUUGGUUUCCCAGCAUGGAUUGCAAUCAAAUGUUUAUACUGAGGUGGUGCAUUCUUCUUAGACUUGUCUUCAUCAUCAUCAUCAUCGUCAUCGUCGUCAUCAUCAUUUCCAUCCAAGCCAUCCUGCAACAAAAAAUAAACCUGACAUCUUUUGUAUAUGAAUACCAACUAACAUAACUGAAUGAAGAUGAGUUGCCUUCAAACACACCUUGACAUCACUUUUUUUCCUAUCAAUAAAGCUCGGAAUUUCUCUGCCCCAAGCUUCUUCAUCACCCAAGGCUUUACCUUUCUGCACCACUUCCUCAUCUUUUCCUUCCUUGUACUCUUUCGGAGGUUUGGUUGAGAUAAUAAUCCGCCUUUUUAAAGAGUUUGGAGACGGGAACUCCUUCAAAGAUUCUCCGACAGGAGGAGUAAACAGAAUUUCCCCAAAUAUCUGAGUAACCAUCUAUAUCAUACAACAAGAACAACACAUCUCGAAAUUAGUGUAAUAAUCUGAAAACGAGAAAGAAAAAAAAAAUCCUGAAAGAAAUGCAAAAUGUGGCUACCUCAGCAACUUUAGACUGAAGUUCUGGUGUAAGAUGAUCUUCAAGAGUUACAACAACAGGAAAGUCGGAUACAUCAAAGGCAUGUGCUCUGAUAGCUUUCAGACAUUUGAUCAACUCCACAGGCGCAGUGAGAGUCCUGUUUCAAAAAUAGUUCAGUAAAACAAACAAAAAAAAACGACAAGCACCAAACCUUGACUUCAUUUGAUUGAGUUCCAAGAAUAUCAUACCUUCCAUGAAGAACAUCAACAUCAUCUUUGUUGGAGUUAGGCCAUAUAUCCAAUUCAAUCACUCUAACACCUUUCUUCAAUGCAUCUAUUAUAGGUACCUCACUGCAAUCACUGCUAAGCUGAUUGCCAGUCAAAUAUGAAUUAUGACCAGUGAAUAUAAAAUAAUGCGAUAUAGGAGCAUCCAUGUCUUGAUGCACCUAAAAAAAAGUCAAUUCAACAAAUUCAUUAGAGAUAAGUCUAGCAUAAAAUGAAAACUAGCAUAACUGAGUCAGAGUUCCUAAAAGAGUUACCUGUCACAUUCCUAAUAUGCUACAUUCUCAACUUUAUUUUUACAGCAACUAGGGAUAAAAAAGAAAAAACAAUCAAACUCUUGAAUCAGACUUAUUCCACAAAUCUAGCUUCCCACACCACUUGCUUUAAAAGUACACAGCUCCUACUACUUUAUGCCAUAUGUUUUUCUUACAGCAGAGACACAUAUACAGAAAAAAUAGACAAAUUAAAUUGCUUCGAAGUUUGAGCACUUGAAUCAGACUCUAUGAAACUCUCAACAAGAUUAAAAUUUUAAAACCUCACUAUCUAGCUACCAAACAAGGAAAGCGAAUAAUCCAAAUCCAAAAUCUGAGUUUGUCAAAUCUAUCAAAUCAUAGUUGACUUAUAAAAUUCAGAACUUUUAAAAUCGAAACAAGAGAGUGAGAAAACAACCUCACGUAGAGCGAGAGGAGGGUUGUUAUCACCAAAGAGGUACUUGAAGAAAGCAUCGAGGUGAAGACCAUUACGAUGGAGAAGAGAAGAUGCAGAGUUGAUGAUUGACUGAGCAUCUUCCCUGGUAGCUUUAUCUUGCUUCUGGACAUCAAUCAGAAACCUGAGGAGAUGAUCAACGGUCAUAACCCCAUUCUCGGAGUACUUUUCGAAAAUGGUCUUGAUCUCACGCGGUGCCUCCGAUGCAGUGUAGCGAAACCUCCGGCGAAAGCAGAAACACACUCUGUACGUUUGCUUCGACAUGAGGCAAAGAAGAGACGGAUCUUUGGGUUAAUGAUUGGAGACGAUGGGAGAAGAAGGGAAGGGAAUGAAGUAGGGUUUGUGUGUAAGAAUCAGAAUUAUCUUAUCGUGUUUUUGAUAUCAGACAGGAAGCGAGAACAGAAUCGUUUUUUUUGCGUGUCGGUUCUGCAAAAACAAGAUAGAUUUUUUAUCCUUUUUGGUUUCUAGUGAAUCUCCUCCAUGUAAUAUCAAUCGAUCUUGUUGAACCUUGUCGGAAGAGAUCUUCUUCAAUCUCUGUCUCUCUUUCUCUCUCUCUCUCGAAUAUCCAUCCCAUCUGGCAAAUCCUAUCCAUUUGGGCUUUAUUGGGCCUUUUUGAAUUAACAGAGCCCGUUAGACAAGUUUUUCUUUUAGGGUUCUUUGCUGUUGUUUAAAGGAGCAAUAAGAGCGUUAUCUGCAAAAUCUCUCCGCCGCUCCUUUCUUGUAACCUUAAAAUCAAAUACUAGUAAUCCGAGGAACGAAGGGUACAGCUUCCGCGCAACCAGCAUGAGAGCCAAGGUGAGUUUUGGGUUUUGAUUUUUAUGGAUUUUUAAUGCUGGGAAUUCGAAGUAGUUGGUAGGAUCUUUACGGUCUUUGUUCUGUCUGGCUGUUACAGUGGAAGAAGAAGCGUAUGAGGAGAUUGAAGAGGAAGAGACGAAAGAUGAGACAGCGAUCUAAGUAGAUUCGGGAGCUGUUGUUUUUUUAUAUAUUUGUCUUUCCUUCUUUUUAGAACCAACUCUUGUGGGAGUUUUGUUGGUUUUGCAAUUUGAAUGUUUUGUUGGACCAAAUCGAAUCUAUCUUUUUCUAUUAGAAUUAUCUUUCUUACAUAGAAAGAUGAGAUCCACACGAGUUCCUGAUUCUCCUUUAUAUUCCUCAAAUCUUCUUAGCAUUUUGGAUUACUGAUCAUCUUUAGUUAAGUGUCUGCUUCGGAUAUGAGAUUUGUCGUGGUGAAAGGUCGAACAUUUGAUAUUAGAAUCGGUGAAUCAGUUAGAUUAUCGUGAAGCUUAAUUGUUGUUUGACAUCUAAGUAAUACGUCUCUGAUUGAAUGAAAACAACUUAUGCGUAGAAGUAGGUUUUUUGCUUUGAAAAUGCAUUUCUUAGUUUUACUCCGUUAGUGUAAACUUAUUAAUCGUUUUCUUACUCUAUUAUCUGCUGAUGAAAACGAUAUUCCACGUAAUUGUAGGGAGAAAUUUAUAACUGAGUGAUGCAAAAUUCGCACUACUUGGGCAACGGAAAAAAAAAAAAAGAUGAAACGGUUUAAGGAACUAAAGGUCUCAUAUAUUACUAAUAACAACAAGUUGCAACUCAUAAACUGUUUAAGGAAUCGAAAGUCAAAUCGAAAGAAAUGCAGAAACUACAAAACUUAUACGAGUAAUCUACUCUCCUCCCAAGAAAAAUGGCUUUCAACAAAAAGAUUAAACAAAAAAAAUGACUCAUCUAAAAACCACAGAAUAUUACAACGAAAUUAGGUUAUUAUUCACAUUAUUCCCAGACAAAUUCUGGUCAGACAUGUUGCAGACGAACACCUCCCUAGCAAAUUGAGCCGACUAUGAGUUUCUGAUAACUCUUUCCAAAUGCGUAUAUUAAAAACAUAAGUUUGUGUCUUAGUAGCCGCCUCCCAUCGGUGGCAUUCCAUAUGCUGGCAUAGGAGGCAUUCCUGGCAUGCCCCCCAUUGUUGGUGGCGGACCAUACCCACCACCACCUCCCAUUCCAGGCAUCGGUGGUGCAGGUAAUGCAAGUGGUAAUAGUUGGGCGUACAUGUUCUGUUUUAAGACAUAGAGAAAAACAUAAAACUCCUUUAAACUGUGUCUGUCAAGAGAAAGUCUGGGUGAUAUGGAUUGUAGCUGUGUGGUUAGUACCUGUUGGGACAUGACCUCCUUCUCUUCCUGCUCUUUGGCCUUCACUUCUUUUUGUGCCUCCAGCUUGUCCUUUAUUAGCUCAUCCACUUUGCCAGAGUAUUCUCGCAUAAACUACAAAAAAGAAAACAGGACAGGUCGGAAGAAUUCAUCAUACCGUUCAAAUAAUGGUUUCCAUCUCAUGGUUGGACCAGAGAAUCAAAGGAGUGUAUUUUUGAGGGUGAGGGUAGAUCACCUGGAGGAGAUACGGGAAGGCAAAGUCCAUCAUAUUGUUGAUCCAGGCAAGUUCUAGAGCCACGUCUGGUCGGAUUAAGUCAUAACAUACAAAGAGACAUGUGGCAAAGCAUUCCUUUUUGUCCUGUAUAACCAAGCACAGCAGAAGGCAAGAGAUAUUAUUUUUCAUCUUCUGGACCAGUUGUCGUUCCGUUCUACUAAUAAAAAUGAAUGGCUACUGGUAGCAUCUCGUAAAUGCUUAACCAUCAUCAUACCUGUUCAAUGAAAUACACCAGUAAUUGUUCUGCAAGUUCAUGUUCGCCAGAUUGUGAAGCAGUUUCCAUACAGUCCUUGUACAUGUUGUCUUUCUUUGAUAAUGCAAUUGAUUGCUUCCAUCUGCCCGCUUUCUUGUAGAUAUAAGCGGCCACACGCCUCAUUUCAACAAGCUCAUGUUUCUCGAUCUGUUCGCACCAUUCACAGGAAAAUUAUAUAUAUUGGUCAGGCCAUCCGUAUUUAUUUUUGUAUUGAGAGAAGAAAUUAAGCGUUUAGCAGAUUUCAACUAUACCUUCUGAGCGAGACCAAUCUGGUCAAAACUGUCAUGUAGAUCAAUAGACUCGCGCAACCUAUCAUAGUCUUCUUCUUCUACAUAUAUCUCAUUCAGAGCCUCAUUAACAGCAGAGACAUUGUUGCUCUGAACUGCAAUCAUGUAUGGCUUGAUAAGACGCAAGUGACCAGCCUGAGAUAGAAGAAUCUGAUUGUUACAUAAUGCAGCUCAGUUGUUUUUAGAGAAAAAAAAUUAGUCAUCAGUGAACUUCCAACCUUCCGCAUUAUAUCAACAACACGAGUGUGGUCUAACCGCAACGCAAGCACGUUCAGAAGAUCGUUGAUUAGAUCAGGAUGCUCUUGCAAGUAGAAGUGCACAGCCUUGUAGUACAAUUCAACAUUUGCUACCUUCGCAACAAUGUCUUUGAAUUGCAUGUGCUCCCAAGCUUCAGGAGAAUGGUUCAUGACAGUGGUCGCAGCAUUAUCAAACUCAUCGUACUGAAUGUACAGAUAGGUAAGUUCCUGCCAGUGCUGUUGUUCAUCACAGGCUCGUAUAAGCUUAGGAAUAUUGAGGCGAGUUGAAAAUAACUUGAUGUGUUCCAUAAGUUUCUCAUAACGAUAUCUAGCAUAGAGUACACCCAACUCGGUGAAGAUACCCAUGUGGGCACGUUCCAGCCCAAGUCCACUCUCUAUAAGUGAGAUUAAUUCAUUGAAGCACCCUCUGUUCUGGUAGUACUCACUGACUUCCUCCAGGUCAUCCACCUAUUAAGCACAAAAAGAUUAACCGUUACAAAUGAGAUACAUUGGGAUGUAAUAUCAUUCACAAUCAAAUCUUAAGCCCGUAUUAGGAAACUUUUGUGCUAACUAAGAUCAGUUAUUUAUUCACCUGAAUGAUAAUGUUAAGACCACAGAUUUGGGCCAACCGGAAUUCCUCUGCAUCAACACAAGCAAAGCACACUUCCUUCCAUGUCUUUGCACUGUUUGCUUUUCUUGCAGCAUCAACAGCACCUUGGAACUGUUGCAAUUUCACAAGUGUGACAGCUAACUUACCCCAGUUUGAUAUGAACGCAUAAAUUAUUUUUGCAGCCUCAUAGAGAGCUUCAUCAUACAGGCGAUCACCAACAUUUUGUAGAUUGGCAACAUUUGGCAUCAGAAUGAAUUCUUCAAUCUCACCUAACCUAUCGAUCUUCGCAUAUGCAUAGAUAAGCUCACUGUCAACCUUGGGUUCUUUCACCUUCUGUCUAACCAUCAGAAGGUAUUUGACCAAGUCAUCAUAGACAUCAGUAUCUUCAGAGACACGUAUGACCUCCAAGAAAUGAGUGGCAUCAUCAGCACGGAUAAAGGACUCAAUUGCAUCACUGACGAGUCCUUCCCUGAGUUGCGCCUUAGCUACUUGGCUCCAAACAGAAUCUUCUUCGACUCGGAAAGCAAACUCAACUGCCCGCUCAAUGCUUCUGACAUUAUCAAGCAAUACAUUGACAGCCUGAACAUUUAAGUUAAACUUCUUGAAGAUUGCAAAUGCUUCCUCAAACAAUUGGGCUUCGACUGCAACUUCUCCAACAGCAGGUCCAUCAAAGUUGUCCAGCCUGUUAAUGUAAUCCAUAACUCUUGAUGGAUCUGCCUUAAUAGCAGUCAAUAUAAGCAGAUUUUGCAGAUUGAAAUUCCCACUGAAGGCAGAAUUUUGAAGAACGAUCUUUUCAAGAAGCUCAAUAAGCUCGUGCGGCAAAUCAGCAGUCAUGAAUGCUUUAACAGCUGCAGAAACCUGCUCCGGGCUCUUGCUUUCAGGUAAAGCAGUAGACACAACCUGGUCAAUAAGUUGUCUUCUAUAAUCAUUGUUUUCAUCGAGAACCUUAUCCCAGAGGUCACCAUCCAUCCUCUCCACUACAUACCUACAAUUGGAAACUCGUGUAUUAACAAUCUACAAAGUCACCACCAUUAUGAGAUAACUCGAUAAGUAAGAAUUUUUGCAAGUAAUGAUAAAAUACCUGGCUUGUAACUUAAACAGAGAGUUUUUGUUAGUGACAUUGAUAAGCUCCUCGUCACAUUGUCCUCUUCUGUAUGCCACAACUGCAAGGGUAGGAUCACGUUUCUCGCAGUACUUACCAACCACCUUAGAGUCGUAGUAAGGGUUGGUGGUCAAGAAAUGCUCAGGGUUGUUGUUACUGUCUAUGAUAAUUUUACCCAAGGCAUUAUGGACAUGCACAUCUUGGCUUCCCUCACUAACUAGAUGCUCCAAGAACUGAGUGAGGAGACGAAGACGAUUUCUGAAAAAGCAGAAACAUAUUAGAGAUUCCAGAACAAACAGACAUAAUUAUGAACAAAAAUCAGAAUGACCAAAAUGAUUCACCUCUUCUCGCAUUCCUCGACAAGUGGUUCAACAGGAAGCAAUGAACGAACAGAGAGAAUGAGGCCUUUUAUAAAAUCUUCAGGGCAUUCAUCGUCAAGAAGCUGUCCCACAACUAAGGGAGCAUUCCCAGGGUUCACCUUUGAAAAGAAUCGACCGUAUAAAUAUUUAAUCAAUAAAAUGAACUACAACGCAUUAUAAGAUGUCCCAAGAAACCCAUAUACCUUUUGUACGUAACCUUCAAUGUAACGAAGCAUGUUGUUUGUGUAGAGGUAAUGAGUUAGAUCAGGCACAAAGCCGAAACGGUCGCAGACAUUUAUCAAAGGUCGUGCAUCAGGCAGCUUAGCUUCCAUCAAAAAGUUUUUCGUCUUUUCAGCGUCAUAGAAGUUAGACUCUCUAGUUACACGCUCAACCUCCUUGAUUUGUCCAGUCUUGGCAGCUGCUUCAAUGUACUUAAAGUGAAUCUCAGGAUCCUCACUAUUGUACAGAGAAUAAAUAGGGUCAACAUCAGCAUAUAAAUACAAAAAUCGUGCUUGUUUACAGGAAUGAGCCCAAAUUUAUAUAAAUCACCUCAUACUCAAAUAUGAACCUAGGAAAAAGUAUAGCCCUUCGUAUGACUUGAACUGCUCAAAGAGCUUAAUACAUGCAUCAACACCUAGUUGUUCACAGUACUCCUUGCAAGCCUGCAAUUGCAUGGACACGUUAGUUUCACAAUAAACAAUAAAUCUUCAUCAUAUCAUACACCACUUACCUGAACGAUUAUCUGGAGAUUGCCUCUCAGGUUGACCAGCAACAGAUCCUUCAUGCAUUCCAUUGCCCAAUCGCUAGAAAGAGUACCAAAAAACUCAACAAGAGCCUGCAUAAUGAGCAGAGUGUUAUGCAACAACUUGACCAUCCAGGAUUUUAGUAAGGAAAAUUUAUUUCAGAGGCACUACCUGUGGCUCAAUAGCAUGUGUGUUCACAAUUACACGUUUUAUAUCAGGUAACUCGGAGUAAUGCUGCAAAAAUAAACAAAUAAAGAAGCUGGAAGAUGACAAGAUAGUGAAUCUUUUUGCUCGAGAGAAACGGUAAAAAACAUGCACCAACCUUCAAUGAUUGAAUAUAAAGUCCAGCCUUUUCACAAAGUUGAGCUACACGAGGCCGGUCAUAGUGGCUGAACAUUCCAUUUGCUAAUAUAGCAUCGGCCACAUUAGGAAAGGUUACCAAAUUGAUCUCCAGAACCUGUGUUGACAUAUGAUUCAAACAGUCUGAGGAAAGAAAGUGAAUAGAGAAAGCACGGAGAGAUAUAAGGUGGCAACUAUUUUCAACCUUAGUUUGUAGAAAAGCAUGCUCAGGUAAAUUUGGCUUCAGCACAUCCAAAAGGAAAGCAGUCGCUUCUCGGAUCAGAUUUCUCUGAGUAUGCACAAAUAGAUAAUUUAGCACAUAUUAACAUCUACUGUAUACAAUUCUUAAUAUUGGAACAGAACAAGUAAUGAGCUACAAAUAUUGGUGUAUACAAAAUUUUAUUUUUGUUCAUCAACCUGAAGAAAAAGAUCAGUAAUGGUGUUGUAAUCAACUGGACAACCUCCUUCCAUUUGAGACAUCAUUAAUGCAAAAUUUACUGCUCCCUGCAAAUAAAAACUUAAAAGAUUAUUAAUAUGAAACGGGGAAUUUUAUUCUUCAUUCUAUAUAAGGCCAGGUCCAAAUUAUUCAACAAGGUAACUGAUUCAUAAUUCUUCAUGUGCUUACGCAAAAAAUCUCCAGUAAACAAAAUUCUUUCAUACUUGAAUAUGUCGCAGGUAUCAAGAAAGCACCAUACUAACCUGAGGAUCUGUACGGAGUAUGGUUUGCAGAAGAAACAGAUAAUCAGGUGUGUACCCAACCUAGUCACGGUAUAAAACAAGGUACUUUAGGGUAACCAUUACAGAAGAGGGUAAAUUAUAGAUUUUGUUGC
RNAcentral lists this long non-coding RNA (89627 nucleotides) under Capsella rubella. RNAcentral describes it as "long non-coding RNA (CRUB_LNC003546)". The stretch from base 1852 to 1971 matches the Rfam family "small nucleolar RNA snoR130". The record is from RNAcentral. Lineage: Eukaryota; Viridiplantae; Streptophyta; Magnoliopsida; Brassicales; Brassicaceae.